RNAcentral lists this long non-coding RNA (91927 nucleotides) under Aquilegia coerulea. RNAcentral's name for it is "long non-coding RNA (ACOE_LNC001845)". The stretch from base 81462 to 81552 matches the Rfam family "MIR2275 microRNA precursor family". Lineage: Eukaryota; Viridiplantae; Streptophyta; Magnoliopsida; Ranunculales; Ranunculaceae. The record is from RNAcentral.
UUUUUUUUUUUUUUUUUUUUUUUCUGUAUUAUAAGGAUUUUGUCCUCAGUUGAGACAUCGAACUCAUCCAUCAAAUUACAGACUAUAAUUCACAUAUAUUAAUAAUAUGGAAUGGAUAUCAUGCCUUUGUAAUUUACAUAACAACAAACAACAAUUUAGAGGAUAUUGCUUUGGUGUUAGAAGACAAGAAGAUAUAUGUUAGAGGACAAAAAUAAAAACUCCUGAAUUUGAUAGUAAUGUGUGAUUUUUUUAGAUUUUUAGAGUAAUUUUGAAAAGCCUUUGAAAUCAUAAGGAGUUUUUUUCUCGAAACCCAACUUCUCGGUAAAAAAAAAAUAUGAAAUUUUGAAUUUUUUAUAAAUAUUAAAUUUUAUAGUCAUGUGGGAUCUAGUUUGAAAGAUCUCGUCGAGACCUUUCCAACCAUAUAAACCAUGUUAAUUUUCGAUUUCUAAAACACAACUUAUAAUAUUUUCAAAUGUUAAAACCAAAAAGUUAUACACCAACUGUUUUUUUGUCAUUUUCUGUUUUUUGUCAUUUUCUGCUUUUUUGUCUUAUCCUGGUUUUAGAGGAUAAAAGGUUGAGAUUAGAAGAUAGAAUACAAGGGUAAUUUUGACCUACUAAAAAUAUGAUCUAGUCAAAGGGCUUGUUUGAGAAGAUUACCCCAUGUCAGGGCCUAUUGGGGAAGAGGCAUCUAAACAUGGGGCUUUGUUGGGAUAUUACCCUAAAUAUAAUUAAAUCCGGCUCGUAUAUUACACGGGCCUAGACACUAGUUGUUGUGUAUUGUCUACUAGUGUCGUAGCACCCUGGUUAAUUUUAAUUUCAUUUUCGAUUACUACUAGUUUUUUCUAUUCAUGGUUGUUGGAUUUGCUUGGAACAAAAUGCGGGAGUUUAAAACUCAUUCUGCUGUUGUGUGAUGCUUAGGUGUCGUUAAUACAUUAACUCAUUAAGUGAUUCAUUCUACCAAAUUUUCAGUCUAAAUGCAUGACAUAACUCAAAUCUCAGUUAAUAAAAUAUAUUAAGUACUCAUCUGUUAGUAGAAAACAAACAAUCCGAAUCCGAAGACUGAAUGCAGUGGUCCACCCACAUAACUUCUUUUUUUUUUUUUGCUAAAGGGUAAUUUUAUAAAUAAAAGAAUGGUUACAAGGGGGUGCAUCAAAAAUAUGACUACACCAAACAUCAAUGAAAGCGAAAAUACACUGAAAAAGGAUUCUCUAGAGGAACUCUAGGCAUAGAAGAGUUGGAGAACCAUUCCUUUCUUCCUUUAGCUAAGUGAACUCCUUUUGCAGCACAAGCAUCUGCUGCAAAAUUUGCUUCUCUCUUUGUACUGGUUAUAAGUAACCAUUUGAACCAGUUUUUUAAAUGCACAAAUCUCUGUUGCACAGUCCAGUGAGGCUUACCACUGUUGAAUGCCUAGCAACUGCAACUGAAUCAGUUUCCACCCAUAGUUGGUCCCAACCUUUUUCCUUAGCUUUGUCAUUUGCUUCAAUGAUACCGGCGCACUCUGCCUCAUAAUUUGUUACCUUACCAAGACCACCAAAAUACACCCCCUUCACUGCACUGCCAUGGUUUCGGAAAAUAACUCUCCAUCCUGCCUGUCUUGGAUUACCAUGAGAUGCCCCAUCACUAUUUGCCUUUAUCAUUCCAUGAGGCGGAGGUAACUAGUAACAUCCAAUGAUAGUUUCUGGCUGCCUUCUUUUGACCUGCAAGUUUAGAUUCAACAACACUUUCUUAUCAUAAUCUGAGCCAUAGUGUGACCCAGGGAUCAUCAUGUAUGCCAACUCCACAGCUUUCUUGAUUCUGAGAGUAGCCUGCCUAUAAUUGGGCUGCACGUCAUCGUAUCUUUGCCUAUUUCUUGUUUUCCACACCUCCACCAAAAGUGACAAAGAACCUGCCUUCCACAUACCUGCUAGAAGUAGGCUUUUUCCUUCUUUCAUUCUAAUCAAUGACAGUAAAUUAUCUGGUGGCCUAGCAUGACAGAACCACUCACAUAACACUUUCCAGAGUUUGACAGUCGUUGGACAAGAGAAGAAGAGGUGCUGAUAUGAUUCAAAAUUCAACUUACAUAGACAACACUGCGAGACAAUAGGAAUGCGCAUAUACUGAAUUCUCUCAUCUGUGUUGAGAGCUUUGUGCAUGAUUUUCCAAAAGCAAGAGCUUUAGUUCUUGGGUGAAGAUGAGAAGAGUGCCAGAAUCUAGCCCAAUGGGGUCGUCCAGGCUUCCUACAAAUAGCUUUAUAGGCUGAAGAAGAGGAUAACUCACCUGAACAGUUGUAAGGCCAGACUCUCUUGUCAGAAGAUCUUCUAUCUGGUGGUUUCAAAUAUCUCCAAUCAAUAUUCAGCUGAUCAAACAAUUGAAUAAGGUUUGGAAGGAAAUCCCACAUAACUUCAAUCAUUCAGUCUGCUUAAUUAAUGAAAAACAAACAACAACUUAGGCAAUCAUUUCUAAAGUAUGAUUGUCACUUCACACUCUUUGGCUUGUGUUGAAGAUUGAAUGUGCUCUUCCUAUCUCAUAAAAGUGCAUUAGUUAUGCGGUUCUACUGUAGAUCAUGUAGCUUGAUUAUUAAGAAUUAAAAGUACGGAACAAACCAUUCAAGUAUGAAAUACUGGAGGAUAUUGAAGACAAUUGUCGAAGAACCCUGACAGAGAAGGGUUUUAAUAUAAAUAAAUUGUUAUCUCUAGUCAGCCGUGCCUAAUGUAAAAGAACUCGAGUUUGGUCGGUGCCUAACAUAAUCUCUACGGUCGAAAAGGGUAGCCUUCCAUGUUUAAUUUGAUAAGAGUAUCAUCAGGAAAUUAAAUCUGUUUUCUGUAACAUUUGUUUGUAUCAAAUAUUCAACAAAUAACCUUUGCGAAGGACAGAGUCAAUAUUCAAUGUGGUCUAAUUGAGGCGAAGAACGAAAUCAGCAUUUCAUAGCCAACCUAUGCAGGCUGAGUCUAAUUGACUGGCAAAAUACAUUUUCAUAUCUAGUGACAAAUUUUCAAAUAUUUAAUGCUAUCUAGAAGAUACAAUGAUGUUAUAGAACCUCUUUAUAUUAAUACUCGAUUCGUUAAUCUCUCUAAGUUAAUGAAAUUCUCUCGUCCCAAUGUACAUAGUAAGUAGCUAAAUCAACACUCGGUAAGUUAAUAAUCUCUCUAAGUUAAUAAAUUUUAAUAAAAUUACAUAGGUCCCAACGCUAUUAAUUUAAAGAGGUUCUACUGUACUUAUUAGUAUUGCACUUCAGCAGUUCAAAGUAUGACUUCAAUUAUCCAAGUAGAAGACAAUAUUUAACAUUCGCCCCUAAGAAUCAUGUUACUCCAAAUACAGAGGAGCUCAGGAGCAAAAGUAAUUCAUACAGAUCUCAAUAUUUUUAUAUUAUCAUGCUGAUUCUGCCAAAACAUUUAUAAUAUUAAAAUAUUCUAUUCUAACAAGAGAGGGGUUCCAGGGAACUUGGGAAAUGUUUGACUCAAUUUUGACUCAAUCCUAUUUAGGGUACUUGUACAUGUUGGAUUGGCAUGAUUUUUUGUAGGAUGAAUGUUCUCAUUAUGUACAACAUCUUCACCAAAAUUUAUCAUAAUCUGAAUUUUCUAACCCUAAGAAAAUCAUAGUACAAGUUAAUGUAUUGUGGAACGUUCAUUUUUACCGUUGAAUUUAAUAUUACAUUUGAUGGGUCUAAAUAUAUUCAAAUGAGCUGAUUUUUUAUGUAGUAGAUCUUUAUAGUAAGGAGAUCAUAUCUACAAAAAAUCAUGCCAAUCCAAUAUGUACAAGUACCCUCAAUAGGAUUGAGUCAAAAUUGAGUCAAACAUUUCCUAAGUCCGUAGAACCCCUCCCUUCUAACAAUGUUAUAAAAGUAACUUCAAUUCCCUCAUCUUCCUCCUACAUAUCCUAGUGGGAUUUGAACAAGUAUUUUUGCUAAUUUUAUAGACACGUGACCAUAUUUCAUUGAUCCCACAAACCCACACAAAAAAAAUCACAUAUAAAUUUUUUUGAUAAAAUAUCAGGAAAUGCCAUUCAUUAAUAAAGGCAAGUAAAAAACAGCCAAAACUGCAUGCAAACAAUCACGAAAGAUGUCAAUAACUGGAACUAACAAUGAGUUCAGCAACAUAUAGAUCUUACCUCAAGUCCAACUAGUCUUUAGAAACACAACUGAUAUGGCAAAGGAAAGUACUUUCAAGUUUCAACAACAUGGACGUACAGACAACAAUUAUCCAAAGGAUAGAUGAUUCAUUCAUGUAAUUAAUCAAAUAAAUGUAACUCAAAACAUAAGAAAUGCAUCUUGAGAUAAUUAAUAUUCCAAAUGUACUUAGUAUUGAUUACUAGUAUUGAAAAACAUACACAAACAUCCUUAAUAGUGGAAGUCAUUGUGUGAAUGUGACAACAAACAGUUUCAAUCUCUGACAUUCUACGCAGGAAACAGCGCUACAACAAGACAUUACAUAUAACUUAAAUGCAUAAUUUGCUUUUCUUGCUAGUUGAUUUUUUUUUACUACUUUGCAAGAUUUUUUUCAAAGCUAUAAAUCCGAUCAUUUCAAUCUGAUACCCUAACUGACCUAUUUCUUUCAGUUCAUCCAACUUUCGCCUUGUCACAUUGUUCAGCCCUUUCUUCAUCUUCAUUCAUUUUGAGGAUAAUUGAUUCGAGACGUUUUGUUAUGUCGACACUUACCAACUCUUCUUUCCAACUUCACAAUUCAUUUCCCAACUUAAGCAAAACAGUUUGAUUUUCCGCACGCAGUUGUGAAAAUUCAAAUAGAAGUCUUUUAUAUUCUUCAAACAGAUCCUUGCAACGUCUGUCAAGAUACUCUGAAAGUAUCUCCAUUAUAAGAAACAUUGAAGAAGCAAUCCGCUCGUAGACCUCUGGCGAUAGUUUGACAUACAGAAAUGCAACAUGAAAAUAUAAAAGUUAAAUAUAUCGUAACAUAAAUGGACAGAAAAACUUGGUCUGUAGAACUCAACUCACAAAUAACAGAGAUUUUGAAGUCUCUUAUGACGGUAUCAAGUAGUGAAUCCGUCGAUACCGGUCAUGUAGACUUCACUUAACACUAGAUCAAAUCCACCUUGUGUCUCAUGGAGUUUGGUAAUGGCAUCUGUUGUGAUAUUAACAACUGUAGCUGAAAGGGAACAAAUGUAAAAAAAUUAAAUUUAAAACCCCAUGAUAACAUAAAUACUCAAAUUAAUAAACUCGAUGAAUUAUAGAAAUGUAGAGGACAAGCGUGCUACAAACUAAACUGGGACAUUACAUUUUAUUAGUAAAUCAAAUUUUAAAUACAAUUAAAUUUUAAACGACUGUCAAUAGGGCUUCUUGAUAUAGACCACCAACUACUAGUAUAACUAUCCAGUUGGAUCCAUUGGCGCAUAAUCCAUUUUUUGUGUCCUUAGUAAUUGCAGAUACUAAUUUUUUCAGUUGUACCUACCGUUACUAACCUAACUACAAAUUGAAAGUAAAUGCUCGAAAUGAAAUCAAAUAUUGCAUAUGCUAGAUUCUAGUAAAAUCAAUUUAAAAGAUUUGAACAGUAUAUUAACAAAAAAAAAAAUAAAAAAAAAAAUGAAUGUCAUCUGUAACAUAAAAUCUAUGACAUUUAUAGUCGCAUAAGCUAUAAUAUCCUUCGACAAUCUUGCGGUACAUAGGACAAUCAUUCACUACAAAGACAGGAAAACCUUUAGGAAAGUGUUUAUUACUUGUAUCUUAAGUAAAGCCAUAUGGUCGCUCUUUGUCAUUACCAUAUAUAGGCCAUGAUAAGAGAGAAAAUGAAGAAACACAAAAGGAAGAAGAUAAAAUCUCUGAUUUUUGAAACAAAAUUGGGUAGCUCUUAUCAUAUUGGGUGUUUUUAAUUAGUAACAAUUAUUGGAUGAGGUAAGCUUAAUUUUUUGGAUAUCUGUUUGUAAAAUACCGAGUGUCAUUAUGAUUUCCCUUGAAAGAAUGGGGAAGAGAUACAAGAGAAUAAAGAAAAAGAAAAAAUUGGGUAGCUCUUAUCAUAUUGGGUAUUUUUAAUUAGUAACAAUUUUUGGAUGGGAUAAACUUAAUUUUUUGGAUAGCUCUUUGAAAAUACCAGGUGUCAUUAUGAUUUUCCUUUAAAUAUUAACUAUGUGAAUACACGCUCGUGCGUGCUGCAUAAAUAGGAGGUAUUAUUUGGUAUGGGCCUGGGCAUUUUUACAGCCUGCUUAUAAAUAAGAUGUAAAAUAGGAUCAUGAAAUACUAACAAAAUACUAUUUUAGAAUUUUGGGAUAAGAGAUAUUGAAUAGGGCCAUAUCACGGUAUGGUGGUUGGUGGGGGUCAGUUAAAGUUUAUGUAAUGGAUAUUUAAAUUAAUUAUACGCAAUCAAUACUUUUAAUGCUUUUUAAUUUCCCAGAUAGAGGCAAAUAAUUAAACGCUUUAAUGGGCUUCAUAAUAAUUAUAUUUUAAUAAUAAUUUUUUUUUUUGGUUGUAUAAUUAACACAGUAUUCACAUGCCUAUAUUUUUCUUCUUUUCAUAAAAAAAAUUCUAGUGGCUUUUCGGUUAAAAAAUGUACUUAAAUUACGAAUUUCCAUCCUUGAGUUUAUUAUUUUUUGGUUUUUCUAUCAAAACUACUAUUUAUUUACUAAAAAAGAGCUACAUUUAUCUUGUGUAUACCAUAUUUCAAAAUAUCGUUGGUAUUUAAGCAAUCAAAUAUAUAAAUAUCCACGAAUACUCAGUUUCCAAAUUCUUUUCUAGUGUCGAAAUUUUGACAUAUACCGUUUUUUCAGGAUUCGAUAUUUUGCUCGAAAUCAGCGUUUCAAAAUAUGGUGCAUACAUUUGAGAUGUUGUCCCGGUACAAAAGCUGAGCCAAUUGUGGAUCAGGGUACAUAAUCCACACAUAUGAUUAUAUCUUACAAAUAUUCAAGUAGUUCACUAUUUACAAUCUGCUACAAGUCUUUCAAAAUACCAUAUAAUUUACUUGAAAUGUUUGUCAGAUCUCAGAAUUAACAAGAUUUUUUUUUUAUUUUAUUAAAAUUAAUUAAAAAUUAAUAAAAUAUAAACACAACAACAAACAUUAAUAACAAAAACAACAAUAAAAACAAACAUGUUUGAGUAAAAGCUUACGGUAUAGAAUGAUGACCACAACACUAGUGGGCCUUCCGCAGAAGAUGCCUUUUCUUUCCGAUUCCACCUAUUCCCACAUAACAUAUCUCUUCAAAAUCUCUUAAAAGUUUUAAAAAUAUUACUAAGAACUUGAAAGCUUCCAUCCUACACUAAAUAAAUCUUUUAAUACAUUAAACACAAUAAGAUCUGUCUGCUAUUUAUAACCGUAAAAUUCAUAUGUAAGCGAUGGUCAAAAAACAUGACAUAUGUAUAAAUAUGGUAGGCUAGCUAUGACGCGAUGAUACCAAAUAAUCAUGACGCGUGGUAUAUAUAUGGCACGUGUAUGAAUAUGAUUGGUUAGCCAUGGCGCGAUGAUAACAAAUUACCAAUAAACUUGUGGCACUUAUAUGUGAACGACAAAAAACAUGUGUAUUGAUAUGGUAGGCUAGCCAUGACGUAACGUAAUUAAUGAUAUAAAAUAAAUCAUGUACAUGGUAGGAAAUUAAAGAUAACCAUGGUGCAUGUAUGUCAAGACCCGAAUAUAUAUAAAACAUAAACCCAGUGUGUAAUUAUUUUAGAAAAACAAAAUUCAAUUGAAACCGAGAAUGAAAUACAAUAAACAAAAGAAAACAAAAUAGUAACAACAUACGUAUUAUAUUUCACGAAAAAUAAUCAAAUAGAAGUAUACGACUUCAAUAAGAAAUGGAUGCCUCUCAUUACUUUAGGGAGAAGCCUUGUUCAUAGUCAUAGCAAAAGACAUUUUUAAGUUAAAUUCCCCAAAAAUAUGCCACAUGAUAUUUGUUGACUAGUCAUCACACUUACAUAAGUACAUAACUAAGGCCAUAUCCAUGUCCAAUCCACAUUUUUCCAUUCAUGGUCCACAUUCAUCUUUGCUACUUUAGAAGGGAACAGGGCUAAGGAAUAGUAAACAUAGUAUGUGGUAGUAUCUGAUUGGCUAAAAACUAAAAAAAAAAAAAAAUUGUUUGGUUCAAUUGCGGUACAACCAACCAAAUUUUGACACGUUAUCUUUAAUUACAUUAAAUAUAAAAACUAAACUAGAUAUAGAUAUGAUAUUAUGGGCUGGGCUAUUAUGGGUUCACACACAUGUUCACAUAGUUUGAAAUAAACAGAGAGUAGCGUGAAAUCAUUGCAUUGUAUUUGAUAAUAAGUCAAUAAUUUCUAAAGUAUAAUUAUGGGUUAUUUUGUAUUUGGUCCCUCUAGAAGAAGGAUAAUUAUCAUGUGAAAUAAAGUUUUUCGUUUAUUAGUAUUUUGUUCUACGGUUAGUCAAUCAAGUUGGCACUGAGGUCAAAUCAUCUAUUUUUCUAAUUACCUUUACUACCCUUUCAAAUAAAUUUUUAUGAAGAACAACUACAUAUAUCAUCAUCUUAUGCACAAAGAUUUUCAAGGGAAAGGCAUUUACAAUUAAGGGUAUAUGCACUAAGAUGAAAGACAUUCUCUGGUAUUGGGAUGGUGCUUUGGAUUAGGAUAGAAACCAUUGCUUCAGGGAAUUACCGUUGAAUUCGAAUGAGAUCAUUGUGAAAAAUGGAUCGUGAUGUGCCUUCUAUUUCUAUCCAACAAUAAUGACCGUGUAAGAUAUUUUGUCAGGUAUCAAACCCGUUUUAUUCAUAUCCUUGAACAUAUGCUUCCUUGUUUACCAAAAUCUUAAAUUUAAUAUUUUAUUUAGUAUUACGACGAUGGUAAAUUUGUAAGAGAAAAUAAAAUACCUUAAUAUGGAUGAAGACUCACUAUCUUAUGAAGAAAUUCAAGUUGUUUCUUCUUAGGCUAAGUUAAAAAAUAAUGUGUUUCUUCUAAACCUAAUAAUGUGUCAAAUAAAAUAAUAUUAUUUAACUUAAAAUUGAAGGAGAAAUUAAUUAAUUAAAUAUUUUAGGGUGUUAUUUAAAUAUUUAAUUUACUUUGAUAUUUGAAGAUGGAAUUAAGAAUGUGAAUAAAUUUUGUUGAAAGAGAGACCGAGAGAGGGGAGAAAAUAAAAUGGAAAAAUUCGGUGGCUCUUAUCAUAAUGGGUAUCUUUAAUUAGUAAAGAAAUUUGGAUGGGGUAAGCUUAAUUUUUUGGAUAACUCUUUGUAAAGUUAAAAAUGGGUGUCAUUAUGAUUUCCCUACAUAAAUGAUACUUAAAAGUAAAACUCCAUUACUCAAAAAUCACAAACAAAAGCAGAAAUAAUGAUUAGUGAAGAAAUUUAAAUGGUACCCAUUUUUCCUAAUGUAAUGAUUAGUGAAGAAAUUAACAAAUAGAAGUUAGGGUGUCUUUGAUAAAGUUUUGCCGGUUUGCUAUAAUUUUUGGCAAAAUUGUUAUAUUAGCUUAUUUGCCAUUUUGCCAAACUUUUGCCUCCAUUUGCCUAUUUGCCAAUGAUUGAUACUUGUUUGGAAAAAGUGGCAAAGUACUUUUGCCAAAAAGUUUUUGUUUGAUAAUCGCUUCGGCAAAUGAUGGCAAAACACAUUUGCCUUUUUGCUAUCGUUUGAUAAUAACAAUAAUGUAAUUUUAGCAAAUCCAUGCAUAAAAAGCCUGUAUUAUCCUUAAUAAGUCCAAUGUGAGCCCAUGGAUUAAUUAUUUUAUCAAUUUCAUAUGUCCAAUGGUAAGUACAUUAUUUCAUGUGAUAUUAAUAACGUGGUUGUGCACAUCUCAUAGUCAAUUUAUGGAAUCCAGAUAAAAAAUAAUUAUAUUGCAUGUGUAAUCUAAAUAUUUGAAGCUAUUAUAUAUUUAAUAUUUGAAGUCAUUCCCAAUCAAACCAAUGUAAUACAUUAAGAAGAAAAUUUGAUAAACUUAGAUAUAAAGGAGAUACAUUUAUGUGUAAAUCAUUCCCAUCCCAUGCGGUGUUGGUGAGUUGGUCGAGAGUAGUAAAUCAUUCCUAACAAAUGAUUAAAAUUUCACAGUUUUUAGAAUGUUGGUUGAUAUAAAAGGGCUUUGUUCCUGUUCAAUGGCUUGCAAUUUUUAGCAAAAGUUUUAUUUAGUUGAAGGAAUUGAUUAGUAUGUCAUACUUAUUAGAUGCAUAGUAUAAAACAUUGGAGGAAAUUGAAUAACAUGUUACAGGUCCUGGUUCUUUUAAACUUAUUUAAUAUAAAAAUCAUCAAUCGACUGUCAAAACAAAAUUUGUAAACCAGUUCAGAUGGGGUUGUGAUGCUUCUAUACAUUUGUAGACUUCUUCCAAUUCAUACAAUAGCCUUUACAGUAGCCUUUUGGUCUGGUUUAAGAUUUGUUAAUAAAGUUUAUAAUCAUGUUUGGAUAUCUAGGUGUGAAUGAUAUACAUCAGCCUUGGUAUCAAAAUCUAUAGGAGGCUUUAUAUUAUUAUUAAAAAAUAACUUUUUUUUUUUAACCUAGACAAAUAUCAACAAUUUCCUAAAAUAUUAUUUAGCCUAGCCUGUUAAUAAAAUUGUUGAAACAUUCAAGACUUCACAUCCUACAAACUAAAUUUUAGUCAACAUGACUAAGGAAAAUGUGAGAUUGUCCUUCUUACCCUGAAUUCUUCUUUCUUACAAACCAUGCAGUUGUCCUUAUUUCAAAAAGCCAAAUUCUCGUAGUUUCUACUUUCUAGAAGGAAGGAUCAGAAUUCACAUUUCACUUGAGUCUGACAACAACAUGGACAAUUUCCACCACUCGGUUUUCUAUCUGCAGCAAUGUUAUCAUAACCAACCCGGACACCAACCCGGUGAAGGCUCUGGGUCACUGGGUUAGUGGUUCGACCAUUGGGUCAUUGGUCGGACCAGUCCAAUAUUAGUAGGGUUAAAUAUAUCGUUAAAUCCUAAUGUUUAAAUCUUUGUAAUAUGUUUGUAUUAAAUAUAAACAUAAUUUAUCAUAAAAUAUUAUGAGUACAAUGGUAUGCACACCGGUUUGUGUGCUUUAGGUUAUGAGUUCGAGUCCAACUAAAUCUUUUUUAAUUAAAAAACAUUAAUUUUAAAGUCGAACCGGUUUUUUGGGUCACUGGGUUUGAUAAAACCGGUAAAACCCGGCCGGUUUUAGUGGUUCACAACUGGGUUAUAUGCAAAAACGAUCCAUUGAGUAACCCAACCCGUGUAAGGCACUGGGUCACCGGGUUCCCGGGUCAACCCGCCGGGCCGGGCCGGGUUUGAUAACACUGAUCUGCAGACCCGUAGCUAGACUGGGUUUUCUAAAGUUCAGACCCCUAAACCUUUUUACUUACUUCGGACCUUGGUCCAUUUGGGCAAUUGUUUUGACCGGGUUUUCUAAGUUGUCUCCUUUAAUGAAAAUUACCACUUCGCGUUUUUUUAUUAUUAUCAUGAAAUAUGAAAAAAAUGGACAAAUGAAUGAUAAUUUCGCACAAAACAAUUAUCUAAGCAAAAAAAAAUAAAAAAUAAAAUAUAUAUAAUCAAUUCCAUGCAAAUCCAAAUAUCCAAUUGAGAAAAAUACGCACAUUUUGACAUUUGAUUUAAGCUAGACAACAACUUUAAGGAAAAUUUAUCAUUUUGCGUUUAUUUUAAUUAUAACGAAAUGUUUCAAAAGAUGUUUGAACUCAAUCAAUUGGGGCAUGUAUCUAUGAAAUUGGUUAAUUUUUUUUCAUAUUUCAUGAUAAUUGUUUUUUUCAAAAAAAGUUUUUAAAUUUUGGGACGCUUAAAUAAGGCCUAUUUAGGAAAUGAGACGGUUUUAAUUGAUAUUGAGAGUUUGGGGCACCUUCUGACUGCAGACUAUUGCUUGCUUGUUAAAUUUUUUGAAAAUAACAAUAUUACCUAUUCACAUGCAUAACAUGACAUUGAAUUUCAAUAACGAAAUUGUUACACGUGUCGUUAUAUCAUCCCUUGACAGGUGUUAUAUCAUCCCUUGUAAAUUUUUUAGAUUUUUAGUUAUUAGAGAAGAAGACACACAGUGUUAAAUAAAAUUAGAGAACAUGAGACAUGUGUAGGGUACUAUGGGUAUUUACAACAUAUGAGUUCUUUGUCUCGAGCCAAAUGUUAGUCAUAACAAUCAACUGACGGGAAGGUGUUCCAUACACUAAAUACCAAUUAAAAGCGUCUUGUUUCCUAAAUUAGCAUUAAUUAGGUGGAUCAAAGCCUAAAACCUCCCCCCCCCCCCCCCCCCCCAAAAAAAAAGUAAAAUGUUAAAUUUUCGUUAAAUAGGACAACUUUGUCCGUUUUGCCAGUGGACAAUGUUGUCCAACUCAAAACAAUGCUAAAAUGUUCGCUUUGUUGUCAGAAUAUGUUUUCUCAAUUGGGAUUUGCAUGGAAUUCAUUUGAAAGGCUAGAUAAUUAUUUUUAUGUGAAAAUAUCAUUCGUUUGGCAAUAUAUUUUAUUAUUUUAUGAUAUUUCAUGAUAAUUAAAAACAGAGUAAAGUGGAUAAAUUUUACUAAAGAGGACAGCAUUGUCCAUUCUGUCAGUGGACAAUGUGUCCAGCUUAAAUCAACUGUCAAAAUGUGCGCGUUUUGGUCUAAAUAGGUUUUCUCAGUUUAAAUUUGCACGACAUUCAUUUCAAAGGCUUAGGUACUUGUUCUUAUGUGAAAUUAUCAUUUAUUUGGCAAAUUUUUCAUAUUUCAUGCUAAUUAAAAAAAAGCACAAAGUGGUCAAUUUUCAUUAAGAGGACAACUUUGUCCAACCUGCCAGUGGACAGCAUUGUCCAGCUUAAAACAAAUGUCAAAAUGUGGCGUUUUUGUCAAAAUGGGUAUUCUCGGUUCAGAUUUGCAUGAAAUUCAUUUUAAAGACUUAGGUUCUUGUUUUGAUGUGAAAUUAUCGUUUACUUGGCAUUUUUUUUCAUAUUUCAUGAUAAUUAAAAAAUUAGCGCAAAGUGGUAAAUUUUCAUUAAAAAUGAAAAUUUGUCCAAUCUGUGAGUGGACAAUGUAACUUUGUCGAUUUAGGAGUUGACAACGUUGUCGUGCUUGUAACUGUGCUUCAACAAUCUGCAAUUUUUUGGGGGUUUUAGACUACGAAAACUGAAAAGCACGAAUUCGUGCUCGUAAACCUUUUUAAACAGUUCUAGUUGAAUUUAAUUGUACGAAUUGGUACUUUUGAGUUUAACAUUAUAACCCAUAAAUUUGGGGUUUUAAAUUUGUUCAUUGUCCACUCACAGAUUGGACAAAUUUUUAUUUUUUUUUAAAAGGGUUUAGGGUGAUUUUGGUUUUGGUCAUCAAAGGUUUAUACUAAUUAGGGUUCGAAGUUGGUUUUUAUUUUUAUUAGGCUUUUGCCAUCAACCGUUGAACCAAAACCAUGAAAAACCCGGUUGAGCCAAAAAUAUUUUUAUAAUACCUAAGUUACCUCUGGAACAACACGUGGCCUGCACGUGAAAACUUAAAAAUAGAAUUAUUCCUUAGUACUUAUCAGACACGUGACCAGCACUUGAAAAUUUUAAACCAAUGUACGUGUUUUAAUCUAAAGUGAUUACAAGUGUUUGUAAUCACACAUCUUAACAUUGCCUGGUUUAAUAAUCCCCCACAUUACACCAUAAUGCAUAACAAUACUUCUAAAAUCACCAUCAGCCAUUAUACUGCAAACAAAAUAAGUAAUGUAUGUUAAUAAAAAUAAUUGAACCAGGAAAAAUAGUGUAACAAUUAAGCAAUAUAUGCUCAUCAAAAAAUAAAAACAACUUAUAACAAUGUAUCCACUUGUACAUAACAGUACGUGUACCAUAGUUAAGUAAUGUACAUAACAUUCAGGAUGCAAACAAGGGAAACAAAAUUGUAAGUUAAUGUUCAUGUACACUUAGGAAGCAAUUACAUAACAUUGAAAGCCAUAUUACAGAUAUGAAUAAAUAACUUGCAAGAAAAUAAAUCAAAAAUUAGUACAGGUCAAAAUUUGUUAAACCAUUUAAAAUAACCAUCUAAUUUUAACAAGGGAGAAGCUUCAAUUUUUGUUGAACAUAAUAUACAAAAUAAUAAAAAAAAAAAUUAAAACAUUCCAGUGAAACAGAGUACAGAGAGAGAGAGAGAGAGUAUCAUAAAAAAGAUGAACUUUUUACAUACCUUCAACUUGAUCGAACACUAGAUGUCCAAACCCCAGGUGUGAGAUAGAGAUUUCUUCUUCUUUUAACAGACUUCUUCAACGAGAAGCAUUUGAGCAAUUACAGAGUUUUACACAUUUUAGUGGUGAGAGGAGGAGAGAGAGAGGAAAAAAAAAACCUUAGUCUUGUUUUGUUUGCAGAGAGAGAAAAGAAGAUACAUGUUUUCUUCAUUAAGGGGUAUUUUGGCCAUUAUAAAAUAUUGGUUGGUUCAGUUUACGGUUGAUGGCCAAAGCCUAAUAAAAAUAAAAACCAGCUCCGAAUCCUAAUUAGUAUAAACCUUUGAUGACCAAAACCAAAAUCACCCUCAUUAUUAUCGUCAUUGUCAUCAACAUCUUUUAAACGAAAAUAAAAUCCGUCAUUAAUGUCUUCUAAACCAAAAUAAAACUCAUGAUCUCCAUCUUGCAUUUCUUCAACAUCAUAAAGCUCUUCCAAACUCCCAUUUGGCUCUAAGGUGGUGUUUGAUAACGCCCACAUUUUUUGUGUUUGCCAUCGUUUGAUAACGUAACUGGAUGAUUCGGCAAAGUUUGCCGCUAAGCCCUCACGUGACCCUGUUUGCUUGCUUAUAUGCGGGAAAAUUUUGCUUGGGUUCCCCCUAGGCAAAAUUUGCUUUGCCACUCCAACCAUGUUAUUUUGCCGGGUAUAUAAGGUAAACAAAACACAAAAAACCUAUCUCAUAACCAAAAGCUUCAUAGAACUUCAAUGGCGGCAGAUCUGGUGGCGAAACUCGUGUUGAAGGCUGUUUCGAGUGUUUAAGGUAUGCAUCAACUCUUUUAUCAUCUUUUUUCACUACUCUUCAUCAUUGUACUCUCUUUUUUUCGAACAAUUUCAACUUUAAAAAUUCUCAAAUUCUUUUUCACUACUGUUUAAGGCUGUUUCGAUGUUGUUUUUUUUUUCUUUCUCUUUUGUUGUUGUUGUUGAUGUUUUAUUUGUGUUGUUCUUCUACUUAUUCUUGUAAUCAUCCCCAAUUUCAGAAAACCUUAACCCUAACCCUAAUUUCAAAAAAGUUUGUGAUUUUUUCAAUUUCAACAUUGUUUUAUUCUUAUUCAACAGUAAUUUGCGAAAUUCAUUAGUAAUUUUGAAAAACCCCUAAUUUCAAUAAACCCUAAUUUCAAAAAAAAUUGGGCAUUUUUUCAAUUUCAACAUUGUUUUAUUCUUAUUCAACAGUAAUUUGCGAAAUUCAUUAGUAAUUAUGAAAAACCCCUAAUUUCAAUAAACCCUAAUUUAAAAAAAGUUGGGGAUUUCUUCAAAUUCAAACUAUUUGUUAAAUUGAUAAGUAAAUUAUCAAGAAUUUGUGGGAUUGAACAGUAAUUUAUCAAAAAAUUGUUAACUUUAUAUUGGUUUAUUCUUGGUAUGUUCAAAAUUAUUCAAAUGAUUAAUGGUUUUGUAUUUUAAGUAAUUUAAAUGUACAUUUGUGACUGUUUUAAUAUUUUGGUUUUUUAUUUUUGUUGCAAUGUAACAAUUGAUUAAACUUGUACAAUUUUGUGUAUAUAAUUAUAUGUCCAAUUGCUUAAAUGUUGUGUAUAUGCCCAAUUGCUCAAACAAUUAUUUUGCAGUUUUAAUUUUAAAUAUCAUAUUUUUUAUUAAAAAUAUCUGACAUGUUUGAACUGACAUAUUUAGUUAGUUACUAUGGUUGGCAUACAUGUUUCUUGUAAAUGAAACUAGUAUACCUGCAUGUAGCUUAUAUAAUACUUAUCAGUGUUUUAUUUUCUGGUGUAUCAGUCUGUUUUGUUUUUUAUGUUAAUUUAAAUAUAUGUGCUAAUAAGAUUAUGUUCACAUCACUAUCAAGAAAUCAAGAUAUCUUAUUUUUUGUAUGUAAUGCCUAUAUUCUAUGUUGAUAAUAUCUGAUGAAUGUUUAUGUGUGGUUUUGUCACACUGAUUUUUCUUUUGCAGACCAGUAUCGUUUAAACAUCAGCUCAAGAAGGUAUGAUUUCGAUUUGAGGUUUUUUUUUAUUUGUUCUAAAAAUUGUAUGCAGUAGUGAUGUAUGAUAUAUAUUUUUUGGCAGCUUCGCUCUCUCUUGUCCUUCGAUUUGUCCCUUUCGCUCGUGUUUGUCUUUCUCUACUCAUUGCUUUUCAAGGUUGGUUAUUUCUUUUGCCAUGUAUACGUUUCUAUUAUAAAGCAUGUUUAGUUGGGAUCAGAAAACAUGUUUUUGUCGGCAUUAGGUAUCUAUAUAUGCAGUAGGUAUCUACUAUGUAUCAGUUGGGAUUCCAAUAGCAUGUUUUAAUUAAGUGAUGUUUAUGAAUAGAGUUUUAGAUUGUUUUUAUUAAAUAAUCAUGCUUUCAAGUUUCAAUAUAGAUUGUUUUUGUCAUCUAUAGAUUGUCAUUUGUUUACACAAAUAAUAGUACAUACUAGUAUCCUGAUUUGGACGUACACACAGCGUAAGAUUUUAUGUUAAUUCCUACACACAUACAGAUUAAUGAUUGUAUUAGUUGUUUCUAUAAUUAAACACAUAGUACAGACUAGUAACUUGAUUAGUUGUGAGAACUAUAUUAUACGAAAUAAGUUGAUGUAAUGGUAACUCAUAAUGUUAACAAAAUCUGUAGUUAUAUAAAAAUAGAAAUCUGAAAAUAAAUUGAAAGCUGAUACAUAUAAACUCAUUUUGUUGAAAACAUGUAAUUACCACUUUUCAGAGAAUGGGUAAAUAUUCCUAUUAUGUUGUGCAUCGUGGGUUCUGUCCGGGUAUUUACAAAACUUGGGAGGAGUGCAAGUCACAGACGGACGACUUUAGCAACGUUGAUUGGCGUGGUGCUUAUACCCUUGCUGAAGCAAGGCAUAUGCUUCAGCAACAUCUUACAAAUGGUUUCUGUCAAUCUUCUUGUCUUAUGUGUGAUCCCAAUCAUCUUAUGUCCCAGUCUUACAUUCAUGCGCCAGAACUGUCUGAAAAUUCUGGUCAAUCUUACCAAUCUGCCGCUCAAUCUCAAACACCUCUAUCUCCACUAGUCAGUCAUCGACCCUUAAACAAUGUUGUUGUGGUGAACGACUUUAUGUGGUUGGUGAAGAAGUUGGUGUUGGUUAUGUUGGUUGUUGUUAUUGCAUUGUUAAUUAAAUUGUUAUUUGUCUUAUGAGAUUUAUGUAAUGAACUAAAGUGAAAUUGAUGAUGUAAAUUAUUAACCAGUUUUUAUAAUAAUUUUUUAUUUAAAAAGCACUCUUACGCAUUCAAACACUACUAACAAUUAAAAUUAUUAACCAAUUAUACUUACCACAUGUUCUGUAGAAUGCAUACCGAGGAUGAACGUAUCGUUACAGCUACUAUUGUAAUUGUAGCUGUCGAUUGGUUAAUGCACUAUAUUGCAAUGAGACGUAAACGUGUUCCUAGAGGUCCUAGGGCUCCCUAUACCUAUAAUAGAGAUUCGUCGCGUGGGCGAACCUUAGCCCGGUUCUACACCGAUAACGACAACGAUUGCCAUGACCAAUUGAGGAUGAAACAUUUUGCAUUCCAUCGGUUAUGUGCUAGGUUAAAGACUAUGGGUUUAACCGACUCUCGGUACGUGUCAGUUGAAGAACAAGUUGCAAUGUUCUUGCUCAUAGUCGGCCACGACAAUCGGUGUAGAAGAACACGUCACGAGUUUAGGCGUUUUGGACAAACCGUGAGCUAUUACUUCCACUUGGUUUUGAAUGCUUGUCUACAAUUGUAUAGGCAAGUGGUUGUCAAUGCCACGGCUGAGAACUCACCCCUCAAUGACGGUCCUGGGGAUGUAUUUUGGCAUCAGUAUUUUAAGGUACGAAAAAUUCUUUCGUAUUUUAUCAUCUUCUUAGUCUUAGGUACGAAAAACUCUUUCGUAUUUUUCUGACCAAGUAAAUUGUUAAUUAGGACAUUGUAGGCACAAUCGAUGGUACCCACUUCCUCACCUUAGUGCCCCUUGAUGAUCAACCGAGGUAUCGUAAUCGGAAAUGAGUGAUAUCCCAAAAUGUUCUAGUUGGAUGUACAUUCGACAUGAGAUUCACUUACGUUCUAGCUGGGUGCGAAGGGUCGGCACAUGAUGGGCGGUUGUUGAGAUGUGCGGUUACUCGUCAAGGAAGGAGAUUAACCUUGCCCCCUGGUAAGUAUUACCUUGCGGAUGCUGGCUUUGCAUUAAGUCCUGGCUUCCUCACACCUUAUCGUGGGAUUCGAUACCAUCUCAAAGAAUAAGGACAUCGGGCUGUUGAAACUGAUGAAGAACUGUACAACUGUCGGCAUUCCAGGCUACGUAAUGUUGUGGAGAGGAUCAUAGGGGUGUUGAAGAAACGCUUCGCUUAUUUGAGGAAAGCACCAUUCCAUGAUGUGAAGACACACACAAAGAUAAUAUUGGCGUGUUGUGCAAUUCACAACUUCCUCAAAGAUAUCGAUCCAGCUGAUGUAGUGGAACCUGAUUUGGAAGAACCAGAAGAACCCGUUCCCCCCGAGGCAGAUAAUGCCCAAGGCGGUGGAAUACUCAUAUCCGCAUCACGGUCUUGGAGUAAGUGGCGUGAUGACUUGAAGAAGGAAAUGUGGACUAAUUAUGAGAAUUACAAUGAGCUGGAAUAGCGUUGAGGUUUCGUUGAUUUUAUUAGGGUUGUGAGUUUGGUAGUGUUGUACUUGAGUAUUUGAUGAGUUUUUUGAAAUAAUUUGUUUGGGUUAUAAUAAGUUCGAAUAAUGGAAGAGGUAAUUUGUUUGGGUUGUAAUAAGUUGGAAUAAUUUGUGGUUUGGACUAUUUGAUAGUGUUAUGAGCGAGAUUAUGUUUGGAUAUUUGAUUUGGACUAUUUGAUAAGUUGUUUGGAAUAAUACGCUUGUGUAUGGUUCAUAUUUGUGUAUAACUGUGAGUGUGGGAUGAUUAUGUACAACUAUGUCGAGCGGACAGUUCAAGAAGCCUAGAAAGACCAAGAAGGGCAAUGGUAAUGAUUCAGCGGACCCUUACUUCCCAACUGACAAGCCAGUUAAGUGCCACGUAAGGUGGACCAAAAAAAUGGAAGAGGUGAUGUUGAACACUUUGUAUGAAGAAGUGUUGAGAAACGGUAAGAGAGCUGACAAUGGCUUAAGAACCGAAUAAUUGAAAGCGGUUGCAGAUGGUGUCAAUUCAGCCCUCCGUAUGAAUGUUAGUUUUGAACAUGUACGGACUCGCCUGAAGACACUUAGGAAGGACUACAAGAUUGUAAAGGAACUUCUGGAUUUGUCUGGUUUGGGAUUUACUUUUGACACUGAAAACAAGACUGUUAUUGCUGCAGAUGAGGAUGUUUGGGAACGGUACUUUCUGGUAAGACACAUUUCUUGAUGAGUUUGGUAAUUGUUGGGUCGUAAACUUGACAAAAUGAUUAACACAAGGGUGCUUUGUAGGCUCAUCCUGAAUCACGUAAUGUUCGUGGGAAGCAUUUUCCAUACUUUGAACAAUUGAGCCUCAUCAUCGGCAACGACACUGCAACUGGUGAAGGAGCAUGUGCAGGUGAUGAAGUUGAUGAUAAAUAAGUUGAGGGGUCACCUGCAAGCAGUGGUAAGAUACAACCCUUUUGUGUUUAUUAAAUUCGUUGUGUGAAAUAAUCGGGGGCUGAUUCGUAGAUUGUGAAUGUAUAUAAUCGCAGAUGGAUUGGGGGCUGAUUCGUACUUUUACAUGGAUGAUGGUGCUGGUGUUGGAACGUUCGAAACAAGUGCAACAACUGCAACAAAUAAUGAGAGCUCAAGCAACUGCAGUGAUUCUUCCCCUCGCAUGCACCCAAUUCCACCCCCAGUGCAACCUGUUCAGUCCAAGCGCAAGAAGUCGCGUUUCGGACCCCAAGAACAACCAAGCAACUCUGAGUAUGCAAAGGGUAUCAUGGAUGAUGUUAGGACCUUGGCAGUGGCAUUUGCUGGUCCGAACAUCGAUGAAUUGUGUGAUGCACUCAAGGUUGUAAGCAAGGGGGACAGAGUCCUGUAUCUGAAUGGUCUCGACAUUCUAGGUGUUGAGGACAAGCAAGCGAAGAUAGUUCUUGGCAUGGACGCUGAUCUGAGGGCUGAUUGGUUGGUUGAUAAGCUUAAUUAUGUCACUACUAGAAAAACAGAUAAAGAUAACGCUCAAAUAAUGCUAUUAAAAGUUGUUAAUAGCAUUUAAAAAACGCUAUCUAUGCGGGUGCUAUCUUUUUUUUUGAUAGCGUUUACAAAAAAGCGCUAUUAUUUAAUAGCGUUUAUUUAAAAGCUAUGGUGUUUAGGAUAGCAUAUCCACAAACACUAUUAUUUUAGUAGCAUUUAGUAUAGCAUUUAAAAUGAUGCUGUCCUUUCAUCUAUAGCGUUUAGAAAAUGCUAUCCUUUUGUCUAUAAAUCUUUUAAAAAACCCAAUAAUAAUUAAUAAAUAUGGUAAUUGAUGAGAUUAUUAUAAAUACAAUAAUUAAUUAUAUAAUAUUAAUAAAUACGGAUCCAGAUGGAUUCGAACCACCAACCUCUCAGUUUAUGAGCGCUCUUACCAUUUAGAGCUUAUGGAUCCAUCAUAUCGAAACCAAAACCGAUCAAAUUAAGAAAGAAUAUCAUGUUACCUCUGUUCUAUGAGUCAUUGCUCUAUAGAUUCCUGAUAAAGGGAACAAUGACUAAGUAACUGUCAGCCGAGGAAUCACGCCAAAUCUGUAAUGGUGAACAUCUCCCAUUACCACAAAUUUAAUAGUUGGGGCACCAAAAAAAUCAAAUAAAUGGUUUCUUUUACCAAACCAAUACUUUUGUUGACAAGUUCAAAGCUUUAUUAAUGAACAAAUCAAAAGAGGUUAGAGGUGAGAAAGGUACUCACCUGGUAUAUAAAAAGAAAAGCAUUACAACACCUACUGCUACCUUCCCACAAUAUGAGCGUCCCAGAUCAGAAACAGUUCAUGUAAAUGGUGUCCCCUUCUAACAUCAGAGCAGGCAAGCCAAUACCUGCAGAUAUACCAUUCAACUUCUAAACACACCCUUUGAACAGCCUGCAUUUCUUCCUGAAAGCUACUCACAAACGCAAAGACAAGUUCAUCAAAUAUAUUAAGACUCAAACCAUAAUUCUGCAUACCUAAACUGAAUAAUAACAAACUCCUUACCCUGCUACAAAAAAUGCAUAACCAUCCAUAUGGUAUGUCUGGACUGUGGUGUCAUUGUUCUGAAGUAUAAUUUCAAUGAAUCCCCGAUAUGUGCCAUUAAUAACUGAUGUUCCCAAUCGUGGUGCUCCAGUCAGAGGCUCAUUAGGAAAAUCAAGAGUGUAUUUGCCUUUCACAUUGUACCAAUCAGCAAGCCUGAGUGGUGUGUCAGGGUUAACAUAGGAAAUACCACUGAGAGUAGUACGACGUUUACCCUGGAUCAUCACUGGAGGUUUAUUCUUCAACACAUAAACAUCAGUCACAUUAAUUUCCCCAUAUUUGAAAGACCCCUGUGGAUUGGGUCGAGCAGCACCAGCAGAUACGUUUGUCCUGACCAACAUUAAAAGAUAAAGGCAAAUUUCAAAUCUUCGACGAGGGUAAAAGGAAUGAAACGCAGUUUUAGAAGUUGUACAUGCAAAUCCAAAAUUUUUGGGAACAAACCUGAUGGAUCUUGCCUGGUUCAAUGAAAAUGUCUUGUCAAAUACAUCAUUUGGUCCCUCGGGUAAAGGACCAGAUGCCUUUCCCUUAGAGUUAGAAUAAUGCAAGAUGGCAACACCAGUAACUCUUCUCCAAAUUGUUUCAUUGACAAAUCUUGCACUUGCUACAACAUAGUAAUCUGUACUUGCAUUUUGGUCCAUGGUAACUAAGAACGAAUAGGACUGUCCAACAUGAAUAUCUAAGUUAGUAAAAUUCUGUUGCAUUGUGUAUGUUCCCCCUGUCUCUGCAAGAGCUAUUAGAUGAUUCUGAAUCCUGAAGUUCAAACUAGUCGAGAUUCCAACAUUGUGUACACGAAGGCGGUAUGUUUUUCCUGCCACACCAUAAUUACAUUAUCAGAGAGAAGAAAGAUAUUAAUAUCAAGCAAACAGCAAAUGGGAUAUCAUUUACAACUUGACUGAACUCUAAAAACAGUAAGACACUCUACAAGACUGCAUUAAACACAUGCCUGUUAAUACCAAAGUAGAAGGACACCAAAUGUUCAUUCAUAGCAACACAUACUAUGGCUUAUAGAUUAGGGAGAUGUAAAAUUUGUAAGAUGGAAGAAGAGAGUUAGAGCUUCUGCGUUCCUCUCUCGCUUGCGCCGCUCUUAGCACCGUCAAAUAUGAAACUGCCUAGUGCCUAAUGUGAAAUGAAACUAGCUAGGGCUUUUUAACUUCUAGCAACUAGCCACGAAAAUAUGGGCGGGCUAAUGAAAAAGAAAGCGGUAUAAAUUUUGGACCCAAAAUAGUUUGAAAGGAAAAAAUUAAGAAUGGAUUAUAUUUUACAUUAAGUUUUUUAGAAUUUUUUUUUUUUUUUUUUUAGAUCUGAGAUCGAAGCAUUUUUAUUAUUUCUAAUACAAUCCGAAGAAGGAAAAAAAACGAAGAAAAAACUUUUGUGUUCUUCUAAUUUUUCCUUUUAUUAAGACAAAAAGAAAAAACUAUUGUACAACGGAUAACAAUUACAAAUUAUAACUUAGCUUAAAUUCAAAAUAAUAAUUAAAACCUAAUUUUUAAUUUAAGGUUUUUAGAGCUGUAAUUCGAGCCAAGGAGCCGAGUUUUAGUAUGUUCAAGCUCGGCUAGUUUCCGUAAUAUGUUGAAGCUCGACUUAUUUCUUUAGUAUGUUGAAGCUCGACUUAUUUAGAAACGAGUAGAUCCCAAACUGAGCCCAAAUUUAUUAUCGAGUUUUAUGUCGAAGUUCGGCUCAUUUAAACAAUAAACGAGCUCAAACCGAGCUAAAAACGAGCAAAGCCUGAGUCGAGUUUGAAUUACUCGGCCAAGGCCACACCGAGCUUUGGUAUGUGUUCAAGCUCAACUCAAUUAAAAACGAGUCUAUCCCGAGUUGCGUGGUUGGCUCAAAUUGCACCAUUAGAUGUAUUAUCAUGGCAAUAUCUCUACCGGUUUUUAUCUUACGUAUUUAAUAAAUAAAAAAUUUAUUAUCUAGCUAAAAACAUACUAUUAGAGCUCGACUCAGAUAUGAUUGAUGAAAUUAACUAAUAUAUAUAAAUCAAAAAAAUAAAAAAUUCAGAGUAAUUUUCAAAACAUAGAACCAAUUUUGUCACUAUGGCUCAUUGGCUCACACUCGUAUGUCCCAGACUCGGAUUGUUUUGUAAUUGAAACGUUCAUAGUUUAUUUGGCUAAAAAACAAAAUUUUAAUUUCAUCUGAUAAAAAUUAUAGCUAAACAUAGGUUAAUUCUUUCAAAUUUUUUAAUAAACAUUCAAAGGUUAAUUUUUUAUUUUUUUGGCAAUCUUUGAAAUAGAAAUCUGUUUUGAUUAUUUAAAACAUAAAAUUUGUGUGUUUUUUAUGAUUUUAAGGAAAAAAAAACUACAUUAUAGUAAAACCUUGAUUUAUGAAUGUUCAACAAAAUGAACAACCUUACUUAGUUAAUAACACUACAUUUAGAAUAUUUUUUUUUCUUCAAUUUAUAAUUUUUUUUGUCUUGCUUGAAACAUCUUAUUUUUUUUUAAAAUAAUUUUAAUCAUAUUUUUUAUUUAAAUUUAUAAGUCAUACACAUAAAAUAAAAUCUUUCUCCGAUCUCUAGAUUAAUAAAUAUUAUUUUAUCAAAAAAUUAAUAAAUUAAAAUAUUAUUUUUUUUAUAAUCACCAUGCCCUUGUUCUAUGUCAUUGUGGAUUUGUGGUGAUCAUAAAAUAACUAUGGAUAAGAAUUAUAGCUUGUUGGAUUGGGCUUCACACACAUGGGCUUGGGUGUAUCACAGUUGAGUUUGUAAUGGGUCGGAUUGCGUCUUAUUUUUAUGUCUUUUGACAUUAUCAAUGAAUUAAAUAUAACAUUAAAUUAAAUGCAAUCGUUUAAUAGCAUUUUUAUUUAAAUGCUAUCUUACAUUGAACCACUUGUAAAAUAAAGAUAGCAUUUAAUAAAUUUGCUAUUAAAAAAAACUUUAAUAGCAUUGAUUUGCAAAUGUUAUUAAUUUAAAGCUAUCUUUAUCUGUUUUUCUAGUAGUGUGUUAAGCCUUUCAAUGGGGAUGAGUGGGCCGGGGAGUAGUUGUUUUCAUCUGUCUUGAUGUGUGUGUCUUGAUGUGUUCUUUUGGUGAAUUAGUUAACUUCGUCUAAACUUUGUAACAGAUAUGACUUUUUUUAUUAUCUAUCUAUGGUUUUAACUUUUGUUUAUCUGAAUGGCCUGAAUGGUUUAGUCCUGAAAUUUUCUGUCACACUUAUUACUUUGUGUUGUCGAGUUGUGUCGAGUUCAGAAAAUAUAUAUAUGUUGUAGUUGUAUGUGUGUGAUGUAAACUGACUGCGAUGGAUUGUUUCAGUCAGUGGGAAUGGUUUAGUCCUGAAAUUUUCUGUCACACUUUAUUACUUUGUGUUGUCGAGUUGUGUCGAGUUCAGAAUAUAUAUAUAUGUUGUAGUUGUAUGUGUGAUGUAAACUGACUGCGAUGGAUUGUUUCAGUCAGUGGGAAUGGUUUACACCUGAAUUUUUCUGUCACACUUUAUUACUUUGUGUUGUCGAGUUGUGUCGAGCUCAGAAAAUAUAUAUAUGUUGUAGUUGUAUGUGUGAUGUAAACUGACUGCGAUGGAUUGUUUCAGUCAGUGGGAAUGGUUUACACCUGAAUUUUUCUGUCACACUUUAUUACUUUGUGUUGUCGAGUUCAGAAAAUAUAUAUAUAUAUAUAUAUAUUGUAGGUGUAUGUGUGUGAUGUAAACUGACUGCCAUGGAUUGUUUCAGUCAGUGGGAAUGGUUUAGUCCUGAAAUUUUCUGUCACACUUUAUUACUUUGUGUUGUCGAGUUGUGUCGAGUUCAGAAAAUAUAUAUUUUGUAGUUGUAUGUGUGAUGUAAACUGACUGAGAUGGAUUGUUUCAGUCAGUGGGAAUGGUUUAGUCCUGAAAUUUUCUGUCACACUUUAUUACUUUGUGUUGUCAAGUUGUGUCGAGUUCAGAAAAUAUAUAUAUAUGUUGUAUUUGUAUGUGUCUAAUGUAAACUGACUGCGAUGAAUUAUUUCAGUCAGUGGGAAUGAUGCGAAUUAUUCACAGAAUCCCCCACAAUGGUCAACCUAUAUGGAUAACAAUUUGUGCACCAUAUUGUUAUCUGAUAGGACAGGUAGAAUUCGUCGACCCGAUGGCCGAUUUGUAACCAAUGAACUCAUUGAGGUUGCAAAAACUUUACGAAACGAAACGACAAAAGCUAAUGUCACAGGAUAUGAUGUUAAGGCGCGAAUAAAGACGAUUAAAAAGAUGACAAUGGACAUAAAUACUUUGUGCAAUCUUCCGGGGUUUGAGUGGUGUCCAAUGUCAUGCAAAAUUAGAGCCACCGAUUUUAGUUGGGCGUCGCUACCUCCAAGACUCCGUGUUUUUGAGUCGGAGUACAAGGACAAAAACUUCCUUGUCUAUCCAGUCUCCAAACACCUCUUCAAAGAGGUUUUUAUCGUUUAAUUUUGCAACUUUUGUUUUGAUAUGAAUCAUGUAAUGGUCCUAAAGUGCUUUGUAUUCCUUAUCAUGUAAUGGUCGUAAAGUGUUUUGUAUUAAUUAUCUUGUGUAUGGAACAUAUUGUAUAACUUACGCCGUUGCGGAUUAACAUUAUCGACCCACAAAUGGUUGCUUAUAUUUUGUAUGGAACAUUGCUAGUCUAAUAUGAACAAAUUGUUGCUCAUCGUGUGUAGCAUUGUGUACGUAUGUUGAGUAAUACAUUUGUAAACUUAUGGGUAUUGCAAUAUGUGUUACAGAGAUACCUGAGUAUGGCACCCAACCUAAGGCCAAUUGUUAGAGAUAACCCAUACUGGGUGAAGCAAGUUAGCAAGGGCCACGUCACCAAUUGAUGCAUAAUGGUAAGCAAAUUCCUAAUUAUGUAUGGACUUACAUAAAAUGAUGGGCUUUGGGCUAUUAGUUGGGCCUCACAGUAAUGGCUAGUAAUGUUGAUAUAUAUGGCAAGAAAUCUGGACAUACAUAUGGGCUGCUACAUGUGCAGAAAAAUCUUGUAUAUGGCAGAAUUUUUAUGCUGUUGAUAUAUGGCAGAAUUUUUAUGCUGUUGAUAUAUGGCAGAAUUUUUAAUAAAUACUGUUGAUAUAUGAAAUUGUUUGACAGAACUGUUUCAUAUAUAUGGCUAGUAAUGUUCAUAUAUACUGUUGAUAUAUGGCAGAAUUUCUAUAUACUGUUGAUAUAUGGAAUUGUUUGACAGAAUUGUUUGAAUUCUAUGGCUAGUAAUAUUGAUAUAUACUGUUGAUAUAUGGCAGAAAAUUCCGGCUACUAACAAGUAUUUGUUCGAACACUACAAGCGCGUCGUGUUUAUCUUGCCUGGUGAACAAAGCUUCAGGGUUGAAGUUACCAAUGAUCGCCAUGCUUCUUUGUACUUUCGCUACAAUGGGUGGAAGAGUUUCAUUGAUGCAGUCGAUCUCAAGGAAGGCGACACCAUCUUGUUCGAGUGUUGGGGUCUUUGUCGCACGCACAAGCUGGGGAGGAUCAGAGUUCAGAUUUAUCACUGUGAUGGGCGACGACCUAGGCUUUUCUUUGGGCGUAUACUGGCACCGGCGAUAAGGACUUGGCCUAGCGCGUUUGAGAGAGCACAAUCAGGAGAGGAAGAACCAGAAGAAGAGGAAGAACCAGAAGAAGAGGAAGAACCAGAAGAAGAGGAAGGUUGUGGUACUUUAGCUUCACUGUAUGUGGUCUAGUUGGGUGUUAAGCAUUUCAGUUGAUUGUUUGGUUUAUUUUGUCUGACUAUGGCGGUUGUGUUAAUGACAUUUUUAAGAACUUAUUAUGUUUACAUAAACCUAUAACUAUGUUUUAUAAAUGUAUAUAAUUUCGUUAAUUAUAUUAUGUGUGUUAUUGUUGAGUAAUUUUUUUUGUUUUUCAAAUUCGUUAAUUUUGGUGUUUUUUUAUACAUGUACGUACGCAAUGAUAACAAAUGUUAUUAUUGAGUUUUUUUUUUUUUUUUUUUUGAUAGCGAAAUGUUAUUGAGUUACUAGGGUGACUCUACCAUAACUUUUGGGUGAUAUGUGAUCACUUUUGCACAGCCCAAUCAAGUUUGGACUUGUUAUUUUGGACCAGCCAAAUGGACCUUCAACUUUGCCACUAGGUUUUGCCAAAAUCGAAAGUUUUAUCAAAACCAAUGUAACCGGCAAAUAUAAGUUACAUGGUUUGCCAAAUGUGUUUUCAAAUGCGUUCUAACCGGCAAAUUGCGAUUUAUCUGUUUUUUGCAAAAUUGUUAUCAAACGAUGGCAAAAUAAUUUUGCGGAUAAAUCAUUUGCCAAGAACCGGCAAACCUAACAUUUGCCGCUUCUUUGCCCGAUUUGCCAAAAAAACUUCCAAAGCGGGAAUUCGUUAUCAAACACAGCCUAAGUUUUUCUUUUUAUCCAUUAUUAUCUAAUGCAAGUACGUAAGAAGAUAUAAAAAAUGUUUUUUUUUUCUAAGAUUUCAACAUGAAAGAAAUAAGAGAAAGAAAUAAGAGAAAGAAAAAAUAGAAUACGGGGUUUAAGAGGGUUUCUAAGCUUUGAAAAAGUAUUAAUUGGGCUGGAAAGUGUGGGUUUUGGGUUUUAACUUAUGCAGUGUGGUGUGAACUUAGCAAAUAACACACCUACCGAUUUUUCAAUUUAGGAUGAGUUUGGUAUUACAUAUUCUUUUGUUAGGGGUAUGCACAAAACCAGGUGGUGGAAAUAGCCAUUGCCAAAAAAAAAAAAAAAUUUGUAAUGGAUAGCCACGUGAUCGGGUUCGAACGAAUAAGUAUUUAGAAAAAUCGGGUUUGCUAUCCAUAAAGGAUUUGCCGCGCAGUUUGUAACGCGUUUGUCCUCUACUUUUGUGUAAUUCGUUGAGAUUAUCAAUAAAAUUUGUUUUUUUUUCUAAAACCAGUUCCCUUGUUUCUCUCACAAAACCCUAAAUUUCUUCUUCAAUCCUCUUCCAACCACCUCUUUAGAUUUUUUUUUUUAUAGUAUAAGCUGAUAAAUCUGUUUAGAAUUAUUAGAUUUUUGUUAGUUGGAAGUUGAUUUGGCUUUGAAUUCUUCAAAUUCAUGUAGUUUGAUAUGAAAGAUUAGAUUUUUUUUUUUCCGUCCUGCAUGAGAACCUUUUUUUUUUUGUUAUUUUAUUGAAAGAUUGGAUUUUGUUAAAUCGUAUUUUGAACAUUGUUGAUUUUCAAUUAGUUCUUUGAUUUGGGUUUUGGUGGUUAUUUCAUUGGUUCGUUAGGGGUUUAAUUUGAUAGCUAAGAUCAAAUGAUCAAAUGAUUAUAUUUUCCUGAGUGUUUGAUUUGGAUGAACACAUGAUGAUGUUGUGGUGGAAGUAAUUCUAUCAAAUAAGAUCAUUAUAACAUGUGGGUGCGGCAAUUUUUCCUAUGUUGCACUCUCUGGAUGCAUUCCAUCUCUCUGACAUUUGCCGGCAUUAUUGUUUGUUUUCAUAUUCUGGUAGUUCUAUAAUGUGGUUCAUUGAAGUGUUCUAAACUUUCUAGUUUCUAGAUACUUCUGAUUUGACUGCAUUUCCAUCUUAUUUUAUGAUUCUGGGUGUUUGAAUUCGAUGAAUACAUGAUGACAGUUGUGAUGUAUAUAAUGGCAUGUAUAAGAUGAGAGGAUAGAUCAUCAUAACUUGAGGGUACGACAGAUUCUGGCGAAUUUGCUUACAUUCCUAUGUUGCACCCUCCGGUUGUGAUGAUCUUCCUCUCUUCUGAUUUAGCUGUUUUUCAUCUGUCUGACUGAAGUUCAUUGUUGUUCUCUUUCAUAGUCUUGUAGCUCUACAAUGUGUUCUUUGAAGUGUUCUGAACCUUCUAGUUUCUACUUAUUGUAUAAUUCUGAGUGUUUGAAUUCGAUGAAUAGAAUACAUGAUGACAAUUGUGAUGGAUAUCUUGGCAUGGAUAUAACUUGAGGGUACGGCUGUUGUUUUCAACCUAGUACAGAGUAAUUGACUGUGGCAAUUCUUUGCACAAUCUUUCUCAACAUUUUCUUAGUGCUCUCCCUGAAUAUUCCUCUAGUCAAUGUUGAUUAUGUUGCUCUUGAAAUUUAGGUCCAUACUGUCAAGGUAUAGGAGUUUGAAUCCUCCGUUUGGUAGAACAAAGGUCGGCUUGUAUUUGUGUGGAUCUGUUGAAACCUCCUUGUACUUUGGAACUUGGCCAUUUUACGUCUUUACUCCUCAAAGCGGGUGCUUACUAACAUAAUGCCAUUGCGGGGAGAUAGAUGCACCAAAUUUCGAGACUACUUGGAUUAACACAAAUUGUGAGGAGUAAAGACAACCAUUAAUUUUACAUAACCGGGGCAGGCAAAAAUUCAGGACAAGGAAGAUAUUCCUCCAGACUUAGAUUGAUCUGUUUCUUUCUUUCAGUGUCUAGUACGUGGUGGUUAGUAUUAUGUUAAAGAUUACUCUUUAAAACUUCUCUCUAAUGUGUUAAAGAUUACUCUCUAAGUUCUUUUCCUGUUUGCAAUUUGAGAGUUGUGUGUAGAACCCUGGUCUGAUUAACUUGUAGGCCUCUGAGGAUAUGUAUCCUUAGUGUAUGGGAUUGAUUUCCAUUGUAUUAUGUAUGCAACUUUUUUUUUCAAGAGGUGCUACCGUCAACCUUUCUUUGCAGUCAUGUUAUAUUGCUGUCUAGAUAGAAGGGUACAGGUGGUACUAGUGUACUACCUCUGUCAUAUUCCAAAGCCGAGAGCAUAGUGCUGAGAUCUGUAGACUGUAGUUGCACCUAAUUUCGAGACUACCCUUAUGAGUGACGGAGUCCCAGCCACUGUAUUGUUGGUGUUACUUUCAGUACUUGAUUGUUGGUGUUACUUUCAGCACUGCAUUGUUGAUGUUACUUUCAGAAGUCUACUUAUCCUCUCCGAAUGCAUAUCUAGCCUAAUGUCUCAUUUGGUAGAGAAAUCAACAAAUGAAAGUUCAAAUCGUAGUGAUUUGAACCCUCCCAUCCCCAUGCAUGUCUUGUGUUGCCUUUGGUAGUUGGUAACAGAUCAUUCCUAACAAAUGAUUUAUGUCAUAGUUUUUUAGCAUGGUGGUGGAUAUAAAAAGGCUUUGUUCCUUUCCAUGGCUAAUGGCUUCAUAUUUAGCAAAUCUUUUAAUUAGUGAAAAGGAUACCAAACAUUUGUUAUUUUUUAAAUGAGAAAAAUGAAACAUUGGAGAAAAUUGAACACACUGUUCAAAGCAGACUGAUUAGCCUAGCCUACUGUGUAUGCAAUUAUAGUUGGGGCUAUAGUCCAAUAGAAUUUGGUAAUUAGUCUAGGAUUUGUUUAGGGUUUCAAUGAUAGAGUCGUUUCAAAGGUUCAAUAGGUUUUAUUAUUAUUCAUUAUGUGAUCUCCUACUUUAUCAUCGUUUCAAAGGUUCAAAGGUUCAAUAGGUUUUAUUAUUAUUCAUUAUGUGAUCUCCUACUUUAUCAUCGUAUCAGCUGCAAGAUCUUGGACCUUCUCUUAAGGUUUAGGGGUAUUUAGGUUUUAGUCACUUGAUUUAACUUGAGUCGUAGAAAAACCGGGUUUAAUCGGAUAUUUUGUUAAAAUGGCUGGAUUACACCUGUAAAGGUCACGUGUGCUGCACUUGAUAAACAAAACACCAAAAAUUAAACACUCUCGUCUUCUUCAAAUCGAUUUCUCUCUUAAAUCUUCUUCUUCUCCGGCUGGUCUUAUCUCCUACGGCGACCACCACUUCUCCUUCACUUUACCACCACCACCACCACCACUGUUAAAAAUGUAAUCUGUAAUGUCCAAGUCCAAGAAAAGCCCAGUCCAUAGAAGUGUCCAGAAGCAUAAAGAAUUAUCUAGUCCAUAGAAGUGUCCAGAAGCAUAAAGAAUUAUCUAGCAUAUAACAGUUAAUAGUUAAUAGAGAAGUCUAGAAUGUAUGAGAAAAAAUCAGAACUAUGUAGAACAAUUAAAGUCGGUUAUAAUGUCCUAUAAAUAGGGAGGUGAACAUGUUGUUUGAUCAAUCAAGAAAAGAAGUUCUCUAGUACUAGAAGUCCUCUUUUGUAAUAAAAACAAAGUUUCUUUUAUAAACUUGUUAUUUUGUCAUAUUCUUCUUCUUGACUCUCAUAUACCCACUAACACUUCCAUUGUUUUAACAAAUUGGUAUCAGAGCCAAGUUUUUUCUUUGGUCCCCCAUACCACUUUCCAUCAUCUACACCUUAAACCACUAUAUUCCCAUUAUUUACACUUAAACCAUGGCCAUAAAUCAAACCCCAUAUACAUUCAAUUAUACCCAAAAUCUAAUACCCAUAUUUCAUGGUGAUAGUUAUGAUUAUUGGAGUUUACAAAUGAAAACUCUAUUCAUGUCUCAAGAUUUAUGGGAAUUAAUUGAAGAUGGCUAUGAUGUACCGGAGUCGACGGCAGAAUUACAAACAUGGGAUCAAAGCAAGCAAAAGGAGUACAAGGAGAAGAAAAAGAGAGAUGCCAAAGCAUUAUUGUUCAUCCAACAAGGGGUAAGCAAAUCAAUUUUUCCAAGAAUUCUUGGCGCUUCAAAUUCUAAGGAUGCAUGGGAAAUUCUUAAGAAAGAAUUUCAAGGAACCCAAAAGAUAAUUUCUAUCAAACUCCAAUCUUUAUGGCGAGAAUUUGAUAAUUUUCUCAUGAAAGAUAAUGAGAAAGUUCAAGUAUUCUACAAUAGGGUCUCCAACGUUAUCAACCAAAUUAAAAGUUAUGGAGACACUAUUGAAGAUAAGAAAAUUAUUGAGAAAAUUUUGCGAAGUUUACCCGCAAAAUUUGAUCAUAUUGUCGCCGCCAUAGAAGAAUCAAAAGAUUUGUCAAAAUUAUCAUUAUAUGAGCUAAUGGGUUCUCUUGAGGCGCAUGAAGAAAGGAUGAGCAACAGGUCAGCUGAAAAAUCAUUGGAGCAGGCAUUUCAGUCCAACGUGACUUUUGGGGACAAGAAAGAAAAUUCAAGAAGCUUCCAGAAUCCUGGAGAAUUUAGCCGAGGAGAAAGCUCAAACUGGGGACGUGAAGGAAAAUUCAGCAACAACAACCGAAGGUAUGGCAAAAAUCCUUCUUCAAAACCUUAUUGCAAUGUUUGCAAAAAACCCGGUCAUAAAAGUGAAAACUGCAGAUAUAAAUGCACCACGUGUAAAAAGUUAAAUCACGUGGAUAAAGAUUGUUGGCUCAAGAAGAAAAAUCAAGCCAACUACAUGGAGAAAAAUGAAUCUCCAGACCAAGUAUUUUAUUCUUGCUAUAAUGCAAUGCAAGAACCUAAAGAUAUUUGGUAUUUAGACAAUGGCUGCAGUAAUCACAUGACCGGAGAUAAGAAAGGUUUUAUAAGUCUAGAUGAAGACGUUAAGCUAGGAGAUGGUAAACUUCAGAAAAUAGAAGGAAAAGGAAUAAUUACAGUAAAAAUUGGAGAAGGAGCAUCUAAAAAUAUGCAUGAUGUUCUGUAUGUCCCCGGUCUUGCUCAAAACUUACUAAGUUUUGGGCAACUUAUCCAGAAAGGGUAUAUUGUGCAUUUUGAAGAUAGUGAAUGCACAAUUUACGAUAAAAGAAAGAAGCAGGUGGUUGCCAAAGUACAGAUGACAGAAAAUAAGGUUUUUCCAUUGGUGAUGUCAUCGGUACAAAAUUAUGCCAUGAAAGCAACUGCAGUUGAUAAAACUGAAUUAUGGCAUUUACGAUUUGGGCAUUUGAAUUAUAGAGCCUUAAGGGUUCUAAAGUCCAAAAAUAAGGUGAUUGGGCUACCUAGUAUUGGUGGAGAAGUUAGAGUUUGUGAAGGCUGCAUUUUUGGGAAAUUUUAUAGAUUUCCCUUUGCUAAGUCAUCAUGGAGAGCCAGGAAGUCUUUAGAAUUGGUUCACGCUGACAUAUGCGGACCAGUUCGAACACCGUCAUUAAACAACAAAAGAUAUUUUCUUUUGUUUGUUGAUGAUUACAGCAGGAUGAUGUGGGUGUACUUCUUAGAACAAAAAUCGGAAGCAUUCACCACAUUCUUGAAGUUCAAGGCGCUCGUUGAAAAACAAAGUGGGCAUUCCUUAAAGGUGUUACGCACUGAUCGAGGAGGAGAAUUCACAUCUAAGGAGUUCAACAAAUAUUGUCAAGAUCAAGGAAUCAAGAAGGAGCUGACAGUCCGAUACACUCCUCAACAAAAUGGCGUGGUAGAAAGGAGGAACAGGACGAUCGUGGAGAUGACUCGGAGCAUGCUGAAGGGAAAAGGCUUACCAAACAAACUAUGAGCUGAAGCUGUCAACACCGCGGUCUACAUUCUCAACCGUUCGCCAACUAAAGUAGUGCGAGACAGGACGCCGUAUGAAGCAUGGCAUCAUCAAAAGCCCACGGUAACUUCUCUAAAAGUCUUUGGAUGCAUCGCAUAUUCUCAUAUUCCAUCAAAACACAGAGAAAAGUUUGAUGAGAAGGGAGAAAAGCUCAUCUUUAUCGGGUAUAGCGAAGAAUCCAAAGCUUACAGGCUACUUAAUCCCAGGACCAAUGAGUUAGUAAUCUCCAGAGAUGUCAUCUUUGAUGAGCAUAAUGCAUGGAGUUGGGAUGAUGGAAACAACACUAAUGUCGAGGCGCCACUAAUACUUGAAGAAGAAGAAUCAACCCAAGAACAACCAGGUCCAGAACCUGAACCAGUUACUCCGCCAACAUGCCCAAGAAGUUCAUCUUCAUCAGGGUCAAGCUCUCCCCCAAGAAAGGUACGUCCUUUACAAGAUAUUUACAAUUCAUGCUGUCCAGUUGCUUUUCUUGCUUGUGAACCACAAAAGUAUGAAGAAGCAGCAACUGAAGAAAAAUGGAGAAAAGCUAUGGAUGAAGAAAUGAAAGUCAUCCAUAAAAAUGAAACAUGGGAGCUGGUUGAAAAGCCCAAAGAGAAAGAAGUUAUUGGGCUGAAAUGGGUCUAUAAGACCAAGUAUAAUGAAGAUGGCUCUAUCCAGAAGCAUAAGGCUCGGCUUGUUGCAAAAGGUUAUUCCCAACAACCUGGAAUAGACUUUAACGAGACAUUUGCGCCCGUUGCAAGGAUGGAGACAAUUCGUACAGUACUAGCAAUUGCAGCACAAUUGGAGAUAAAAGUCUACCAGUUGGAUGUGAAGUCAGCUUUCUUGAAUGGAGAACUUGAGGAGGAGGUCUACGUGGAACAACCUCAAGGCUACAUCAUCAAGGGAGAAGAAAUAAAAGUUUAUCGACUUCGCAAAGCUUUGUACGGGCUAAAGCAAGCACCAAGAGCCUGGAACAGUAAAAUUGAUCGCUACUUUCGCCAGAAUGGAUUUGAAAGAAGUCCAAGCGAACCAUCGCUUUAUGUGAAACGAGAUGGUGCGGGUAAUUUUCUUAUAGUUUGUCUUUAUGUCGACGACUUAAUUUAUGCCAGCACCAAGCAAGCAAUGGGAGAAGAAUUCAAACGAGCGAUGAUGAAGGAGUAUGAGAUGACUGACUUGGGACUCAUGAGAUAUUUUCUCGGGAUCCAAGUACGACAAUCUCAGGAAGGCUUUUUUCUUUCUCAAGAAAAAUAUGCCGAAGACCUCUUGAAGAAGUUCCAGAUGGUCGACUGCAAACCAGUGACGACACCAAUGGCUGUGAAUGAAAAGCUAAGUAAGGAUGAUGGAGCAGCUAAGGCCGAUGCUUCACUAUUCAGAAGUUUGGUUGGUUCGUUGAUCUAUCUCACGAAUACAAGACCAGAUAUUGUUCAAGCAGUAAGCAUGAUAUCGCGCUACAUGAGUGAUCCAAGCAAACUACACUAUGCAGCAACAAAGAGAGUACUGAGAUAUGUCAAAGGAACGAAAGGAUUCGGCAUCAACUACAAGAAGGAGAAAGAUAACAAGUUAGUUGGCUAUACAGAUAGCGAUUGGGCAGGAUCAAUAGAUGACAGGAAGAGCACUUCAGGUUAUGUUUUCUUCCUAGGUACGAAGGUGAUCACAUGGUCAUCAAGAAAGCAAAAUACAGUGGCACUAUCGUCGGCAGAAGCAAAGUACAUGUCAGCAACAAGUACAGCUUGUGAGGCAGUAUGGCUUCGAAGAAUUCUGGCAGAUUUACAACAAGAGCAAGAAGGUCCUACUACUAUAUAUUGCGACAAUAUGUCUGCAAUAGCUAUGACCAGGAAUCCAGUGUUCCAUAGCAGGUCAAAGCACAUUGAGUUGCGUCACCACUUCAUCAGAGACUUGGUUGAAAGUGAAGAGAUCGAGCUACAAUUCUGCAGGACUGAAGAUCAAUGUGCCGACAUAUUUACCAAGCCACUUGGAGGUGAAAAAUUUCAUCACUUUAGGAGGAGCAUGAACAUUACAGAUUAAGUGGGGGUGUUAAAAAUGUAAUCUGUAAUGUCCAAGUCCAAGAAAAGCCCAGUCCAUAGAAGUGUCCAGAAGCAUAAAGAAUUAUCUAAUCCAUAGAAGUGUCCAGAAGCAUAAAGAAUUAUCUAGCAUAUAACAGUUAAUAGUUAAUAGAGAAAUCUAGAAUGUAUGAGAAAAAAUCAGAACUAUAUAGAACAAUUAAAGUCGGUUAUAAUGUCCUAUAAAUAGGGAGGUGAACAUGUUGUUUGAUCAAUCAAUCAAGAAAAGAAGUUCUCUAGUACUAGAAGUCCUCUUUUGUAAUAAAAACAAAGUUUCUUUUAUAAACUUGUUAUUUUGUCACAUUCUUCUUCUUGACUCUCAUAUACCCACUAACACUUCCAUUGUUUUAACAACCACCACCACUUCUCCUUUGAAAAAACAGAAUUGAUGGAGUAGAUCUGUUGAAGAAGAUGAAGAAAAUUGUUCUGCUCAUACAUGAUAUUCUAACAUAUAUAACCUUAAUACCUUAUUGUGCAGACCUUAAACCAUCAAAUUUCUUUCAAUUUCAUGUGCUUCAAACACAGAUUAUCGAUCGAAGAUAAUCAAACACAAAGUUUAGUUGCUUUGAGAGAGACUUUGCAGAUCUGAAUCAUCUCUCUUCUAUAAACCUUGAGAUGAUGAAGGAUAGAUGAAAAUAAGAAGGCAGAGUUGGGAAUACUGACUUCGAAAGAAUUUUAUUGAUUUGAAGGAAUUGAUGGUGAUAAGAUUGAAAGUUUGAAACACAGUUUAAAACAUAACUACUGUUGCUGCCACCACAACACCACUGUAUCUUACUAAGCUAUCUUCAUCAUCUCUCCAGCACCCCAUCGCCGUCGCCACCAACUGGUUCUCUCUCUCUCCAUCACCACCAUCACCGGCCGCCACCUGGUUCUCUCUCCCUCCUUCUUCACCACCAUCCACCGCCACCUGAACCUCCUGUUUAUUUUGUUGUUGUUUGAAUAGAUUUCGAUUUUGGUUUAAAAAUAGAUUUUGUUUUGGGUUUUAUUUCUCAACAAACAAAUGCAUAGGUAGAAAAAGAAAGAUUUAUUUUUGGUAAGAUAAGUGUGAGUCGGAGAUAACUGGUGGUGAUUGUAUCAUGUGUGAGAUUGAUGGACAGAUUGCUGAGGAAAAUCCAAUGGUCCAAAUAACGCAGCGUGUGUAAUUCAAAUAGGGAUAUUUUGGCUAUUUUAAAAAAUAUAUCGGUUCAACUAAUGGUUCGUGAUUAAAGUCUAAUUAACAGAACUUAAAUGUUUUUUCCCUAAUUAAUAUAUACUUUUAGUGACCAAAACCUAAAUACCCUUAGGGUUUAUCUUGUAUGCAAUUCUUUUGAUUUCACAACAUCAAUCUUCUCUAUUACCAUGGCUGCUAAAAGAUAUGAUAGCUUUCAUUCCAUUAGUGUGAAGUUGGUCGGAUGGUAAAAACUAUGCAUAUUAGAGCUAUGUUAUGAAGAAUUUUUUGAAAGGAAAGAAGAUGUCGGGAUAUGUUACUGGUGUUUGCAAAAAGCCUAAUGAAAGUAAUGCUAAAUAUGUCGAUUUAUUGGAUCUAUGGGAUGUUAACAACUCCAAGAUUCUCACUUGGAUCAACAACUCAGUUGAGCAUUCAAUUGGUUUUCAAUUGGCCAAGUAUGAAACAACAAAAGAGGUUUGAGAUCACUUAGCGAGAUUGUUCACUCGAUCCAAUUUUGCGAAACGUAUCAAGUUGAAGCAGAUCUACGUGUUAUCAAACAAGGUGAUCAAAGUAUUCAUGAGUUCUUUGCUACUAUGACUAAUCUUUGGAAUGAGUUGACUUUAAUGGAGUUUACUGAGCUUAAAGCAUUUGCGAGUGCUUACUAACAUAAUGCCAUUGCGAGGAGAUAGAUGCACCAAAUUUCGAGACUACUUGGAUUAACACAAAUUGCGAGGAGUAAAGACAACCAAUAAUCUUACAUAACCGGGGCAGGCAAAUAUUCAGGACAUGGAAGAUAUUCCUCCAGACUUUGGGUUGUUUGUAGAACCCUGGUCUGAUUAACUUGUAGGCCCCUGAGGAUAUGUAUCUUUAGUGUAUGGGAUUGAUUUCCUUGGUGUCUUGUACGCAACUUUUUUUUUUAAGAGGUGCUACUGUCUACAUUUCUUUGUAAUCAUGGUAUAUUGCUAUCUAGAUUUAGGUCUAGACUACAAGGUCAAGUGGUAAACUGCUAGGAGUUUGAAUCCCCCCUUCGAUGAAAGGGUACUAGUGUACUACCAUACUUGAAGUUGGCCAUUCUACCUCUGUCAUAUUCCAAAGCCGAGUGGAUAGUGCUGAGAUCUGUUGUUGCACCUAAUUUCGAGACUACCCUCAUGAGUGACAGUUCCAGCCACUGCAUUGUUGGCGUUACUUUCAGAAGUCAUAAAGGAGAACAUUGCUUCUUCUUGUCUUCUAGAUAAAGGUUUAGCGGUCAUAAUAAAUAAUCUAAUUGGGUGUGCAGAGUGGACUCUGUUGGAUUCUGUUGCAGAUUUCUGUGUGGAUUUUGAUUCGGUGAAGUACAUACUCAAUUUUUAGACAAGUGUGUAUGAAUACAAACCAUCCUAGUCUGCUUUAUCUUAGGGUGGCAUUCCAAUUGCCAUAUUAUCCUAAUGUCUCAUUUAGUGGAGAAAUCAACAACUAAAGUGAUUUGAGCCCCAUGUUUGGCGCAUCCCCAUGCAUGCAUGUUUUGUGUUGCCUUGGUACUUGGUAGCACUGUAGCAGAUAAUUCCUAACAAAUGAUUAAUAUGUCAGUUUUUUAGCAUGGUGGUGGAUAUAAAAAGGCAUUGUUCCUGUCCAUGGCUUGUAUAUUUAGCAAAUCUUUGAUGAAGUGAAAGGAAUAACAAACAUUUGGUACUUUUUAAAUGAGAAAAAUGAAACAUUAGAGAAAAUUGAACACAACGUACAAAGUGACCGAGUUAGCUUAGACGAUAAUAGAAUAGUAAUGAUUUGAUAAUAAAACUUGCACAAGGUUGAGUUUUUGUAUUGUUAUUGGGUUUAGGAGAGAUCAUCGAAUUAACAUGACAGUAAGUAAAAUGAAUCAAAAUAAGUGAAGAAGAAAGAGAGGAGAGAAGAAGAGGGAUAGAGUAAAUCAGGGUUCAUGCUACUGCUUUCUCCUGUAUUNNNNNNNNNNNNNNNNNNNNNNNNNNNNNNNNNNNNNNNNNNNNNNNNNNNNNNNNNNNNNNNNNNNNNNNNNNNNNNNNNNNNNNNNNNNNNNNNNNNNCCUUCAAGCUGGAGCAUACAUGUCAGGCAUGUUCAGCUUGGAACACAGAUACUCAGAUAUGGCUGGUGUGACUUAUUUGGUGAAGACAUCUGCCAAUUGAUUUCGAGAGGAGACAUGAGGUGUGCAGAUCUCCUUGGACAUAACCUUCUCUCUAACAAAAUGACAAUCCACCUCGACGUGUUUGGUUCUCUCACGAAAUACUGGAUUGCUAGCAAUGUGAAUAGCCGCUUGAUUAUCACAAUAGAGCGGCAGAGGCAUCUUUACAGAGAGACCCAAUUCUUGUAGCAAAUUUUGAAUCCACAUCAACUCACAUGUUGUUUGAGCCAUACCUCGGUACUCAGCCUCGGCACUAGACCUGGACACCACAGUUUGCUUCUUGCUCUUCCAAGUGAUUAGGUUGCCACCUAAAAAGUACAAUAUCCAGUAGUUGAUCUUCUAUUAGACACAUCACUAUUGUAAUCAGAAUUAGUAUACCCGAUCACAUCAAGAUGUCCAUAUGCUCGAUAAACUAACCCACGACCUGGAGAAUUAUUUAGAUAACGAACAAUGUGAACAACUUCCACAUAGUGUGGAACACGUGGUGCUUGCAUAAACUGAGACACCAUACUAACUGCAUAAGAGAUGUUAGGACGAGUAAUGGUUGCAUAUAUUAGCUUGCCAACGAGUCGACGGUAUCUCUCAACAUUUGAGUACAACUCACCUUCAUCUGAUUGGAGUUUGUUGUUUGGAUCCAUAGGAGUCUCAAGUGGUUGCGAUCCUAGAUGCCCUGUUUCAGUUAAGAGGUCCAACACAUACUUUCUUUGUGAGAGAUGAAUCUCCCUUGAAACUCUAGUCCCUUCAAUACCUAAGAAGUACUUCAACUCACCAAGAUCUUUGGUCUGUACGUGCUUUGACAAAUUUACCUUGAGAGUAGUAAUGGCUUGCAUAUCUGAAGCAGUAACUACGAUGUCAUCGACAUACACAACUAGAAUGAUUACCCCUUUCGUAGUUUUCCUAUAGAAAAUCGAGUGAUCACAAUGACAACGACUCAGGAUCAAAUGAAGUCUAGGGUGGAGAUUAGGAAAGCAAGUGUGGUUUCCUUAGCUGGUAGAGGGGUGAUGAUCAAAUAAGUGGCUCAAUCAUUACCAGUGUACACAAUAUCCACAUUCGUUGUACCAAAACACAAUUACAUGUAAUCUGGAUAGGAUUUGUAGAGAUUUUUGGUGGAAUGGGACAAAGGAAGGGAAGGCUAUUCAUCUCUGUCAAUGGAAUAAAGUCUGUUAGAAUAAGAAGGAAGGUGGGUUGGGUUUUAGAGGUUUUGCAGAUAUAAACUAGGCUUUAGUCUCUAAACUGCUAUGGAAAAUAAGAGUUGGUGAUGAUUCAUGUAGGGGUACUAUAUGCGCCAGCCAAUCAAAACACGACACGUGGCCUACUCAUCAUCCUCACAGGUCGUCCACUACACGACCUAACCAAAGAUCGAUCAGAAUAGCUCGACUAUAUGACCGAUGACAACCUCUUCAUAUGUACUUGCCCUAAAUCAUGCAUAGAGAAUAUCUCCAGCUGUUACACAAUCAUUGCAGCUGUUACACAAUCAUUGGAGAAUAUUACACAAUCAUAAAGAUGUCGAAGAAUCUGCAAGAUCCCAUGAUCUUCGCCCCAUCACCUUCUAUAUAAACAGAACUACGAUGGCUUGAUCUCUAAGUUCCAUUCCCUCGAGCUAGAGUACGUAGGCAAUCUCGAUCUCAUCAAGGUGCAGCCACCCCCGAUCUCAAACUCCCCCUUUGGUCAGUUCAACAACGAUCUGAUCUAGUGAAUGCAUUAAUCUAGAAAUAGGUUGAUACAAUUCACUAUGGACAAGAACAAUGAAGGCAAAAUAUGGGAAAUAUCUGCAACUAGAUAAUCAGACUGAAGUCCACCUUGGGCAUCCCCCAUGUUAAGAGGAUUGCUUAAAGCUAAACCAAUAAUCAAACAAGGUUUAAUCUGGUGUGGAGGAGAUGGAAGGAAGAUUAACUUUUGCACAAACCCAUGGAUCCCUUUUCUAGGAAGAUCGACUCGCAAGUAUUCAUGAGUUAUGGUCUGUCAGUCCUUCUACAAACAAAAAAGUUUCCCACUUUAUUAAACCUAAUUGUUCAUGGAAAUUACAUUUUUUUUUCCAAAAAAGGUGUUUUUUCUGUAAUAUCUGCUUAUUGGAUUGCUAGAUUUACAAAGCCCUGUAGCAAGCUCUUCUAAUGCAACUCCUUCUUUUGUGUUCUCUAAACUGUGGAAUAUGAAAUUGCCACCUGAUUUAACAAUUUUUCUUUGGAAAACACUUGUGAACAUAAUCUCAACUGCUGACAACCUAAGUUCUAAUCAUCUGAAUGUUGAUCCAGACUGUACCUUUUGUGGUUAUGAUAGAGAAACUUUCACCAUAUAUUCUUUUAUUUUCCUUGGGUGUCAAGAAUUUGGUUUGGGUCGCCUUUUUGUAUUAGAUUUUCUGGAGACAUGUGUGAAAAUUACAAUUGGUUUUUGUUUUUCCUUAAUCUAGAUAGACAGGAUGAUCAUGAUACAAAUGAAUGUUCUUUGUUGGCUUUGUACCUAAUGCUUGCCAUAUGGACAUCCAGGAAUCUUAUUAGAUUUGAUAGUAAGCAAAUUAUUUGGGAAUCAGUAAUAGAAAAUGCUUUUCAUAUGGACUGAAGCUCUGUCUCACAGUGAAAGUGCUACAGUUCAGACUCAUUCUACAGAUUUGUCUAACCAUACUUGGAUUAGUCCACCACCAGGGUGGAUUAAGAUUAAUUUUGAUGCAAGUUUUCUUUGCAAAUAGGAAGAUGGGAGCUUUAGCUGUUGUGGCAAGGGAUGCUAAAGGAGACAUUUUAACCGGAGGCACAAAAAGAAUACAAGCAACAAUGGAUGUUGAAGAGGCAGUAUUUCUAGCAGCUGAAAUGGCUAUCAAAUUAGCUUUGGAACUGAACUAGUUAGAUGUGUUUAGUGAAGGAGAUAGCUCUAAUGUCAUCUCAUGCCUUAUAGUUAAGGGACAAACAACUCCACCGUGGAACUCAACCAACUUAGUUAAUUUUAUUAUUUCUUGUAGCUCUAUUUUAAGGUUUAUGACUUUUAUCCAUGUCAGGUGGUCUGAGAAUGUAUAUCAGUUUAUAGCUGUUGGACUAUUUAUAGUUCACAAACUAUUUGUAGCUUGGUUGAUUUCGUGAAUGAAUUAGGGGUGUGUUUGAUUGCAAGCAUUUUCCCAAUGUAAUGAGAAAAUUUAUGUGUUUUCUCAGUGGACCAGUGGAAAGGGGGCACUAUUUAUGUGUUUGAUUGUUAACUUAAGCAGUGAGAAAAAGAAAAUCGUAUUUUCCCACUGUAUAGUUAUUUUCUCUAUACAGUGAGAAAACAUUUUCUUACCCUCCCCCUUAGAAUUCCAAACUAGUGAGAAAAUGGGGUUAUUUUCCCACUAGAGUGAGAAAAAAGGAUGGUUAAUUCAAAAUUAGUGAGAAAAUAAUUAGAAUUCCCACUAUCAAUCAAACACCAUAUUUGUGCAGAGUGAGAAUGACUUAAAACAUUUUCUUACUUAAGUGUGAAAAUAUUUUAAAUCAUUCCCACUUAAGUGGAAAAACUAUCUUUAAGUCAUUCUCACUCUCAUUUUUUCUCACUCCGCAAUCAAACGCAGCCUAGAAGAUCCUGCAUAGCACCAUCCUAUACAGACUCCAUUAUAAAUAAAUAAAUAAAUAAAUAUCAAUUAAUACUUAGGAGCUGGCUAUUGCCAAUUUAAUAUUUGCUACUGCUAAGGUACAUUUUGUUGUUAGAUUUAUUUGUCCUCUUUAAAUUUAAUUGAAGAAUUUAGUCUUUUUUAUUUUUGGGUGGGAUUUGUGCGAUAAAUACAUCUUGGCAAUAACAUAAAUUAGCCUUGCAAUAGCCGGCUCCUUAUAUUAUUUAAUAAUAAACAACAUGUUGGGAUAAAACACCAAUAAUGUGGAAGCGAUUUGUUCACAACAAGAUCUAGACAAAUAAAUGUGUAACCUUUAUCAAAGACAAUACCUUGAAGUAACUAAAAUAUUAAUCAAACAAGUAGACAAUCACAAAUAACUAGAAAGUAAUCAAGAUAACGAAAUCAAACAUCCACAACACAAGAUAUGCGUGGUUCAACGUAACCCUACGUCCACGGGCAAGAUAAAGAUGGUUUCAGUAUGAAGUAGAAAAUAUGUGAUACAAAGAGCACUCACUCGGACUCCUUCACCUCACACAAAUAAGUUCUCUCAAGUGAUUCUUGUAAAUCUCUCAAGAAAAAGCUCUUCUUCUUUUCUCUCAUCUCAAUCUCUUUCUUUUUCUCUCUUGAUGAAUUUGGAAGUCACACAACUCAACACUUAAAGUUUCCUACGCUCUCUAGGCUUUAUAUAGUAACCAUACAUGGAUUUUUAGGUUGACCACGUUAUGGGCCUAAAUUGGGCCCAUAAGCACCUCACCAUAUGCAAGUAUCGAAAACUCCAGCAACAAUCGACAUGACAAAACGUGUCCAGCGGCUAUCGACAUGACAAUUCCAUUCUUAGCCAAAUUUUCCAAAAUCUUCAGCGGCUAUGCAUCCUGCAAAUAUCUGUCAGAACUUUGGAGCCGUUUACCUGCCAAAUUAAAUAUCGGCAGAAGACGUGCCAUAUACCAUUGGAAAGAUGAGAGAGUCCUCUUUCCAACCCAGAAAAUAGAUUGACAUUCCAAUCACUGUGCAAAAUGUUAUGGACAUUCCAAUACAGACUGUCCAAAUGAAGAUACCGAAAAAUGGAACAACAAUUCUCCACCUCGGGGAAGAUUCACAAAUCUGAGGCAACACCAUCAAAACAUGAAAAUCCAAAGAACAUAAGAAACCACCCAUCACCAUCUUACCACAUAUACCCCGAAGGGCCAAAACGGUUGCACCACUAAGUAGUUGCCUACGUAUCCUCCUCCAAGGAAUCAAGCCAUCGUAGUUCUUUUCAAGCCCCGAAGGGUGAUCAAACAAUAAGUCGAAUGUGAAGCAAGUUCAAACAAUGUGUGAACUUCGCUCCAUCAACUACCUUAGUCAACAUAUCAGCUGGGUUGUUCUUAGUAUGCACUUUAGGAAGUGAUAUCACGAAUAAAGUGAUAACGGACAUCAAUAUGUUUGGGUCUAGGAUGAUGAACUUGGUUCUUGGCCAAGUGAAUGACACUUUGGUUAUCAUAAAAGACAUUAACCAAAUCUUGCUCAACACUUAAGUCACCUAGUAAUCCUCGAAGCCAUAUAGCCUCUUUUACACUAUCUCCGUCACAGCCAUGUACUCAGCUUCUGUAGUAGACAAAGCAACUGUAGACUGUAACAUAGAUCUCCAACUAACCGAUGUGCACCAUGCAUAACAAAUACAUAAUCGGUAAUAGACCUUCUACUAUCUAGAUCACCAGCAUAAUCUGAAUCCACAUACCCUUUGACAUGAAAAGUGUUCACAAACCCUUCAAUAUGACAAACAUCUCCACGAAAGACCAAACCCACAUCCAAGGUACCCUUCAAGUAUUUCAGAAUCCAUUUUACAACCCCCCAAUGUUGAGAACCCAGAUUAGCCAUGGAACGACUAACCACACUCACGGCUUGUGCAAUGUCUGGGUGAGUGCACAUCAUAACAUACAUCAAAGAACCAACCGCGCUAACAUAAGGAACUUUAGCUAUAUACACUCUUUCUGUUACGGUAGUAGGGGAGAGUUUAGCCGAAAGCUUGAAACGAACAAUGACCUUCUCAAUAUAAGAUCUCUAAGAUAGACAAAGUCGAUGUUGCUUUCGCUCCCUCUUAAUCUCCAUACCCAAAAUCUUUUGAGUUCCACCCAAGUCUUUCAUCGAUCUCGAACUCCGAAUUAAGUUGAGAUUUCAACAUAUCUAUCUCCACCAUGCUCUUAGAAGCAAUGAACAUAUCAUCUGGGUCCUGCUUCGCAUGCUAUGUAGGUUAACGCAUUUCUGUCCUAUUGCACUAUGGUUCGGCAAAAAUACUCCUCUGAGCUUUAUACAAUUGUGGUUUCAUUUUUGGCUUCAAAGUCUUCUUUCUCUUGGACUUGGGCUUCCUCUUCCUUGUAUGUAGGUUAAUGCACUUCUGUCCUAUUGCAUUUUGGUUCGACAAAUAUACUCCUCUAAGCUUUAUACAGUUAUGGUUUCGUUUUUCAAAGUCUUCUUUCUCUUGGAUUUGGGCUUUCUCUUUCUUGUAGGAGUCUUUGAGGAGGUCGACUUGGUUAAUUCAUUUUGAUUUAUAAAUCAUCAACUUAUUAAGUCCAAUAUAUGGUAUUUUAGGCCUUAAAUCAAAUUAGUAAGAGUUUAGUCCCGUGAAAUAUAAUAAACUUGAAAAUAAGACUAAAAAACAUUAAAUUACAUAGGAGUAAGUAAAAUGCUAUUCGGAAGGUAUUAAAAAUCUGUCACUGACUAUCUUUAGUAAAAAAACUUGCAAACUUAAUCAAACUUAUGAAUUUUAAUGAUUAAAGAUCUGUCAUUGACUCACUGAACAGUUGUAUUCGUGUCAUCCUGUGAUAUCGAAAAGGUUUGAGCACAAUUGAGUUCAGUUGGAAAAUAACCAUUGGGAGGAUCAAUUUUGCCCUUUGGCAAGAUCUGAUGCCAUAAUAAAUUAAAUUAUUUAUUUAUAUAAAAAAACAUCUUAGAAUAUGAACAAACCUAAAUAUACCAAAAUAAAAUAUGAAUUUAUGAGGGUUUGGAUUUGCAUAAUUUAUUAAAAAUAUUAUUAUGAUUAUACAAUCAAAUCCAAAUAAAAAUAGGGCUUUGGAUAUAGAUUUACUAAAAUUUGACCCAAAGUAUGGAAAUUUUCCUACACAUUACUCCCUCUGUCCCAAAUAUAAGUAGGNNNNNNNNNNNNNNNNNNNNNNNNNNNNNNNNNNNNNNNNNNNNNNNNNNNNNNNNNNNNNNNNNNNNNNNNNNNNNNNNNNNNNNNNNNNNNNNNNNNNNNNNNNNNNNNNNNNNNNNNNNNNNNNNNNNNNNNNNNNNNNNNNNNNNNNNNNNNNNNNNNNNNNNNNNNNNNNNNNNNNNNNNNNNNNNNNNNNNNNNNNNNNNNNNNNNNNNNNNNNNNNNNNNNNNNNNNNNNNNNNNNNNNNNNNNNNNNNNNNNNNNNNNNNNNNNNNNNNNNNNNNNNNNNNNNNNNNNNNNNNNNNNNNNNNNNNNNNNNNNNNNNNNNNNNNNNNGGGGUUUUUUAGUUGUUGGUUCGAAAUGAGCUCUAAACCCUAAUAAAGAUAAAAACCGGCUCCAAAACCUAAUUUAUACUAAAAAGUGGUGACCAAAACCUAAAUCACCCUGGAAUAUUCUACUUAUUAAGGAAACAUCAUUUAUAUUUAUUGUUUGUCAACUAACUCUACUUUCUAAUUUACCCCUUUUUAAUACUAAUUACAAUGUCUAAUUUUCCAUUAGAAUGAUUACUCUAAUCUCAAACCAAGGGUAGUAUAGACAAAAGAACCAUUUAACUUAAUUAUAUGUUUUCAAAAAUCAAAAGCGACAUAUAUUUUGGGACAAUCUAAAAUGAAAUAAGGUACUUAUAAUUUGGGACAGAGGGAGUAUUUCUUGUAAGUAUGUUCUCAGUAGGUUCCAUGUACAUAUAAAAUACUAAGACUAUAUUCCAUGAAUCAAAGUAAAAAGGACUCAAAUAAUAAUCAUAAUGAAUAUUAAUAACAAUAAGCAGGUUCCAUGUACAUAUAAAAUACUAAGACUAUAUUCCAUGAAUCAAAGUAAAAUUAAAAGAAAACAAAUAAUAAUAAUAAUAAUAAUAAUAACAAUAAGUAGGUUCCAUGUACAUAUAAAAUACUGACUAAGACUAUAUUCUAUGAAUCAAUGUAAUAAAAGAAAAAAAUGUAUAUGGUGUAGAUGCAUGCACAUUUUAUGUAAUUAAUGUGAACAAAUACACUUACUUGUUAUGAAUCAUCUGCUUUAUCUAUAAAUAAAUAGGAUAACCAUAACAAGGAAACUAAAGUAAAAAGAAUCAAACACAAUGGAGGCAACUAAAGUUCGAGUAUUAGUUCUCAUGGUUGUGUUUUUAACUUUGCUUGCUAAAGAGACAUCAGCAAGUUGCAUUGAAGAUUGUUACGCAGACUGUAUGAAUGACAGAAACGCGCGUAAGGUCGACUGUACUAUUUACUGUGUCUGGCACUGUCUUGAAAAGCCUUGUGAACUUUCUUGUGUAGAAAAUAUAUGCUCAAAAAUGGCUGAAGGUAAAAGAAAAACUCAUUAUCAUUAUUGCUUGUAUGUUUAAAAUAUUCACACAUCUGUUUGUUCGUUUAAGUCCUUCUUUCAUUCAUGGCAAGCGGUAACGAGUAGGGUUGGUCGUUAAAUUUUAAAAAUUGAGAAACCUUUUCAAACCGAAUGCUUUUUUUUUUUUUUUUUAAUACAUCGGUUCGGUGUUCGGAUCAUAAAAUUUAAAAAUCGAUAAUUUCAUGGUGUCGGUUCCCCAAUCUUCGCCUGCAAUAAUAACCGAUCUGAUUCGAUAUACAGUAACGCUUUUUUUACUUUCGUAUUCCUCUCUCUUAUCUCUGUGUCUUCCAAAGAUUUUUAAAAAUUCUUAAAUCUAUUUUUUCCAUAAUUAUAACAACAAAAUAGUCCAUAACACAGUUUGAAAAAAUGAAAAACAAUCAUAUCUACUUGUCUUGUGAUCUAAAAAAUUAUGGCACCAAGUUACAAACUUACAUUGACGAAUAUUGAUAGAAGCAUAAAACUCACCUUUUCAAUCGAUAUUCGUUGGAAUUGACAGAUUUUAACGGAUUCAACGGUACUAGUGGAUUCAGACUGGCAUUGAAAAUCCAUGUCUUCAUCACCAAUUUUUACAAGAUUUCAUCUUCAUCAUUAUCAUCAUCGAUCUAUGAGUUUUUUCUUCUUCAUCGUCUAUCUUAGCAGAUUUCCAUUUCGUAACCAAUUUUGGAUUGGUUAUAAAUCAUUUGAUCCUUUCACAUAAGAAAAAUAUCAAAAAGAAAAAAAAACCUAUUUUGUUUGUUUUGUUAAUAAUAGGUUUUCUUCAAACCGUUGGAUUAAAUCAAAUAAAAUUUAUUUGCAAUAAUUAAUAACUAAUAAAGAACAUAAUAUAUUUUAAAUUAGUUCUUCAGGAUUGUGGAUCCAAUCAAAUAUUUUAUAAUGUUUUUCGGAGUAUUAUAUUACAAUAAUAGACAUAAUUGGUAAAUACAUAUUUUCUUUUUUGAAGAUCACACUGUCGUUCGGAUAUUCACGAAUAUUCAUGAAAAAUUGCGGAAUUUCGUCAACCUAAACCUCCCCAUGCCCACAAAGGCUGUCGAAUACCAUUUUUUUAAACCUCGAAAACUUCGCCCGAAUUCAACAUUUUGAACUAUGGUUGUUUAUACUAUUGAGUAUUAAUAGCUUGGAGAUUACGAGGCCAAAACUGAGUAUAUACCAAUAAACAAAAUUUGUAAUGUACAAAGUUUUGUUUUAUAGUUCUGUAAAUUAAAUUUUAUCACAACAAACCAUCGUGUGCAUUCUUCCUUCAAAAUCUAUUAGCAAUUAUUGUGGUUAAAUUAUAGAUUCAUGUUUUCUUCAAACUUUCUGGUGGUCACAAUAAUCGAUAUAUGAUGACUAUGGUGCUUAUUCGUAUUGUUUCCUGAUAUGACAGAUAAACAGAGAAUGGGAAUGUGCCUAGCAGAAGUUUGUAACUGUAAACUAAUGCCUUAGCUCGUGUACCAAAAUUUGAUCCAUCGAUCAUAAAUCCUAUAUGUAAAGUUCAUGAAAUAAUAUCGAGGAAAAACUAUCUUCGGCACCAUUUUGGUGUUCAUUAUCCGUAAGAUAUCUAUGACAAAUUUUUUUUGUCGAUCUUUCGAUAAAAGGAGUUUUGAUUAAUUUAUAAAACCUAAUACAGCAGCAUACCCAUUGCUCAUUUGAUCUCGGGUCUCCGAAAAGAAAAAAGACAUAGAUACAUUAUACUCCCUCUGUCCCAAAUUAUAAGUACCUUUUGGAAUAUUCUAUUUAUUAAGGAAACAUCAUUUAUUGUUUGUCUACUAACUUUACUUCCUAACUUACCCCUAUUUAAUACUAAUUAUAAUGCCUAACUUUUCAUUAGAAUAAUUACUCUAUCUCAAAACAAGGAUAAUAUAGACAAAUAAACCAUCAAAAAUCAAAAGAUACUUAUAAUUUGGGACAAUCUAAAAUGGAAUAAGGUACUUAUAAUUUGGGACAAAAGGAGUAUAACUUUACCAAAAAAAUAAAAUAUAGACUACAAUAUAAAUAAUUCAAACACUUUGCCCACGCCAUAAAAAUUAAACUACCCUUGUUAUCUAUACAUGAUUAUCAGUAUAGUUAAUCUGUUAGAAAUUGAUAAUUGCAAUUUAGAACUGUUUGUUUAUUUAUUUACGCUAGUUCUUAUAGUUUAUAAGCAAUUGGAAAACACAAAAGUAUAUUUGUUUUUACAUCUAGUUAUAGGAUUAUAAGAUUUUCUAGUAGAAAUUGGCUAAAAAAGUGGCAGUUACUACAAGCUCUAUCCCCAAGCUUAUAAUAAAUAGCUUAUAAGUUAUAAGCUACUAGAUGAAAAAACAAACAACACCUUAACUAUUCUUGAAUGAAAAUUGAUAAUUGGAAAAAGAAGUUAAAAAAAGAAUCUACCUCAAAACAUCUAGCAAUGGACGAAAUUGAUCCUACCAAUGGUUAUUUUCAUUGCUAACUCAAUUUCCGGUAAAAAAAAAAAAAACCCUUCCAAAUACAUAAGAAAGGGAACCUUCAUGUCCUUUUGGCCACCUAAUUGUUGCACAAACUAACAUUAUUCAUCAAUCCAUCAUAAAUAACAAUUUUCUUGGUGAACAAAAUACCAUUAUUUUUUCCAACCUUAUUCUAUAUUUCAUCAUUCAACCUUUUCUUCUAAUAUUAAUUUAAAAAAAAACAAGACACAAUAGUAUUUAAGUUCUUAAGGCUUCUUCCAGGUAACUUAAUUUAAGUUUCUGCCCCAGAGAUCCAACUUGCAUACAUUUUAACAAAGCUAUGAAUGUUAAAUGCUUAAAGAAUGUCACUUUAAAGAAAACUAUAGCAGUGCCAACUAAAAGAAAGGAAUAAGGACAUUUUCCCUAACGGUUAAAGGAUGGCCAACUCUGUCACGGAACUAACUAUUGGCAGGGUCAAUUUUGCCCUUGGCAAAAUUUGGAGUCACAUUUAGUUAUCAGCUUUUUGGGACCAAGGACAAGAUUAGUAGUUUCAAUGGGCCUAAGGACAGCCUAAAAGUUUAGUUCAGUUUUAUGCCAAUUCAACCUAAUGACGAAGAUACCCUCAGUCUAAUAUUUCUUUCUUUACUCCGUGGUUUUCAUAUAAUCUAUUUUUUUUCUUCCUCCCCGAUCUCUAAUCUUUGGAAGAGAAAAAUGGAAAGUUUUUUUUACUAUUAACUAUAACAUGGAACUAAUUUUAUAUGGAUUCAUGUCUGAUCGAUCUCCAAUUCCGAUCUCUCUUUAAACUUAGAUCUAAUUAAAUUGUUGAAAAUCAUGGUCUUUAUUUUUUGAAUCUUAUCCUGAUGCAUAUAGUAUCUUUUUGAUUAAUGGAGUUUGUCAUUUUUGAAUAUUGAGACCACAAAUUGCAAAUGAUUCCACUUUCUCACACUAAAAUCAUGACAGCGUCAUCACCACUACUAACAAAAGUUCAAAUCACUUAAUUUCUCGACAAUGUUCUUUCUCAAAAUGUCUAAUAUCACUUUUUAUACCGAAUAUAUUAAAUUGUUAAUUCGUGACAUCUUUUAACUCUCGUUGAAAUUUAUUAAAGUUUUCAUAUUACUACUUUCAUGUACCCACAAAUAUACUAGAAGAACAAGGAGAUGUUUGCCAAUCAACUACUUUAACAUAUUAAUCAACUACUUUAUUCAACUCGUUAACACAUUAUUCAACUUAACAAUACUUGAUUAACAUAAUAAUCAACUCAACAAUAGUUGAUUAGUACAUUAAUCAAUUAAAAAUUUUAAAUUUAUUUUAUGUUUAGUUGAUUCGUAUAUUAAUCAACUCGACAAUAGUUGAUUAAUACAAUAAUCAACUCAACAAUAAUUGAUUAAUAAACUAAACAACUUAGCAAUAGUUGAUUACCAUAUUAAUUAUUAAACCUUCACUGUAAACCCUAAACCUUAAACCCUAAUGCAAUGUAAUUAUACCCUACCCUAAUGAAUCCUAGUUGGAGUGCGAUCUUAAACCCUAAAACUUUAACCCUAUAACCGUAAAAUAUAAUGCAAUGUAACUAAACCUAAACCCCUAAUAAGAUGUAACUAUAUACUGCCCAAGUGAAACCUAGUUGAAAUGUGGUUUUAUGCGAUCCUAAUGCAAUGUAACUACCUCCAAUGAACCCUAUUUGGAAUGCGAUAUUACACGAGCCUAAUACAAUGUAACUAUACUCUAUUCAAUGAACCCUAGUUGGAAUGCGAUCUUACGUGACCUUAUUGCAAUAUAAGUAUAUGUUAAAUCCUUGCUUCUAAUCAACAAAAGAAAUAUACCAAGAAAUAUAUGAAGAGCUUGUUGACAUUAAUACAAAAGUUGAUGAACACAUUAAUCAACGUACAAAAGUAAUCUAUGAAUAAUUUACUGACAUUAAUAUAAAAAUUGAUUAAUACAAUAAUUAACCCUUAUUCUAACUGAUUAGUACAUUAAUCAAGUCUUAUUCCAAUUGAUAAUUAGUACAUUAAUAAGAUUUUUUUUCCUGUUUAGUUAAUUAGUAUAUUAAUCAACUUAACUAAAAGUUCUAUAUGAUCCAAGGGUAAUUUAGUUUAUCGGUGAAAAUGGAGGAUUCGAGAUAAAAUUAAAAUUUUAGGAUAAGACAAGAAAACUCAAAGUGAAAAGAGAGUUCUAUGAUUUGUUCUUACGUUUAUAACCACUUACAAAUAUGUGCCUCUAAAAAAUGUACCAUGAAACAUUCCCACUCAAAUCAAACAGACCAUAAGAAAUUAAUAUUUUUUUUCUGUUGAUUAGUAUAUUAAGUUACAUCAAAAUUAGUUGAUUAGUAUAUUAAUCAACUAAAAAAUUUAUAUUUUUCUUUUUGUUUAGUUGAUUAGUAUAUUAAUCAACUAAAUCAUAGAUUAUUAGUAUAUUAAUCAACUUAACAAUGGUUGAUUAAUAAAGUAAUCAACUCAACAACAUCGUAUUAAUACUAGACGCAAAUUGAAUUCAGAUGGAUUCAAACCAUCAUCCUCUCAUUUAGUGAGCACUCUUACCAUUUAGAGCUUAUGGAGCCAUCUAACAAUAAUAUAUUCACAAUUUAAAUUGUAACAUUUCAGAUAUAACCAAAACCAAGCAAGAUGAGCCAUUUAAAAUAUCUAAGUUAUAAGGUACAAGGCAAUCUCAACUUUGGGAGAAAAACAUAUAUAAAUUUUGACAUUGACGGACCAGAUUGCAAGUUAAGGAUCGAUAUCAGAUCUGGAUCCUUGGUAUUCUUUGAUCACGGUAUAUCUGUGUUGACAUAAUUAAGGUUAGCGUGGGUUUAAGUCAAAAUCAUGGUUUGGGCCUGAUAUUAGCUUCUAAUAAUUAGGUUAGCAAAACUUAAUUAUCCUCUCUCUUCAAUAUAUGUGUUAUACAACUUAAACUGCUAUCUCCAUCCCUCUUAUUCUUCUUCCUCCCUUUUCUCCUCUCUCCACAAAUCUCAACUACAUCACAAGUAAAAGUUCACAUAUUCUCAUACAGGUGUAUCCUUAUUUUAGGAACUUAGUUUUCCUUUUCAUUAUGGGACAAGGAAAGGAAAGUUUUUAUAAGAGUUUUCCUUGUUACACAAGCAUAAAAAUGUUAGAAAAUAGAAAAUCAUUUUCCUUGGCUAACUACAAGUUGGCCAAAGCCUAUAAAUAUUGAUGUUUUGGAAUAAACCAAAACAUAAACCAAGACAUACAGAAACAACUAUUGAUUAGCUUAUUUAGAGAGACAACUAUUGAUUAGUUUGUUUAGAGAAACCACUAAGGUUAGAGUGUUUAGAAAUUUUGAGACAACUAGGGUUUAGUUUGUCUAGGGAUUAUUGUGAGGCAGAGAUUCUUGUAAUCUUCAUAAUAUUUAGUGAAGAAGAUAGUUUUCUUCGACAUCUUGUGUUUUGUUUAUCUUAUUUACUUCUAUUGUUUAAUUCUGCAUUCAAUAGUAUAUUUGCCUAGUAAUUUAUAUCAAGUUGGUAUCAAGAGCAAAUUGUUCGAUUCUCUGGUAGAGUUUUCUGUGGUUUAUGGUCUUAACUCGUUCACAGUACAGAAAGCUAGGUAAAGUUCUCGUGUCUUUAGAAGAUUCUAAGAAGACAGGGAAAAAGAAGAUGACAGAAACAGAUCUGAAGAAUUCAGAGGAGGACGAGACACCUACUCCACAGUAGAAACUUAGUAUAGAGGAAACAAUGGCUUUGUUUCAGAUUCAAAUGCGGUCAAUGAAUUCUAAUUUGUGAAAGCUAACCGAUUUCAUCAUCAAAGAAGGGGAGAAGAAAAACCCGAAGAAGAAAAAGAAGAGUUCGUUUUCUGAGCAAGAUGACUCGGAUAAUGAUGAGGAGGAGGAAGAAGAAGCAGACAAAGAAGAAGAAAUCGACAACUUCAAAACUUCACAUCAUGGAGGUAAGAAUUCUUUUCGAAAUUUAAAACUUGAUUUCAAAGUUGAAAUUCCUAUGUAUGAUGGAAGUGUUGAUGUGGAAAAACUAGACGGUUGGAUUGAACGAGAAGAUUACCUUCGUGACUUUGAAACUGUCAAGUCAUGCAUUAACUUGGUGAAAAUCCUAUUGCAAGUUUCAUGAUCAGAAAGGGGCAGUUUAAAGAGUUGCUUAAGAAGCAAUUCUAUCCAGUGGGAUUUCUGAAAGAAAAAUGGCAGAAGUGGUACAACUUACGCCAGAGAUUCAAUCAAUCCGUUCAAGAAUAUACAACCGAAUUUCAGAAUUAAGCAAUGGUUUUGGAUAUUAAUCUCAAGGAAUACUUCAUAUAGAUGAAGUAUGUGGCAGGUUUGAGUGAGUAUAUUCGGAAAGAGUUGAAGUUGUUUACAAUAGAAUGUAUACGGGAAGCUACUGUAAAAGCUAUUGCCAUUGUAGGCACGUUGAAGAACAAUACAGAAGAAGGGAAAAAUAAUCUGGUGGUAAGUUUAAUGGUUCUAGUAGCAAACAUGAUGAUGCUAAAAAAAAGGGAAAAUGUAAGUUUGAUGGGAUGGAAAUGUUGAUUUGCAGUCAUUGUAAAGAAACGGGACAUACGAUUCACAUAUGCUGGGAAAAGUAUCCACAUCUCAAACCAAAAGGGUUGAAGGAGAAGGAGGGAAAAAAGACGACAACUUUGGUCACACAACGUCCAACGGAAGUACCGGGGAUGACAGAGCCUAACCUCAAGCUCAACAUGAUGGUAGAGAAUUAUACACGUUUUGAAGAAGAUGACCCCAAAGAACAACUCUUUUGUGUCAAGUUACAGGUGAAGACCAGUUUGGUGGAUGCUAUUGUAGAUCCAGGAAGUCAAAAAAAUCUGAAUUCAAAAGGUUUGGUCUAAAAGGUUGGUUUAAAAACAAUGAAACAUCCUAAGCCUUAUACAUUGGGAUGGAUUCAGAAGGACGUCGGCUCGAGUGUGACAUAUUAAUGCACAUUUAAGUUUGUUCUUCAUGAGUCUUAUAUUAAUGAGGUGACAUGUGAUAUUGUUCCAUUUGAUGUUUGUCAGGUUGUUCUAGGAAAUCCCUACUUGUGCGAUAUGUAUGCUCUUUUUAAUAGGAGGGCUCAGAAGUAUAAAUUCACUAAGGAUGGAGAACAAUUUGUUAUUCGAGCAGUUCUACCUCCAAAAGGAAGUGACUUGGUAACGACAACACAUGCUAAAAGGUUAGUAAAUGCUUGUGGGAAGUUUGUCUUGAUGAUGUCCUUGGGUUGAUCGAGAGGAGACAUUCAAGGAAGAUUCCAUAUUGGAGCGCAAGGUGACUAAGACACGAAGUGAAAGACGGUUAAUGUUUCACAUUGGGCGUGUUGGUCAAGUUCCAAGCAAAUUAAAUGGUUCAGUAAAAUCCAGAGUGCUCUCGAGUUCCCUAAACACCAUUUCUAACUUAAACGGGAGUUUAAGUGAGUUUAAGUUCCUAUAGAGGGGAGCCAUGAUACAGAUGUAUCCAGUGGCGGAGCUACGUUAUAGCAUACUGGGGGACGUGCCUCAGGUGGAUUCGAGAGAAAAAUUGAUAUUUUUUUUUUUUAAUUUUGCACAAUUACAGUCAUACAUAGCUAAGAAUCCGGAAACCAAAAUAUGCUACGUACUUGUAUCUGUUUCCUAAGCAACUCUAGUGUAGAUAUGAUCGUGCACACCUUAGAUAAAACAUAAGUUAUUAUCUAGUACACCCACAUAUAAUUAAUUAUAAAACAAAAUUAUCCUAUAACUAACACCCUAACAGUAAUAGGUUUGUUUCUAAUCUGAAUUUAUUACUUCUAAUUAGCUUUCAACUUAUCCCAUGGGUAAUUGGCUUAUAUGCAUAUUAUGAUUUAUGAGACCGCACCUAGUCUAUAUGUUACAGUUAAAUGGUAUAUAAUUAAAUUUUAAACACUAGUGUUGGUGGUGCUAAAAACAUGCUCACAAUCUCAAGUGAUUUUUAAAAUCUAUCAGAAAAUCAAGAAAUUUAGGUUUCUUUCGCUACCUAUUUAAGAUUUUUUUUUUUUUCUUUUUGUAUUAAAUGAACGAUCGUAAUUGAAUAGUUUUUAUAUUUAACAUAUGAAUGAAUGAUAAUAAGGGAUUUAAACAGACGGUUAAGAACAAUGCUUGAAUUGAGAUUUUCAUGGGUUGAAUAAGAAUUAGCGUAAUUUGUCAAAGUGCCCCAGGUGAGGUAAAUUCCUGGCUUCGCGCCACUGGAUGUAUCCUUAUUUUAGGAACUUAGUUUUCUUUUUCCUUAUGGGACAAGGAAAGGAAAGUCUUUAUAAGAGUUUUCCUUGUUACACAAGGAUAAUAAUUUUAGGAUAUAAGAAAUUUUUUUUCUUGGCUAACUACAAGUUGUCCAAAGCCUAUAAAUAUUGAUGCUUUGGCAUACAACAAAACAUAGACCAAGAUAUAGAGAAACAACUAUUGAUUAGCUUGUUUACAGAAACUACUAAGUUUAGUGCGUUUAGAAAUAUUGAGACAAAUAGGGUUUAGUUUGUCUAGAGAGUAUUAUGAGGCAGAGAUUCUUGUAAUCUUUAUAAUAUUCAGUAAAGAAGAUAGAUAUGGACAUGUAGUAGAUGGGCUUGUAGAAGAAUCAACUAACAGUAGCGAGCAGAAGUGUUUCUUCUUGGAGAUAUUUUGCUGCAUUGAGAGGACCUGAACUAGACCAACUCAAGGUAUGUCGUUUACGUUAAACAUGAACGAACGAACUUAUUUGUUAAUUACAGUAAGAAUUUUCAUCAGUUGUUGUUUUUUCUUUUUUUGUUUUUGACAUCUUUGGGAGUGAUUUGUAUGGUAGGCCAAGAAUUACAAAACGAUAUUUGUAAAAGAAUUCAUUCAGUCAUAUAACCCGGUUUAACACAUUUUCUACCUGGACAGUGCUAAGAACUAAAAUAUUUAGACUCUAUAAUAAGAAUAACAAUUUUCCUUUGGGGUUUUUAGACUUUUGGACGCCUAAAUGAUACCCAUUUAAAAAAUAGGAUGUUUUUAAUUGAUAUUUAGAGUUUGGGGGACCUUCCGUGAGUUGACUGUUGUUUGCUUGUUAAUUUUUUUAAAAAAUAACAAUAUUACCCCCCCCCCCCCAUAUGUACAAAAUCGUUAAUAACAAAAUUGUUACAUGUGUCGUUAUAUCGUCCCUUGAUUCUAUCUUACGGUUGAUAAAUUCACACGUGUCGUUAUAUCAUCCUUUCUAAACUUUUUAAAAUUUUAGUUAUUAGAGAAGAAGACACUUGUGUUCAAUGAAAUUGAAGAAUAGGAGUUAUUCCAGGGUAAUAUGAGUAUUUACAAAAUAUGAGUUAUUUGACUUAAGUGAACUGUUAGUCAUAACAGUCAACUGAUGAGAAGGUGCCCCAUACUCUAAAUACUAAUUAAAAGCGUCCCAUUACCUAAAAUCCUAAUAGACAUUAAUUAGGUGGACCAAAGUCUAAAAACCCUUUUUCCUUGUGCAAGAAUAUAAAGGUACUUUCCUUCCCAAGGAUAAGCAACGGCCCUUCGAUCUUCCUAAGAUUCUCUCUCAAUUCCUUUGGUAUCCAUCUCGGUUUGAGCACCCUAGCAAUUUUAUAGUAAUCACUUGCAUAAAGCCCUACCACUAUAUUCCUCCACAUUGGUCCUCAUCAAGCUUUUCUUGUGAUUUCUGGCACUUGCUGUCAUGUUCUUUAUUUCCAUAACUUACAUACUUAAAUGUACAUUCUACUUCAAAGCCGUUCUACAGUGUACUUUCAGCGUUUGCAUGUUAACUUCUUCUUUGCUCUUUGGAUUGUAUGUAUGUUCCUUACCAUCAGUGUACCUACUAUUAUAGAACCAGGGAGACUGCACCCUUCUAUAAGGUGCAUCUUCAUGCCACCUGUUUUCCUGCUCAAGCUCAAGAUCUAUAGCGAAUGGUAAUCUAGAGGAAAAAGGCGUCUGUAAAAGGUAGCAAAUUUGUCAUCACAUGUUGGUUUUUUUUUUAUAUAUGUUCUUUACAGGUGCAGAAAACGUUUCAAAAGUAGUUGGUUCGAACGGGUUUUGGAGACGUUCGAACGGAUCUGGGUUUUCAGGUGCAGUUGGUUCAAACGGAAUUUUGGAAUGUUCGAACGGAAAAAUACAAUUUUCUGUUUGACAAGUUGGUUCGACGGGAUUUUUGGGUGUUCGAACAGAUCGAUAUUUUUUGCUCAAUGGGCUUAAUUUAUGAGUUGGUUUUGCUUUGGUAAAAGCCCAAUUUCGAAUAGGCGUUGUGUAAGGCUAUGUUAUAAAGCCUAUAAAUAGGAAAACCUAGCGUAGGAAAAACUAGGUCAAGUGCGGCAUAAGUUUAGAUCUAAGUCUUCUUGAGACAGAUUUUCUUGAAGAAAGAUUGAAGAAAGAAAAGUGAGGAAUAACUUGUUCUUGAGAGAUUUGAGAGUUUGUUUGUAAGGAGAAAGAGUCGAGUGAGUGCUCUUUGUAUCACCCUUUCUUCUUUUUCAUAGUGAAACUUUACCAUCUUGCCCCGUGGACGUAGGCUUAUGUCGAACCACGUUAAAUCUUGUGUUGUGGUGCUUGAAUUUUUUAUCGUGUUUAACUUUCUAGUUACAUAUACUUGAUUGUUAUUGAUCUAGUAGUUAGUUCUUUAUAUUAUUUGUGUUGACCCCACUUAACAGGCUCAAGCCCAAGUCAAUUACAAGUCAAAGCCCAAGAUUAUAAUCAAUAAGAGCCUAAGCCCAAUUUAAUUAGUAAUAAGGCUUAUUCCCGUUACUGCAUUCAAUAUCAAUUAUGGGCUUUAUCUAUUUUAAGUUCGUUCAUUAUAUUCAAUAAGAUUAAUAUGGUAAUUGCACAUCUUUGUAGAGAUUUUCUUAACCUAAUCCAACUACAACUCCAAUAUCUAUACAACUCCUAAUCUAAAUAUAACUCCAAUAUCUCUACAACUCAUGUUCCUAACAGGACAUGAGGUACAUUAUCUUGUCAUUAUAUGGUCCAACUACAUGGGACUAUAUCACUACAAUACAUUAGGGAUCAUUGGAUCACAUCUUAAUCCUAAUCAAACUCUACAAUUGAACUACGUUAUUAAAGACUUGAUUUCAUCUCUCUUAUGGAUACAUAGACAACUAAGAAACAACUUAGUGCAGCCAUAAUCAAUCACCAAAACCGUAUUUUCCUUCAUCUUCAUCUUCUUCAAUACCUUAGAUCAUAACAUUAAGUGUUUCUUCUUGAUUUUACAUCAAAAUGGUGUGAAAUCCGGUUGAAACAUUAUUGUCUACAAGUUAUUCCUUAAGGUAUUAUCUUCGACAAAGGUUACACCUUUAUUGGUAUAGAUCAUGUUAUGAACAAAUCGCUUUCCCAACAAUUUGGUAUCAAGAGCUUUGGUUACAAUCUUGGCGAUUCAAGUUUGUUUUAAUUAAGGUUUUGAAGUUGUUGAAGAUAAAGGUGUUUGAAGAAAUUACUCAAAGAGUAUUUUGGAUAGUUGUUUGCUAGAAUGGAAUCAAGAGGUGGCAAAUAUGUAGGAAAGUAUGAGAUUGAGAAAUUCAAUGGAAAGAAUGAUUUUGGGUUUUGGCAAACUCAAAUCAAAUAUGUGUUGGUUGCACAAAAACUUCAUAAGACAUUGUUGGGUAAGAACAAGAAACCUGUAACGAUGACGGAGGAAGAGUUUGAUUACAUGGAUCUUGUAGUCAUUGUCGUUAUAUGUCUUUAUUUGGAUAAAGAGGUUGUGUAUAAUGUCAAAAAUAAAACUACCGCCACUGGUUUGUGGCUAAAACUUGAAUCUUUGUACAUGUGUAGUGACCCGACCUAUAUCACCAACGAUAUUGUCCCCACUUAACCACUGCGGACAUCCGACAGUGUGGGGUUUUAUGGGCAGCAGCCUGCUUCCCAGGAGGUCACCCAUCCUGAGACUACUCCCACCCGAGCAUGCUUAACUCCGAAGUUCUUUCGAACCCUGGAGCCAAGUGAGCCCAAAAGGCCUCGGUGAUUAUAUGACGGAUCUAUACCUAUAUUCCAAUGUCAGGACAUCCUUCUCUCACGUGCCGUAGGACACACCCCUCGGCAAACCACCUGCCAACCCGGGGUGUUACAAUCCUACCACCUUAGAGGAGAGUCGUCCUCGGCUCUGGAAUAUAUAGCCCCAGAUCUCCGACGUUCCCUGCCCCUCGCGAGACGAGUACCCGGCGCAACCGUCACCCCUUCCUGAGCUAGGCGCCUUUCCAACAUACUCUCCCACCCUCGAUAGGAGAACCGUCGUCGGCUCUGAUACCAUUUGUAGUGACCCGACCUAUAUCACCACCGAUAUUGUCCCCACUUAACCACUGCGGACAUCCGACAGUGUGGGGUUUUAUGGGCAGCAGCCUGCUUCCCAGGAGGUCACCCAUCCUGAGACUACUCCCACCCAAGCACGCUUAACUCUAGAGUUCUUUCGAACCCUGGAGCUAAGUGAGCCCAAAAGGCCUCGGUGAUUAUAUAUGACGGAUCUAUACCUAUAUUCCAAUGUCAGGACAUCCUCCUCUCACGUGCCGUAGGACACACCCCUCGGCAAACCACCUGCCGACCCGGGGUGUUACAACAUGACAAAGAAUGUAAUUAACAAGAUGCUUUGUAUGAAGGAACUCUACACCUUAAAGAUGGAAUACGACACUUCAAUGAGGGACCUUAUGGCUAAAUUCAACCGAGUAACGUCCGAUUUGAAGGGCUUGAAUAAAAAAGUUUGGUUCUCCAGUGGAGUCGAGGUGUUAGAGAUAACACGCAGUAUCAAGUCGCAAGUGAAUGUUUGUAAUUGAUAGGUUUGUAAAUCUUAUAACAUUAUAGUGGAUUGAUUUGUUGUCGAGAGUCAACCGUGGACGUUCCCUAUCUGGGUUUUACCCAUUAAACAUUGCAUGUUCUUUACUGUUUUUGUUACUUUCAUAUUUGUUUGAAAUUUGUGAUAGCAUUUGUUUGGGGAUUACAGUAUCACAUUAAGGCGGGGAAAUAUCAACUCCCACAUCUAAAAUUCUAUUACAAUGACAUUAGAUCAAAAUUAAAAAUGCAACAAUAUAUGGUAACUAGAAAUCUUAUCAACUUUUUUUUUGGGGUAUCCAACUCAACUCAACUCCAUGCAAAGCUAUGCUUCCCUGGGGUUUUUGAGAGAUUGACUUCAGAGUGUCUUAUGUGCGUACAUCAAGGUUCUCUGGUGGAGUCGAGGUGUUAGAGAUAACCUGCAGUAUCAACUCGCAAGUGAAUGUCAGUAGUUGAUAGGUUUAUAAAUCUUCUAACAUUAUGGUGGAUUGAUUUGUUGUCAAGAGAGACAACCGUGGAUGUUUCUCUGUUUGGAUUUUACCACGUUAAAACAUCGUGUCUUCUUUACUGUUUUUGUUACUUUCAUAUUUAUUUGAAAUUUGUUAUAGCAUUUGUUUGGGGAUUACAGUACAACAUUGCGGCAGGAAAAUAUCAUUUCCCAUAUCUAAAAUCCUUUUACCACAUUAGGUCAAACUUAAAAAUGCAACAAUGGUAACCAGAAAUCUUAUCAACUUUUUUUGGGGCAUCCAACUCAACUCAACUCCAUGCAAAGCUAUGCUUCCCUGGGGUUUUGUGCUUUUGGCAUAACUCCAUUUCAUUUAGUUCCCAUUUCAUCUGCAUUUCAAAUGAAAAAUAAUUGACAAGGAUACAAAAAGGUUGGACAUGAUAUCUUUCACACCUCAACAUAUUGCCAAGUAUUUUUUGGAUAUUAUAAUCAUUAAUAAUAAUUAUUUUUGAAUAUAUAAAUGUGGAGACAAAAAAACCACGUGCUUGCUUCCCUUAAUCAAACUGGACCGGUGGGCCCCCAACUAAUCAACCAGGAAGAAAACGACAUCCUUAUCUUACUAUCCAUUGAUUUUCCUCGAUCACAACACUAAAUAUAUAAAUCCAUUCAUUCAACCCAUCAUCAAUGACAUCAUCACUAAAAAGGUUUUCCAAUCAUCAAUGACAUCAUCAAUGACAUCCAUUGAUUAUCCACAAGUCUUUGUUCUAGUAUAUUACCACGUGGCAUUAAUGGGACCCACUUUAUUUAUCUGACGUGGAUAAUAAAAGAUCUUAUACUCUCUACCGUACACAUAGCUGUCUUGAGUACAGUUUCUCCUUCAUUUAAACGCGUGAUUUAGAUUAUAUGGACCCACUUGUCAUGUUUAUCUUGUUGACACGUGAUGCCUAUCUUGUUUUCUCGGUUAAAAGAAAGAGCACAAGUUUCAAAUCUACUUUCAUACUAUAGCAGAACGCUAGAAACUGCACAUAAAAAACAUUCUCUCACCUAAUUAACCAAAAUUGAUAAUCUAAUUGACAAGGAUUUCAAACCAAUUCCAAUAGCUAGAUUAGUAAUUUCACUUAUAAAUUUAGGUGCGCCUUAGAAGUAAUUUCACACCUAAAAAUAAUAAUGAUUGCUACAUUCCUACUAUCAAUCAAUCAUCAUCCCUUUCCUCUUUUAAGUAAAUAUUUUAAACCAACUGUAAAGCUACCCAUAAUGUUUGGAAAAAAAUUUGAGAUACCCCCAAUUCAAGAUGUGGUGUUAUCUUAGCCGUCCAUCAUAAUCCAUCAUAAAACUUACCUACGGCUGUAAAUCUCUUCUGUCUUGAAUUGGGGGUAUCUCAAAUUUUUUUUCAAAUGGGGGUAUCUCAAAUUUCGACUUUCAAAUGGGGGUAUGUCCAAAAAUCUCAUUUAUCAACUGCCGAGUUAAUUUGGAGUCGGUGCUAUCUGGGUUAAAGAGUUAAUGUUGAGUCAGCUCAUUUAAAAUACAGUGAUUUGUUUGGUUGGAAUUAGCGAUUUAUUUGUCGGCUCUAAAUAAAGUUGUUUAUAUCUUCAGAUCUUCAAUGCUUAUGUUUUUUGAAAAUCAUAUUUGUUUUUCGAAAACUUAAGAAUUAAAGUUCUAUAAUUUUAUCAUAAAAUUUUCCAUUGUAUAUUUUAUUUUUUAUUUAUUAUAAAAAAUUAUUUUAUUAAUAUAACAAUUAAUAAAAAAAAAUAAAAAGUGACACAAAAAAUCGAUGGUUCCAACCAGAACAGGUGGUUUCACUCGACUCGGAUGAUUCCAACUGAUUACUAAGAAUUGAUCGAUUAUUUUAAGAAUCGGGUUUUUGAAUUAAAAUCUGUGCUACCCGAUUCACUUUAUUAAAGGCAAGAUAUUUUUAUCAAUAAUUCAAAAGAAGACAGAGAUCUAUUAUUGUUUCUAGUCCUUUCCAUAAAUGUAACAGAUCCAGAAAGCUAGCUAGUGAGUGAAUAAUAGAAGUUGAAGAUUUCAACCUAUAUACAGUGAGUUAGUUGAAAAUUGAAAAACUUAUUAUUAAAUGUCACAUUAAUUGUCAUGCUCCCCGAAAUUGGUCAUUGUUGGAAUUAUAGAUUUUGCAUAAUCAUAGAUUUUAUUAUUUGAUUUUGCAUAAUCUUAAGUUAUUAUUUUAAGGAUGAGGCUAGAGUUAUAGAUUUUGCAUAAUCUUAAGUUAUUAUUUGAUGUAGCACGUGCGUGAAAUUUUAUUUUAGUUAUAUAUUUGUGUCUCAAUCAUAUAUUUAUUUCUUUGUACCCUAAAAGAAGCACAAGGGUCUAUUUUUAUUUAUUUUUUGUUAAACUAAAGUUAAAAAAGACGAUAACGAGUAACGACAACCAUAGGUGAAAAAAUAGAAAAUAUCGAGCGGAUAUUCACGAAUUUUUUCAGAUUUUGAAAAUUCUGAGCGGUAUGGCAUGCGAAUAAUAAACGAAAUAUAAACCUCCCCAUGCCGACCGGAUUUUUACAAAUAUUCGUAAAAUAUUCGAAAAGUACGAAAAUUACGAAAUUUUUGAAUUUGAAAUUAACACAUUUAUUUUUAAAUAUAAUUUCCACAUUUAUUUAAUACAAUUUUUUGAAUUUUUCAUGAAUAUCCGCGAAUAUUUUGAGCAAUAUUUCGCGAGAACCAUUUUGCCAAACCUCCUAAUUCCGACACUGGGGUCUGGAUAUUCGCGGAAUAUACCGAUUUUUCAACGGUCGGAUAUUCGAGUUUAUUCAAAAUUUUCACCUAUACCGACAACUAUAUAUAGAGGUAGGUAGGAUUGAUUUUUUCUAAAUCUUAUCAAAACCAGAGAUUUCAAGUGAUUUUAUUUUGUAUAUGUGGUUGUAAGAUAUAAUUUCUUAUUAAAUUAAAAUAAUGUUUAAAUAAAAACAUAUUUUAUUAAUUUUUUUUUUUUUUUUUUUGUUCAUGUAUUGGUGAGUUUGAUGAUGAAAAAUUGUUUUGAUUGUAUGACAAAAGGAUAGGUUGUGCACUGCAAUAUCUUAACUCAUUUAUUUCCCAAAAGAAAUAAGUUUCUUAUUUUGAUGAUUGUCUUUCAUUUCUCUAUUAUGGAUGUGAUUGGUAGUUGAUCUUCUUGUUUGGACAAUUUUCUUUCUAUAUGUAUUAUAAGGAUAAAUGUGAUUGUAACUACAAACUUAUUGUGUUCAAAAUGAUACAUGCUGAGUGGUUUGAUUCAUAUCUUUUCCCUUUUGUUGCUAAUCAGUAUUGUUAAGAGCCUUGGUUUGAAACAACCUCAUAUAAGCAGAUAAAAUUUCAUAACAUUAUAACAGACAGAAUUUUUUUGAGUUAGACUUACAGAGUCACAUGAGGCUCUUUCUUCAGUUUUUUUUCCCCAGCAAACAAACAACAACUAGUGUACACUGGUUGAAUUGGCAAAGUAACCACACAAGGUGAAACAACAAUUACAGCACCAGACUAGAACCCCAUGUCAUCUUGCUCAUUUCUGUCAUUGAGUUGAGCACAUCUUGGUGCAAAUUUACAUCUCAUGUAUUGAAAAAUGUCAUGACAUAGGAGAAAUCAGAAAUGUAAAUGUUCUUCUACAUGCAUGUCCACUAGUCUGAAAGAGAAAUAAUUAGAUUUAACAAAAUUUCAAUAUGUAUUUGGAAUUUGACUACCCUAUCAGUCACUUUUAAUUAGAUAAAGCUUUUAAUAUAAUUUAGAGAGUGAUUUCAUCCCAAAAAAUUAGUGUAGGAGGGGUUCUAGACUUCUAGCCUCUAGGGGGGCAAAAUAUAUUUUGGUUUGAUUGAAACAUAUUUUCCCAUAUAAAGAAACUUUAAUUUUGCAAUGAUUUUAGUUCAAUAUAUUACAGAAAUUCCAUACAAUAAAAUCGAAAGAAUUAUUCUCUAUCAACAGUUAUAUAUAUUGUCCAAUGAGUUAUGUUGAAUCAAACUAAGAGAAAUACAAUGAAAUCGUCCUUCAAUUUCUUCUUGUUUUCUUCUGUUCUUCUAUCCUUGGUCUUUCUCAAUGGUGUUAAGGGUGAUAUCAUUGCAGAUAUAUGCAAAUAGGUUUUUAGUGACGUUAUUGCAUCUAACUUCUGUGUAGAUACUCUUCAAGCAGACCCAGGCAGCAACACUGCUGAUGUUCGCGAGCUCUUAAACAUCUCAGUAAAAUUAGCCAAAGCUAAUAUAACAUAUGUGGAGUCCAAUAUUCAAAACCUUUUGAAACAACAGCAGUCAGAUGCUAGUAUGGAAACUUGUUUACGAAAGUGUUUGGAAAUGUAUUCCAUGGGAGAGUCUUUUAAGCAAGUUAGACCAGCAUUAGUGUCUCCAUUGUCGGCAAUGAAUGAUAUUUGUACUAAAGUGCUUAAUAUUGCUAAACAAAUAAGCACUUUGUUUUUAUGAUGAUCUUUGUUGUGAACAUUGCCCAUCAUGGUGAUGUUUAUUAUGACAAGGAUUUCAAUCCAAUUCCGAUAGCUAGAUUAGUAAUUUCACUUAUAAAUUUAGGUGCACCAUAGAAGUAAUUUCACACCUAAAAAUAAUAAUGAUUGCUACAUUCCUACUAUCAAUCAAUCAUCAUCCCUUUCCUCUUAAGUAAAUAUUUUAAACCAAUUGUAAAGCUACCCAUAAAUCCAUAAUGUCAUAAUUGAAAAAAAAAAAAAAUUAUUUUACUUUGUAAUGUUUCUUCCAUUAUUUGUUCAAAACAUACGUCAUUCUCAUAUGUCUCUCUCCCAUUAAAAGUGCAUAAUUCACAAAAAGUAAUAGCAUAAUUUUUGUUCAAAAGCUAUUAAAUCAUUCCCCAAAUAAUAUAUUUUUUGUUGUGCGCAGUUGUGCUAGUGUACGAAAUAUGACAAACAAAGUAGUAAAGAAGUAAAUCUACUUCGUAACGUCAAACAAUAGAGAUAGGCAUCAAUAUGACGUGGUUCGACUUGAUUGCCUACGUCCACGGACACACAAAUAGAACUUGUAGUAUUGCAGAAGAUACUAGCUAAAAAACUCUCAAACAAAUAGAGAAACCAAAGGUUUCCUCCAUUCUCAAAUUCUCAUCAAAUCUUUGAAAAAGACAAUCACUAAUUGAGGAUGCAAACGCUCUCACACUUUGGAUGGAGAGGACCCUAGAAAGCACUCGUGUUCUUCCUCACAAUGAAUUCUCUCUCAAACUCUCUAAUGGCUUUCAAUAGAUGUCUCACACAAUAAGUUAGGGUUUUCAACCUAAUUAGGCUUUAUAUCAUAGCCUUACAAGUAAAUUAGGUUUUCCAUGUCAUGGGCCCAAAUUGAGUCUAUUGCCACUUCACCAAAUAGUCCAUCCGAAAUCUCCAGCGGCAAUGCAUCUAUAAAAACUGUUGUUCAGCGAAAAUACCACUUACAAUUCCAUACUUGACAAAAUUUUCAGAAAUCUCCAGCGGCAAUGCAUACUGCAAAAAAACCUAUUAGAACUUCGGAGCUGGUUUGCCACCAAAAUACUUAUCUCCGGAGGACGUGCUAUAUAGCAUUGGAAAGCUGAGAGAGUCCUCGUACCAACCCAGAAAACAAAUCGACAUUUCGAUCACUGAGCAAAAUGUUAUGGCCAUCACAAUAUAUAUUGUCCAAACUGAAAAACCAACCAAUGAUUUUGUAUAUGUUUUGUGACGGGAUUCAAAAGUUUUUAAGAUUUCUGCUUACUAUAUACAAGAAAACACCCAUAAAGAAGUUUAAUAUCCAAAAUAACAUAAAUUUAUAUAAUUUAUAGGCAUAACUCAUAAUACUUGAUAUAUGUGUUGUGUCAACAAAUUGAUUUGACAUAUUGCUGAUAUGUUAAUACAUGGAUGAACUCUGGUGAUGAUAUGUUAAAUUAAUAUUAUUUUUCAUCAACCAGGUUGGUGCGGUAAAAAUAAAAAAAAUAAGUUAGAGUUGUUUUUGUGUGGUAAAAAUAAACAAAUAAUUAUAGCUGUACAAAUAGCAAAUAAAAAAAAUUCUACAGUAACGGUAGGAGAUUGUGUGGGGAUUUUUUUUUUAGGAAAGCAAAUUUCAAUUAACAACUUUAUUCAUAGGAAAAGAAAAUUUAUUGACGAAAAACUCAUGCUUGUGAGUUGUCGGUAGAGAUUUGUUUAGCAUGCUUGUGAGUUGUCAGUAGAGAUUUGUUUAGCAUGCUCGUGAGUUGUCAGUAGAGAUUUGGUGCAGAAGAAAAUUUUGGUGCAGAAGAAAAUAGUGAGACAUCUGGAUAACAUUAUCCCUUCCAUGCACUAAAAAUAAUAUUUAUCUUCUGUCUUCACUGAAUUCAAGUAAUGUACAAACAUUUAUCUGAUCUCUUCAGUAUUCCCCAUUUCACUCUAACUAACAUAAGGGUGGGGAGGGUAGCCUCAUUCUUUUCGCCAAAUAAUUUGUCGUCCUUUACUGAAAUUUAGAAAAGUAAUACAGAAGAUAAAUUCAGACAGUGGAUACAACCAAAGUUGCCAAACAAAGGACUCUUCCCAUAAUAAUGUUGUAGGUAGUGCAGAUGGUAUCUUAUUCAUGAACAUGAUAGGGCAGCUGAUAGGUGCUGCGAGACUUCAGAAUCCAAACCCCAAACAAAUCACAAUUUCACAUGCUCUUAUUUUAACAUGACAACACACUCAACAGUAAUAGCCUCGAUCUACAACCUCAAGAUCUUUUUUUUGACAAUACGAUAUCCGCAAACUAUCAUCUUACCAUCUGAAUCUCUUAGUAAAGUACCCACCGCAGCAGUUCUUGUAUUCUUGUUAAUACCACCAUCAAAGUUAAUCUUAUAAACACCCACAGAAGAGGUGAUCCAUUGUUCUAUAUUCUAGCUAAUCGCCUUAAACCUUUACUUAACAAAAUUAUUUCACCCUAUCAGAAUGUUUUUAUUAAAGGCAGAGCUAUCUCAAAUAAUACGUCUUUGGUCCAUGAAUUAUUUUAGAAAAUAAAAAAGAUGAAAAAAACGUAAACAGGGUUGGGUAGCUAUUAAGAUGGAUAUAUGGCUAAGGCUUAUGAUAGAGUGGAAUGGUAUUUUUUGAGAAAUAUUAAUUUCUUAAUAUAAAUUCCACUUAAUAAAUGAAAAAACAAAAACUUACUUUUAAAUUUGAAAAAAUCCAAUAUAAAUGAAGGAAGUAGAAGACAAAGAGAAUUAAGAUUUUGAUUUUCAACGAUAAAUUUUUUUACAAAUUGUUUCUCUUUUUGGUGUUCGGAUCGGAUCGGUUUUUUCUUUAGUAUUAUCCAAACCAAACCAAAACAAUAAUGUAUAUCAAAAAACCAUUUAAAGUGAUCCAUUAAUCCAAAUGGAUAUCCAAAAAUCUAAAAUAAUGGAUUGGAUCGGUUUUGGAUCGGUUUGGAUCUCGGAUCGGUUUGGAUAGUUGACAGGCCUAUAUGGGACAAGGAAAGGAAAGUCUUUAUAAGAGUUUUCCUUGUUACACAAGGAUAAUAAUUUUAGGAUAUAGGAAAUCUUUUUUCUUGGCUAACUACAAGUUGUCCAAAGCCUAUAAAUAUUGAUGUUUUGGCAUACAACAAAACAUAGACCAAGAUAUAGAGAAAUAACUAUUGAUUAGCUUGUUUACAGAAACUACUAAGGUUUAGUGCGUUUAGAAAUAUUGAGACAAAUAGGGUUUAGUUUGUCUAGAGAGUAUUAUGAGGCAGAGAUUCUUGUAAUCUUUAUAAUAUUCAGUAAAGAAGAUAGAUAUGGAUAUGUAGUAGAAGGGCUUGUAGAAGAAUCAACUAACAGUAGCGAGCAGAAGUGUUUCUUCUUGGAGAUAUUUUGCUGCAUUGAGAGGACCUGAACUAGACCAACUCAAGGUAUGUCGUUUACGUUAAACAUGAACGAACGAACUUAUUUGUUAAUUACGGUAAGAAUUUUCAUCAGUUGUUUUUUCUUUUUUUGUUUUUGACAUCUUUGGGAGUGAUUUGUAUGGUAGGCCAAGAAUUACAAAACGAUAUUUGUAAAAGAAUUCAUUCAGUCAUAUAACCCGGUUUAACACAUUUUCUACCUGGACAGUGCUAAGAACUAAAAUAUUUAGACUCUGUAAUAAGAAUAACAAUUUUCCUUUGGGGUUUUUACACUUUGGGACGCCUAAAUGAUACCCAUUUAAAAAAUAGGAUGUUUUUAAUUGAUAUUUAGAGUUUGGGGCACCUUCCGUGAGUUGACUGUUGUUUGCUUGUUAAAUUGUUUAAAAAAUAACAAUAUUACCCCCCCAUAUGUACAAAAUCGUUAAUAACAAAAUUGUUACAUGUGUCGUUAUAUCGUCCCUUGAUUCUAUCUUACGGUUGAUAAAUUCACACGUGUCGUUAUAUCAUCCUUUCUAAACUUUUUAAAAUUUUAGUUAUUAGAGAAGAAGACACUUAUGUUCAAUGAAAUUGAAGAAUAGGAGUUAUUCCACGGUAAUAUGAGUAUUUACAAAAUAUGAGUUAUUUGACUUAAGUGAACUGUUAGUCAUAACAGUCAACUGAUGAGAAGGUGCCCCAUACUCUAAAUACUAAUUAAAAGCGUCCCAUUACCUAAAAUCCUAAUAGACAUUAAUUAGGUGGACCAAAGUCCAAAAACCUUUUUCCUUGUGCAAGAAUAUGAAGGUACUUUCCUUCCCAAGGAUAAGCAAUGGCCCUUCUUCCUAAGAUUCUCUCUCAAUUCCUUUGGUAUCCAUCUCGGUUUGAGCACCCUAGCAAUUCAUAGUAAUCACUUGCAUAAAGCCCUACCACUAUAUUCCUCCACAAUGGUCCUCAUCAAGCUUUUCUUGUGAUUUCUGGCACUUGCUGUCAUGUUCUUUAUUUUCGUAACUUACAUACUUAAAUGUACAUUCUACUUCAAAGCCGUUCUACGAGUGUACUUUCAGCAUUUGCAUGUUAACUUCUUCUUUGCUCUUUGGAUUGUAUGUAUGUUCCUUACCAUCAGUGUACCUACUAUUAUAGAACCAGGGAGACUGCACCCUUCUAUAAGGUGCAUCUUCAUGCCACCUGUUUUCCUGCUCAAGCUCAAGAUCUAUGGCGAAUGGUAAUCUAGAGGAAAAAGGCGAAUGGUAAUCUAUGUCAUCACAUGUUGGUUUUUUUUUAUAUAUGUUCUUUGCAGGUGCAGAAAACGUUUCAAAAGCAGUUGGUUCUAACGGGUUUUGGAGACGUUCGAACGGAUCUGGGUUUUCAGGUGUAGUUAGUUCAAACGGAAUUUUGGAAUGUUCGAACGGAAAAAUACAACUCUCUGUUUGACAGGUUGGUUCGAACGGGAUUUUUGGGAGUUCGAACAGAUCGAUAUUUUUUGCUCAAUGGGCUUGAUUUAUGAGUUGGUUUUGCUUUGGUAAAAGCCCAAUUUCGAAUAGGCGUUGUGUAAGGCUAUGUUAUAAAGCCUAUAAAUAGGAAAACCUAGCGUAGGAAAAACUAGGUCAAGUGAGGCAUAAGUUUAGAUCUAAGUCUUCUUGAGACAGAUUUUCUUGAAGAAAGAAAAGUGAGGAAUAACUUGUUCUUGAGAGAUUUGAGAGUUUGUUUGUAAGGAGAAAGAGUCGAGUGAGUGCUCUUUGUAUCACCCUUUCUUCUUCUUCAUAAUGAAACUUUACCAUCUUGCCCCGUGGACGUAGGCUUAUGUUGAACCACGUUAAAUCUUGUGUUGUGGUGCUUGAAUUUUUUUAUCGUGUUUUACUUUCUAGUUACAUAUACUUAAUUGUUAUUGAUCUAGUAGUUAGUUCUUUAUAUUAUUUGUGUUGACCCCACUUAACAGGCUCAAGCCCAAGUCAAUUACAAGUCAAAGCCCAAGAUUAUAAUCAAUAAGAGCCUAAGCCCAAUUUAAUUAGUAAUAAGGCUUAGUCCCGUUACUGCAUUCAAUAUCAAUUAUGGGCUUUAUCUAUUUUAAGUUCAUUAUAUUCAAUAAGGUUAAUAUGGUAAUUGCACAUCUUUGUAGAGAUUUUCUUAACCUAAUCCAACUACAACUCCAAUAUCUAUUCAACUUUUAAUCUAAAUACAACUCCAAUAUCUCUACAACUCAUGUUCCUAACAGGACAUGAGGUACAUUAUCUUGUCAUUAUAUAGUUCAAAUACAUGGGACUAUAUCACUACAAUACAUUAGGGAUCAUUGGAUCACAUCCUAAUCCUAAUCAAACUCUACAAUUGAACUACGUUAUUAAAGACUUGAUUUCAUCUCUCUUAUGGAUACAUAGACAACUAAGAAGCAACUUAGUGCAGCCAUAAUCAAUCACCAAAACCGUAUUUUCCUUCAUCUUCAUCUUCUUCAAUACCUUAGAUCAUAACAUUAAGUGUUUCUUCUUGAUUUUACAUCAAAAUGAUGUGAAAUCCGGUUGAAACAUUAUUGUCUACAAGUUAUUCCUUAAGGUAUUAUCUUCGACAAAGGUUACACCUUUAUUGGUAUAGAUCAUGUUAUGAACAAAUCGCUUUCCCAACAAUUUGGUAUCAAGAGCUUUGGUUACAAUCUUGGCGAUUCAAGUUUGUUUUAAUUAAGGUUUUGAAGUUGUUGAAGAUAAAGGUGUUUGAAGAAAUUACUCAAAGAGUAUUUUGGAUAGAUCUUGUUGGGUAAGAACAAGAAACCUGUAACGAUGACUGAGGAAGAGUUUGAUUACAUGGAUCUUGAAGUCGUUGCCAUUAUAUCUUUAUUUGGAUAAAGAGGUUGUGUAUAAUGUCAAAAAUAAAACUACCGCCAUUGGUUUGUGGCUAAAACUUGAAUCUUUGUACAUGACAAAGAAUGUAAUGAACAAGAUGCUUUGUAAGAAGGAACUCUACACCUUAAAGAUGGAAUACGACGCUUCAAUGAGGGACCAUAUGGCUAAAUUCAACCGAGUAAGGUCCAAUUUGAAGGGCUUGAAUAAAAUAAUUUGGUUCUCCAGUGGAGUCGAGGUGUUAGAGAUAACACACAGUAUCAAGUCGCAAGUGAAUGUUUGUAAUUGAUAGGUUUGUAAAUCUAAUAACAUUAUAGUGGAUUGAUUUGUUGUCGAGUGUCAACCGUGGACGUUCCCUGUCUGGGUUUUACCAAUUAAACAUUGCAUGUUCUUUACUGUUUUUGUUACUUUCAUAUUUGUUUGAAAUUUGUGAUAGCAUUUGUUUGGGGAUUACAGUAUCACAUUAAGGCGGGGAAAUAUCAACUCCCACAUCUAAAAUCCUAUUACAAUGACAUUAGAUCAAAAUUAAAAAUGCAACAAUAUAUGGUAACUAGAAAUCUUAUCAACUUUUUUUGGGGGUAUCCAACUCAACUCAACUCCAUGCAAAGCUAUGCUUCCCUGGGGUUUUUGAGAGAUUGACUUCAGAGUGUCUUAUGUGCGUACAUCAAGGUUCUCUGGUGGAGUCGAGGUGUUAGAGAUAACCUGCAGUAUCAACUCGCAAGUGAAUGUCAGUAGUUGAUAGGUUUGUAAAUCUUCUAACAUUAUGGUGGAUUGAUUUGUUGUCAAGAGAGGCAACCGUGGAUGUUUCUCUGUUUGGAUUUUACCACGUUAAAACAUCGUGUCUUCUUUACUGUUUUUGUUACUUUCAUAUUUAUUUGAAAUUUGUUAUAGCAUUUGUUUGGGGAUUACAGUACAACAUUGCGGCAGGAAAAUAUCAUUUCCCAUAUCUAAAAUCCGUUUACCACAUUAGGACAAACUCAAAAAUGCAACAAUGGUAACUAGAAAUCUUAUCAACUUUUUUUGGGGGCAUCCAACUCAACUCAACUCCAUGCAAAGCUAUGCUUCCCUAGUAUUUUGGGCUUUUGGCAUAACUCCAUUUCAUUUAAUUCCCAUUUCAACUGCAUUUCAAAUGAACUACAGUAUUUGUCAAUUUCAUCAACAUUUCAUGUUCAUUUCUAACUUUUUUUUAAAAAAAAAGAAAAAAAAUUAUUUCUGCCCAUCAAACUAAGAAGUUCAUGACAUCUGUAUCAUAUUGUAAUAGUUACAGCAUUUUUUGCAUGUUGUACUAAAGAAAAUAAAUUCUUAUAAGGGAAAUGCUAGCUUACUGCAGAAGUGACCCUUGAGGGUUACUGUCUCACACAAUUCUGCCACAUGUACUACUGAAAAUGGGUUAAGGAAAGAGAAGGUUUAGGAGAGAGAAAGAGAAUCGGGAGGAGAGAAAAAAAAAUACCAGUAAAGAAAGAAAGAUCUCUUUUAGAUUUGAGAUUUUUCUAGAUGAUUAGAUUUUUUUCUUGAAUUGAUUUGUGGGAAUAUAGAAUUUAUUCCUAUGAAUAGAUUUGAUGUUUUCAAUUCGGAAGAAAGAAGAGAAGAUGAACAAAUUGUAAUUUAUUAAUCAAAACUACAACAUUUCUCUUUUAUCAAAGGUAAAUUGUUAAUUUGAUUAGAUUGGUUUCGAAGAGUUUAUGUAUUCAUCAAUGGCAAUACCUUAGUAAAACUAAAAUUGGAAGUCUACAUAAACUAUUUAAAGUUGCAGAUACAAAUUAGAGAGAUUGUAGUGUAAGUUUAUAACCGUGGAACAAGGUGUUGAUAUUGUAGAGAUAGAAGGUACCUUUUUCUGGUUUUUUUAUAUUUUUAUUUUUCUCCUUAUUUCUCUCUCUUUCUCUUUCUCUCUCUCUCUUUUAUUUUAACUCAAACCUUCUCUUCCCUUAGCCGGUUUCCUAUUAUGUACGUGGCAGUUUCUAGCUUGGCAGUAACCCUCGAGCGUCACCUCCGCAGUAACGCUAGCAUUUCUCUUCUUAUAAAGAGUUGGUAAGAUCUGAUGAAAAGCUAUUAAAACGACCAGAAGAUCUCUUGUAGCUUCAUUCCACCCAAAAACCAAAAUGGAGAGUAGUGUGAUAGUUUUAGCCUUGGCAUGCCUAGCAGCACUAUUAGCCUUUAUCUCAAAGAAAACCCAGAAUACCAAAAAGAGAAAUCCACCUGGUCCAAAACCAUGGCCUAUUAUUGGCAAUCUACAUCAGCUUCCUCCCCUCCCACAUAUUUCUCUUCACUUGUUAGCCAAAAAGUAUGGAGAAAUUAUGCAGGUAAAAUAUGGUUCUGGCACAGUUGUGGUUGCUUCAUCGCCCAAAAUGGCAGAAGAAUUUUUGAAAACACAUGAUAAUGUGUUUGCCUCUAGGCCUCCCUUGGCUUCUGGCAAAUACACUGGUUACAAUUUCCAAGACAUGACAUGGACACCUGCAGGACCUCAUUGGCGAAAAGCACGUAAAGUUUACCUAACGGAAAUAUUCACUCCCAAAAGGCUUAAUUCCUUUGAAUAUAUUCGUGUUGAGGAAAGACAAAGGUUCCUUUCUGGGCUUUACGCUAAGAGUGGAAAUCCAGUGUUGCUCAAAAACGAGAUCAGGCGAUAUACUCUCUCUAGUAUAAGCAGGGUGGUAUUAAGGGACAAGUACUUCAGUGACCAUAAAACUGACACUUCACUUGUGUCAAUAAGUGAAUUUCAUGAGAUGAUCGAUGAAUGGAUGGUGCUUAAUGGUGUAAUCAACAUUGGCGAUUGGAUACCAUGGCUGCGUGUCUUUGACCUCCAAGGAUAUGUUAAGCGAAUGAAAGUCUUAAGGGACAAGUUCGAUGCUUUUCACAACUAUGUAAUUGCUGACCACAUGGCUCAAAAGGAUUUAGCAGGCAAGAAUUUUGUUCCUAAAGAUAUGGUAGAUGUGUUAUUGCAGUUGUCUGAGGAUGAUACUGAUCCUGAGGUUAAGCUCUCUAUAGAAGCUGUCAAGGCAUUAGUCCAUGUUAGUAUUUUAUCAUCAUUUCACUCUCUAUCUAUUAUAAUCCUUACUUAUUUUAUUAGUACUGUAUAUAUGUGUAUAUAUAUAUAUAUAUGUCUGCAGAUUUUUUCAACAAAUUAACUUUUAUGUCGAUCUAAUUCACCUUUGCUUGUGUUUAGGACUUAAUGCCUGGUGGCACGGACACGUCUGGAACUACUAUGGAAUGGGCAAUUCAUGAAAUUCUUAGACAUCCCGACGUCCUUGCAAAGCUAAGGGAAGAACUUGACAAAGUAACUAAUGGUGGAGAAAGAUGGGUGCAAGAAGAUGAUUUCCCCCAAAUGCCUUACUUAGAAGCUAUUAUUAAGGAAACAUUAAGGUUACAUCCACUAUCACCUUUGUUGGCACCACAUUUUGCACUCGAGGAUUGCAAUGUAGCAGGUUAUGACAUAGCUAAAGGAACAACUGUCUUGAUAAAUACAUGGAGCAUAGGGAGGCACCCAGACCAUUGGGAGGAUCCUUAUGAAUUCAAGCCAGAAAGGUUUUUGCAGGGAAAGGAAAUCAGCAUGACAGGACAAGAUUUCACUCUGUUGCCAUUUGGCUCGGGCAGAAGAAAGUGUCCUGGCUACACUCUCGGACUUAGGCUUGUUCGAACAACAGUUGCUAACAUCUUCCAUGGUUUUAACUGGAAACUUCCAGAGGGAAUGAAAUCUGAAGAUAUAUGUAUGGUGGAGCGCUAUGGUCUGACUACCUGUCCUGAAGUCACCCUUAGUAUUAUCCCAGAGCCUCGACUUCCGAUCCACCUUUAUAAGUAAAAAAAUUGUAUUCCACUUUAUUUUGUCUUGUGUUUUUUUUUUUCUCGUGGGUGUCCAGCCCUUGGUUACUCUCAAGGGCCUUGGUUGGACAUUUGAAUGUUUUUGCUUUGUUUUGUUUUUGUUUGGUUAUUGUUUUAAAAAUAAAUAAAUCUGUCUUAAUAAAGAAAAAUGUCCUGCACAUCUACCAUUAUGGUAGUAAAUAAAUCUUGUUUUCUCGGUUAAAAGAAAGAGCACAAGUUUCAAAUCUACUUUCAUACUAUAGCAGAAUGCCAGAAACUGCGCAUAAGAAAUAUUCUCUCACCUAAUUAACCAAAAUUGAUAAUCUAAUUGACAAGGAUUUCAAUCCAAUUCCGAUAGCUAGAUUAGUAAUUUCACUUAUAAAUUUAGGUGCGCCAUAGAAGUAAUUUCACACCUAAAAAUAAUAAUGAUUGCUACAUUCCUACUAUCAAUCAAUCAUCAUCCCUUUCCUCUUAAGUAAAUAUUUUAAACCAAUGGUAAAGCUACCCAUAAAUCCAUAAUGUCAUAAUUGAAAAAAAAAAAAAAUUAUUUUAUUUUGUAAUGUUUCUACCAUUAUUUGUUCAAAACAUACGUCAUUCUCAUAUGUCUCUCUCCCAUUAAAAGUGCAUAAUUCACAAAAAGUAAUAGCAUAAUUUUUGUUCAAAAGCUAUUAAAUCAUUCCCCAAAUAAUAUAUUUUUUGUUGUGCACAGUCGUGCUAGUGUACGAAAUAUGACAAACAAAGUAGUAAAGAAGUAAACCUACUUCGCAACGUCAAACAAUAGAGAUAGGCAUCAAUAUGACGUGGUUAGACUUGAUUGCCUACGUCCACGGACACACAAAUAGAACUUGUAGUAUUGCAGAAGAUACUACCUACAAAACUCUCAAACAAAUAGAGAAACCAUAGGUUUUCUCCCUUCUCAAAUUCUCAUCAAAUCUUUGAAAAAGACAAUCACUAAUUGAGGAUGCAAACGCUCUCAUAGUUUGGAUGGAGAGGACCCUAGAAAGCACUCGUGUUCUUCCUCCCAAUGAAUUCUCUCUCAAACUCUCUAAUGGCUUUCAAUAGAUGUCUCACACAAUAAGUUAGGGUUCUCAACCUAAUUAGGCUUUAUAUCAUAGCCUUACAAGUAAAUUAGGUUUUCCAUGUCAUGGGCCCAAAUUGAGUCUAUUGCCACUUCACCAAAUAGUCCAUCCGAAAUCUCCAGCGGCAAUGCAUCUAUAAAAACGGUUGUUCAGCGAAAAUACCACUUACAAUUCCAUACUUGACAAAAUUUUCAGAAAUCUCCAGCGGCAAUGCAUACUGCAAAAAAACCUAUUAGAACUUCGGAGCUGGUUUGCCACCAAAAUACUUAUCUCUGGAGGACGUGCUAUAUAGCAUUGGAAAGCUGAGAGAGUCCUCGUACCAACCCAGAAAACAAAUCGACAUUUCGAUCACUGAGCAAAAAGUUAUGGCCAUCACAAUACAUAUUGUCCAAACUGAAAAACCAACCAAUGAUUUUUGUAUAUGUUUUGUGACGGGAUUCAAAAGUUUUUAACAUUUCUGCUUACUAUAUACAAGAAAACACCCAUAAAGAAGUUUAAUAUCCAAAAUAACAUAAAUUUAUAUAAUUUAUAGGCAUAACUCAUAAUACUUGUGAUGCAUAUGCAUAAAGAUACCAUGUGCAAGGCACAUGCCUCAUAGUUCCUGCAGAUUCCUAUAUGGAUUAGAACAUCCCUAGUAGUAGUUUCUAUUUACUUAGCUUUCUAGUGUAGUUAGGAUUAGGUUUAGGUUAUUAUAAAUAGGGGAUUGCAAACCCUAUUAAGUAGGUUAGAUUGAAGAUUUGUUUAUGUCUUGAGACAUUAAAUUCGUUUUUGUGAAGAACCCUAGUUUUUGGGUGUUCAAACCAUUUAUUUAAUUGGUGUUCUUAUUAUUGUUUGCUUCCACCGAUAGUAUUACACCAAAAUUGGUAUCAAGAGCUUGUUUUUUCUGGGUUUAGAAGAUAAAAACCUGAUUUUUAUUACAAGAGCCGCGUUCAUGUUGGUGAUUUGAAGAUGGGUUAUCGUAGAAGAGGUCAAAGAGAAUUUUCGUCGCCGCCGGAUCGCUGGAGUUUACAUGAAUCGAAGCGUUAUACCGAUUCUGAAUAUAAAGCUCCCAACUUUGAUCCUAGCCGCCGCUUUCCUCUUUCUAGAAGGUAUGAACCUCCCUCUUCCUCUCGUUCCCUUCUCCCCCACGCAGGCAACAUCAUAGUUAUUAUGACAAUGGAUAUUAUUCCCACCACCAGCAGGACACGCACCCUCCUCGAUGUGGUUUUCAACAACAAUAUGUUGCUUAUGGUGUUAAAUAUUCCCAUGGAAACCGUCCAAAGACUUAUGAUCACGAUGGUCUUCGUAGUCGCAAUUCUAAGGUUACUCCGUAUGGAGAAUACCCACACUAUAUUGAAUCUGAAAUCGAUUCUAAGAGCGAUGCCUUCAUGACGUCACCAAGCAUACAAAAAGAUUUGAAGCAACUUUUAAAUUGCUUUACUAAAUUAAAAAGUCAAUUUGCGUCUUUUAAGGAAGAAUUUGUUGAAGAAGAGAAACGACUUGACAAAGAAGCGGAGAUUAAUUUCUUACUCAACAUGUUUGAAGAAGAAAAAUACGUCACUCGUACUCGAAUUGGUGGUUUACAAAGUUACAAUCUUGUUGAUUUCUUUUCCGUUUUUGGUGAUGAUAGUGAUGAUACAUCUAGUUUUGUGUCUCUUGAGUUAGACGUUGCAUGUGUGGAUCAAGUAGAAGAUUUGAUUGAAAAAUCUGCAAGGGAGAUAAAUAAGAAGUUCUAUUUGUUGCCCAAGCAAGGAAACCUGGUUGUUGUCCAUGACAAUGGUAAAGAGGAUGAACGUUCUCAGAAUUUCGCUCAUCACUCCCAUGAAUCAAUGAAUUCCAUUGAUUCCGACCGACAAAUUGAUGAUUUUUAUCAUCCCCACAAAUUCCGUCCCAUAAAAGUAAUUGGUAAUUUGUUUGGCGGUUAUGUUGGCCUUAUCUAUUCCAAGAUGAGAAUGGAUUUUCUCCAUGGAAGGACAAACACCUUCAAUUCUUAUUUCUUGACAUGCGGCUAUAUUGCUUCAAUCAAUUGGGUUGUCCUAAUGAUGCACCUAUGACAUUAAUGUCCAUCAUUUUUUCUGCGAGCAACUAUCUGGGGAAGAUUCAUGGCCGGAUUUUCUGCACCAACGUAAGGUUGAGGUUGAUGUACAAGAGUGGUUUUGAACUUUGGAGGAUGUUAGUACACAAACUCGAGGACGAGUUUUUUUCAAGUUGGGGGGAUUUGAUGCAUAUGCAUAAAGAUACCAUGUGCAAGGCACAUACCUCAUAGUUCCUGCAGAUUCCUAUAUGGAUUAGAACAUCCCUAGUAGUAGUUUCUAUUUACUUAGCUUUCUAGUGUAGUUAGGAUUAGGUUUAGGUUAUUAUAAAUAGGGGAUUGCAAACCCUAUUAAGUAGGUUAGAUUGAAGAUUUGUUUAUGUCUUGAGACAUUAAAUUCGUUUUUGUGAAGAACCCUAGUUUUUGGGUGUUCAAACCAUUUAUUUAAUUGGUGUUCUUAUUAUUGUUUGCUUCCGCCGAUAAUAUUACAUCAACUUGAUAUAUGUGUUGUGUCAACAAAUUGAUUUGACAUAUUGCUGAUAUGUUAAUACAUGGAUGAACUCUGGUGAUGAUAUGUUAAAUUAAUAUUAUUUUUCAUCAACCAGGUUGAUGCGGUAAAAAUAAAAAAAUAAGUUAGAGUUGUUUUUGUGUGGUAAAAAUAAAAAAAUAAUUAUAGCUGUACAAAUAGCAAAUAAAAAAAAUUCUACAGUAACGGUUGGAGAUUGUGUGGGGAUUUUUUUUUAGGAAAGCAAAUUUCAAUUAACAACUUUAUUCAUAGGAAAAGAAAAUUUCUUGACGAAAAACUCAUGCUCGUGAGUUGUCAGUAGAGAUUUGUUUAGCAUGCUCGUGAGUUGUCAGUAGAGAUUUGUUUAGCAUGCUUGUGAGUUUUCAGUAGAGAUUUGUUUAGCAUGCUCGUGAGUUGUCAGUGGAGAUUUGUUUAGCUAGGAUUGCAGAUUGUAUUUUAAUGUAUAUAGUGAGUCUAUCCUGAUUCUGAGACAUGUGUUUGUGGUUUUUUUUAUUGUAAUAGAUUCUCUUUUUAUUAAGACAAGUUGUUGAACCCGUGCUACGCACCGGGAUUUGUGUUAUUCAAUAAAAUGGAAAUCACCAAACUUUUUUUAAUGUCCUUCUCAACCUAAAUUUGUAGAGAUUUUAUAAUGACUUUAUAAGUGAUUUGUUGAAUGAUGCCCUUCUUAACCUAAAUUUGUAGAGAUUUAUAAUUAAUAUUUUUUGUAUUUAGUAUGAUUUUUAUAUAUGAAUUAAGAAUUUUAAAUAGAAGAAGAAUUUAGUAGGAAAAAGAGAUUUAGAAUCAAGUUCUAAAGGGUUUUAAGGUUUCUAUAAAUCUCUGUUCACAUUGAAGGUGGAUUUCCUUUUUAACUACAACUGGGCUUCAAUUGGGUUGAAAGUUGGGCUUAAGUUCUAUUCUCAAGUUGUUGAGAACACGCCAUGUGGCACUUGUUAGGCUCCACUAUUAUAUAGUAUAUAGAUAUAGAUAACACAGAAAAUUUUGGUGCAGAAGAAAAUAGUGAGACAUCUGGAUAACAUUAUCCCUUCCAUGCACUAAAAAUAAUAUUUAUCUUCUGUCUUCACUGAAUUCAAGUAAUGUACAAACAUUUAUCUGAUCUCUUCAGUAUUCCCCAUUUCACUCUAACUAACAUAAGGGUGGGGAGGGUAGCCUCAUUCUUUUCGCCAAAUAAUUUGUCGUCCUUUACUGAAAUUUAGAAAAGUAAUACAGAAGAUAAAUUCAGACAGUGGAUACAACCAAAGUUGCCAAACAAAGGACUCUUCCCAUAAUAAUGUUGUAGGUAGUGCAGAUGGUAUCUUAUUCAUGAACAUGAUAGGGCAGCUGAUAGGUGCUGCGAGACUUCAGAAUCCAAACCCCAAACAAAUCACAAUUUCACAUGCUCUUAUUUUAACAUGACAACACACUCAACAGUAAUAGCCUCGAUCUACAACCUCAAGAUCUUUUUUUUGACAAUACGAUAUCCGCAAACUAUCAUCUUACCAUCUGAAUCUCUUAGUAAAGUACCCACCGCAGCAGUUCUUGUAUUCUUGUUAAUACCACCAUCAAAGUUAAUCUUAUAAACACCCACAGAAGAGGUGAUCCAUUGUUCUAUAUUCUAGCUAAUCGCCUUAAACCUUUACUUAACAAAAUUAUUUCACCUUAUCAGAGUGUUUUUAUUAAAGGCAGAGCUAUCUCAGAUAAUACGUCUUUGGUCCAUGAAUUAUUUUAGAAAAUAAAAAAGAUGAAAAAAUGUAAACAUGGUUGGGUAGCUAUUAAGAUGGAUAUAUGGCUAAGGCUUAUGAUAGAGUGGAAUGGUAUUUUUUGAGAAAUAUUAAUUUCUUAAUAUAAAUUCCACUUAAUUAUAAUUUCUUAAUAACAAUUCCACUUAAUUACGAUUUCUUAAUAGCAAUAUAAGAUAUUUUGUAAACUAACUUGUUGUCAAAAAAAAAAUGACUAAUUAUUAAUGUGAUUGUUUGACGGGACUAAUCCAUAAUGCCCAUCUAUAUCUGCAUAUCUAUAUAUUAAUAAACCCAUGUAGUCUCACAUUUUCUCUCCUAGGUGGGAUCCUAAAUGAUCUCCAAGCUUUCAUAAAUUUUCAUAUUUGUUUUAAAUAAAAAUAACAUAAUUAGUUACUUUAAUAGCUUUAUAGCUAGUUUUUGUUUUUCUCUAAAUUUCUUCUCAUUUUUCACUAAAACAAAAAUCUCUACACUUUUUAUCAACUCUCUCACUAAGCACAAACCUCUCAAAUUAAAAUCAAAACACAAAAAUAAUCAAAACAUAAAUUAAUCAAACAUAAGUAUUACGGGGUGUCUAAUAAAGCUCUUUCUCAUACCCCCAAUGCAUAGCACGAGUUUCUCAACUUAUUUAUAUAUCUAUAUAAUAGCUAGACCCAGUGGGUCCCACACUCUCUCUUCUAUGUGGCACUCUAUAUGAUCAUCAAGCUCUCACAAAUUUUCUCCAAUAAAACAAAUUAAAAAAAAUAAAAUUAUACUAAUUGGUUCUAUAACUAAAUUUUUUCCAUUUCUCACUACACCCAAAAAAACUCUACCCACUUUCUUUACUCUCCUAAUAAAGUAUAAACACAAAUAUUUCAAUGCAAUUAAAAUCAAAACAACAAAUAUAUUCAAAACACAAAUUAAUCAAAUAUAACCAAAUAUAAUAAUUUAUUAUAUAUACAUAGGAGAGAGAAUGUGGGACCCUAUAUAUCUAUAUAAUAGCUAGACCCAAUGGGUCCCACACUCUUUUUCCUAUGUGGCACUCUAUAUGAUCAUCAAGCUCUCACAAAUUUUCUCACAUAAAUCAAAUAAAAAUAAAAAAAUUAUACUAAUUGGUUAUAUAACUAAAUUUUGUAUUUCUCUACACUUCUCCCCAUUUCCCACUAAACCCAAAAAAUCUCUAUCCACUUUCUCUACUCUCCUGAUAAAGUAUAAACAUAAAUAUUUCAAUAAAAAUAAAAUCAAAACAACAAAUAUAUUCAGAACACAAAUUAAUCAAAUAUAAUUAAAUAUAACCAACUAUAAUAAUUUAUUAUAUUUACAUAUAAAUAAAAAAAAUAGUACAGAUAAAUUUAAUAUUUUAUAAAUUUAAAAUUUAUAAAAAAUUUCUCUUACAAAAUCUCGAAUCCUGGUGCGUAGCACGGGUCCACAACUAGUUGCUUAAUAGCAAUUAAGAUGGCAAUCAUUUCAAGUCUAUCAAUUAUUGCAUUGGUAGGACUGAUGAUCGAUAGCAAUGCUGAUCAGACCAACGAUAUUUUUGUGAAUUGAUUCGAGCUUGGUGUUUCAACGAGAGUAAAGAAGCAAGGGAUCCAUAGAAGAAGUACAGUCAGGAUUUCCUUGGACAAUAAUUAGCAUUGAAAUUGAAAAAAGAAGAGUAGGCUGAAGAAGCAUGAGCAUGAAGAAUCUCACACAAACUGCUUGGAAAUCAAAACAAAUUCCUAACAAAGACUGGCAUUAUAUUUGCAUGUGAUUGUGUUCUGAUACUUAUAAAUAGAGAAGCAUAACAUGGCUUAUUUAGUAGUUCAUACUGAGCAGAGUUGGUGUUUGAAUAUGAGAAUUGGAUGGGAGCAAACCCUUCUCCAUUUUAUGGUAAACAGAGGGUUUGGUUUCCUCCAAUAUCUCAUCUUCAACAAUUUCAACUACAGUAUAUAUAUUUUUCAAUUAAUAAUCCAUUCUGAGGCUAGAUUUGAAAGUGAGAGUUGGAUGGAACUAAAUCCUUUUGUCCUCUAUGGUAGAAAAGGGUUUAGUUUCCUCCAAUAUCUCACCUUCAAUAGUUUCAAUUACAGUUUGCUUGGCAGUUCACCAUGAGACUAGAUUGAAUGUGAUGUUGGAAUUUCCACAUAUAAAGCCCAACCCAUAAUGUGGUCCAUGUACCUUUAACCUUGGUUUAAUAUAGAAAUAAGCUAACUAGUAAUAGGUUAUGUGGAAGUCAUAUCUACCGUAGAUCUUAACUAUGAUGGACGGUCUAGAUCUAAUGGGCUUAAGUUUGUAGAUUUAGGUCCUCCCUCCACCUCUAUAAAUUGGUGUAUGAUCUCCAUCCUCAUACACUUACUAUUACAACACAUAUUAAGGUUUUAAAGGCAAGGAGAGAGAAACCUAGAUCUUGUGCAACUUCUCAAAUCAUCAAUAGCUAUGGACAAAGGUAUGUGUAGUGAUUAAUUAUAUGAUUCAUGAUCCUUAUUGUUUAUCAAUAAUAUUAUUAUGUUUAUAUGUGGUAUCAGUCGCCAAUAUGAAUCAUAUUAUUAGUUCUAUCAUCCUCAUUUAAUUUAAUACUGUUUAUUAUGAUUCCGCAUUAAAGAAAACAGUAAUUCUUAUUUUUAUGGUUGAUGUUUCGUAUGAUUAAGAUGAUAUUCCUUGUGAUUAAAUACGGUAGUAUUUCUUUCCGUUAUAAAUUACAUCAAGAUUAGCGUUAGUAUGCUUUUGGACUCAUAAAUUUUUGACUGUACGUGAUCACUAAUUAAUUGAUAUGGGACCUUUGGGUAUUAUGAACACUUAUGAAUUUUUGGUUAAUGGUUGGCAGUAAUAUAUAUGGUGUUAUGGUGCAUGAAUUCUCGAUGCAUGAUUAGUUGGAUAAUAAGGACAGAACAACCUCAACAAAGUUUUGUUUAAUGCAAUAUAUGGUUUUAGCUGCUUCUUCUAGAAUUAAUUCAUGAUUAUUAUGAUUACUGUUUGAAGCUAGCAGGAUUACUGUCAUUAAUUAUAACAUCAUGUUUCGUCCAGUAGUGACUUUGUUAAUCUUGUUGGGUUAUGGUUUUGGUGUGUACUGCAAUAUAAGUCCAAUUGUGGGCUUGAUUGCUAGCCUAAUAUAAUGCUUUGUAGUCCCAAAAUUGAUUGAUAUUAGCAUGUCUGGUAGUACCCCUUCUAAGUAACGUAUAAUCCUUAUUAAUCUGGACUUUCUUUACUAGCUGAAGUUUAAUGUUAAUCCGUAGAAUGUUAAAUUCUUAUGUAACCCGGUUCCAAAGACCCCAUUCAUUCUUACUGGCUAAAGUUUAAUGUUUUUUUUUUUUGGAUAAUUUUCCUACUUCGAUUACUGCCAUAGCACACAUCUUUCCAAAGGAGAUGAUAAUCUGGUAUAUCAUUCUUUGGGUUUUGGGCCUUACUGUUACAACCCAUAUUAAGUAUUUUUGGUCCUAUAGUAUACUAUUACUUUGGGUUUUUGUGCCUCACUUAGUGACAAGAACCCAACCAAUUGUAUUAUGAUGAUGUAUUUUACUGAUUAAAUAUUGUGCAAAAUUAUAAUGGUCAUAUUUAUAACAAGAAACGCAUUGGUAUUCACAGUAGUGGUUCCAACUAAAGUGUUAUCAAAAUUGUUUUUUCUUAUUCAAUAUUCGUGUUAAGGUUUUUAUUGGUAUUCACCACAGUGAAACCAAGUAUGUUUAUGAAUAUUGAUUUUUAUGAAUAUACCAUAAAGUAAAACUGAACCAAUUUUUGUUUUGGAUUUAACGCUUUGUCCAUUAGUGUUUUGGUAGUUUGGUAUUUUCAAUUACUCUUUGCACAAGAUUUUCGAAUUAAUGUUUGCAUAAGCCUUACAAUCACAACCCAUAGUUAAUGUGUUUGGGACUUACAGUUAGAUUUUUUUUUUGUAAUAGUUUAUAUUAUAAUGUCAUUUACUUCUAUGCCUAAUUCAUACUUGUAUGCUUAUGAUUAUUUUUUCGUUUUAAGACCCAUAUUAUGCAUGUGCGCUAGUUGAAUUUAUUAGAUUGUGCACUUCUUAUGAUUAAGAUGCAUUAUGAUAUUUUGAUCUUGUAGCAUUUAUUCGGCUGCAUGUUUAUUCCCUUAAGAUUCAUAUCAUCAUGAUUUGGUAUCACCACAGUGAACCAAUUACGAUUAUUGACAUUGUUUCCUGUUUUAUAUUCAUAUCAAGUUUUCUAUUGGUAUCCAUUGCAGUGAUUCCAAUAUGUUUAAUGAAUAUUAAAACUUCCUUGACCAUUCAUAUUAUGAUUUGGUUUUCACCACAGUGAACUAAAUAUUGUGUUGAAUGUUAGGCUAAGUACCUUAUUGCCUAUUUAUUCACUUGCAUUAUUGAGCUACCCACAGGUAGAUCAAACAUAUGUUACAUUGGAUAAACUUAAGGGGUUGCACGUAUUUGUGAUUAAAUGAGUGUAGGAUAUCCACAGAUACCAUGCUUAUUUUGAUCAUGUGAUAUGUCACCCAUUUAUAGUAUUACUAAAAAUCUUAGUCAUAUUUGUUUAAUUAAUGUGUUGACUAAUGUUGUGAGCAUGCUUAUUCUUCAAGUUCUAUUAUUCUUAUAUUUUGUAUGUUUUUAUCCUUAAGAAGACUAAUGUAAUGAACUAGAAUGAAUAAGUCUAGUUGAUUUUAGUGGGAGUUCUAGCUCUUGGCAUAUGUUUCCUUAUUGUUGAAUCUACUGUUAUUUUUUAUAAAAAUAGUAAAAAGGAGAAAAUUAUGCAUUAUGCAUGAACUCGAUUGAACAUGCAAAUUAAACUCAAUGUUUAUGUGAAUAAUUGUUGAUGAAUAAUAUUAAGAAUCAUUUUGCACUGCUAGCUGAAAAGUUAAUUGUUGAACUGAUUACUAUUGAUAGUACUCAUAUAUAGUAUGCAUGAUUGUAUCCUUGAGUUUUCCAAUUUAGUUGUUAAAUCAAAGAAUUUUGGCAUGUUAGUGGAUGAUUACUUUGUCCUCCAAUUUGUUCUAAAUUUCUUGUCUACAUAGUAUGUUUAGUUUCACUAUUACACUAUUAAAGACAAGUGGAAUGUGAAUUAAAUGGCGAGACUACCAGUUCAAGUAUAGGCAAGACUUAAAUAACAUUAUAAUCAUGUCACUCAAGCUUAAUUCAUGUUUCAAGGAGUUGAAUGAACAAUUCUCUAAUUGUGUUUGGAUAUACAUUAUGUGUGUGCCAAUGCCAUUUAUGUGAAUAUGGCGUUUGUUUGAUAUAAAAGGUAAGCUUUUGGUUUUAGUAUGUUUCGAUCAAACUUAAUUGGUAUUCCUAAUACUUAGUGAAUUGAUUAUGAUUAAUGUUUAUCUUUCUUGUGGCAUAAAAGACUGGAUUAUACAUCUAGAUGAAAAAUAGACUAGUAAAAGAAAGGGUUUUCCCGAAUCUUGACUUCACUAAUUUUGGUGUAUGUGGAUUGCAUUAAGUUAAGCAAACCAAACACACUAAAAAGAGCCAUAAGAAGUAAGCUUCUUGAAAUAAUUCAAAUAGACAUAUGUGGACUUUUGAUGUUCCAUCUUUUGGUGGAGAAAGGUAUUUCAUUACCUUUAUUGAUGAUUUUUCUUGUUACUAUAACUAUCUAUUGCAUGAUAAGUCUCACAUGUAAAUGUUGUUUAAAUUUACAUAACUGAAAUUAAGAGACAAUUAGAUAGAAAGGUGAAAAUUUAUGUUCCGAUAGAGGUGGUGAAUUUCUUGGAACGUAUGAUGACACGGGACAACAUCCCGGUUCUUUUGCCAAACUUCUAGAACGGUUAGGAAUUUAUGCCUAAUACACAAUGUCUGGUUCUCCAUGACAGAAUAGUGUAGCUCAAAGGCAUAAUCAAACUCUUAUGGAUAUGGUUUGAAGCAUGAUGAGUAAUUCUAACUUACCCAUAUCAUUUUGGAUGUAUACUUUAUGAACUAUAGUGUAUAUAUUGAAUUAGGUUCCUAGUAAGACAGUUACAAAGACAUUUUUUUUUUGAACUGUGAAAAAGUUGGAAACCUAGUUCAAGACAUUUACACAUUUAGGGUUUAUCCAAAAAAAAAAAUCCAAAGUGUAUAGAUUUUACUAUCCUAACCAUACCGGCCACUAAAAUUAUUGAAACUGGAAAUUAUUGAUUCGUUAUGAACGACAAAAUAAGUGGGACUGAUCAUAUCAAAGAGGUAAUCAUUAAAGAAAUUAUGGUACCAAUUUUGUUACCUCAAUUUUGUAAUGAUAUUAUUGUUACUUCUGUUGUUGCACCGCUUAACAACAAUAAACAACAAGUUGAUCCUCAACCACUUAAUGAAAUUAAUGUCAUUGAAUUGAAUGUAAACACACACAAGAAGUAGCAUUCACUACACCAUAACAAGCGAUUUGCAAUGGUAAUAUGGCAUUGCAAAUUUUAUUUGCAACGCCUUUCUACCGUUGCAACUACGGCGUUACAAAUAACGUUGCAAAUAUUUGCAACGGUUUAUUGGCGUUGCUAGUUUUGUAUUUGCAACGGUUUAUUGCUGUUGCUUUUUCCAAUAAUUGCAACGCCCAUAGUGGGUUGCAAAUGUUUUAUUUUGCAACGGUCAUUGUCGUUGCAUAACUGUUUUGUAAUUGAUAAAUAUUUGAAAUUGCAACUCCUGUAGACGUUGCAAAUGUUUGUAAUAACGGUAACCUGGUACUUUGCAACAUGUAUUUGCAACGCCUUAUAGGCGUUGCAACCUAUAAAAAAAAAAAAAAAAAAAAUUGCUAUUAUCCGUUAAUGGCGUUACAACUACGGCUAUGUUUGGUUUCCCAUUCUCUGUUUAAACUCAAUGAGACACUACAACAAUAGUAGUGCUAAGACCAACUAAAGCAAUAGAAAAAGAUAGUUUUCCUCCAAUUGUUCUAAUGCUUUUUAUACACAACACUUAUAGCUAUUCUCACACUAAACACAAUCGAGAUUCUUAUUUCGCUUAUCUAAGCAUUUGGUGUGAAAUAUUCAAGUUCAUACACCAAUUAUCACCGUAUUCAAGAAAAAAGGUUCAAACCUUGAGAGCAUUCUAAAUAAGCAGGACUCCGAUUUUCUGGUCAAAAUUUGCAGUUUGUAGCUUGUCCAGGUCCUUUGAUGCAUAAAGUAAGGCAACACCACCACCUGCAGAUGGAAGACUUUUAUAAACAUGCUUUCGAUACCCAAGUAAUUUAACAAUGAGUGGCAUGGUCAUCCUAUAAUAAGUUUACCAGGUACGAUUCCAUCCUCAACAGCUGCCUUGGUUGCAUUCAGAGCAUCAGUAACUCUGUCAUUUUUCUCCCCUACUUCAGUUUCACUAGCACCUCCAAUCUGCAACAAAACACAUACCAAACAUCCAUUAUUUUGUAAGUAAAUGAAGUUGCAGUAAUGGUUAGCUAUCUCAGGUAUUGAACAAAAACAUUCUAAAUUCAACAACAUUAAAGUCAGAGAGAUUAUAUUGUCAAUGAUUAAAAAAACAGCCACAUUUUGUUCAGAAUGGGACCAAACCUUCAACACGGCAACACCUCCAGAAAGCUUAGCGAGUCUCUCUUGCAACUUCUCUUUGUCAUAAUCAGAAGUGCUUGAUUCGAUAGCAGACCGUAUCUGUACAAUGGUUACAGGGCGUUACUGCUAUAUGUUAUCAUGCACUUAUAAACCCAUACUGAAUGAAUUAUCCAUUAGCCACAAAUAUUUUGGAGAAAACUAACACAAACCUAUUCACAUCUUUCUUCAAGAUCUUUCUUGUCACCAGCCCCAUCAAGAACCAGUGUCAUCCUUGGAUAUUGUUACCUACAAAUUCAUGUACAUAUAACUCAAAAACUAACCCGGAGAGGAAAAAUUAUCAACACAUGAAGAAUAUAGACGUAGCUAUAAAAAUUCAAGAUGUAAGCUCUGGAUUUUUCGCACUUACUUUUUUACAGCACAUAGCAAAGUAUUACGUAAACGUUACUUUCUCGCAUUUUUAGUUGCAUCACCAAAGCUUUUCAACAAGUUGGGAUAACAUUGAUAAUUUGUAACAAAUUUUAAACAUUUUACUUUAAAAAUUAACUAUGGUAACGUGUGGGAGGCUGGCCCCCAAUUUGCUCAAUAUGUGAUGGCAUGAAGCGGCCACUGGCCACAUUACCCACAGCAGUGCAGCCAUGGUGGAUCUACAACAAUGUACAUGUCCAAGAUAUCAACAACAAAAUUUCAUCUGUAUCGAAGGCUCUUAAACACGUAAAAAAGCAUAACACAUCAAAUAUAUCAUAUAAGCAUCACAAAACAGCUACAGAAUUUUACCAUAUAAGGCAUCUCCUUUUUCAGCAUGAUCAAAUUCAGAUAAGGGCAUCACUAUAGACUGUAGCUUCACUCUCCCUCCUCGCUUGUUCUAAACAGCAACAAAACAGCAAAAUCAGGGAUUGAACAUGACACAUAAUAUUUACAAGUCCUAGCACAUUGUUAGGUAAGCUAGGUAAAUAGUGAACAAGGGCAUUAGUCAAUCACCUGAUACUCCAUAAAUUUUUCUGCGUGACCCCUUUCUUCUUCGCUGGCCUCCUUGAAGAACCUGAUUCAAACAACACCAUACAUUAAGCUAAAAAACUCAGAACAAACAUCUAAUAAAAAAUGCCCAUAAGGUAGUUGAGGGGUUAUAUCUUACUUAGCAAGUCCCUUAAGCGCAACAUUAUCCCUAUCGAAGUAGGCAUACAAGGCAUGAUACACAUAUGACACAUUGUAUUCCACACUGCAAUUUCAAAAACAAAGACAUAAGAUUCAAUAAACAAUAAUAAAACCCCUUAUAUUAACCAUUCCAACAAAUAAAAGAACCCCAGAUUCAAAUAAAUAAAAAUACCCAACAAAGAAAUCGAAAAAACAAAGAAAACCCAACAUAGAUGGAAUUAAAUAGACUAGAAAAAAAAACAAAAUAACAGAAAAGAAAAAGACAAAAACAAAAUAACAGAAAAGAAAAGGACAGAAACAAAAACACAGGAAUCUAUUAAAUAGAAACAAAAUUGAUAUUUGAAUGUUACCCCAUCAAUCUCACACAAACAACAAUUCAAGAUACAAAAUUGAAUAGAAAUUUUGCGUUAAAUUACUAUUAUCCAUCUCACACAAACAACAUCUCAAGAAAAAAAAACAUAGAAUAGACAAAGGAAGAGAGGCAGAAAAGAGAUUUACCGUGAUUGGAGCGACGAUUGAAAACACACAGCAGCAGCAGCGCGCGGAUGAGUAAGAGGUUGCAGAGGCAGUGAUGGAAAUUUCAAAAGAAAAAAAAAGAAGAAGGAGAAGCAGUGAUUGAAUUGUUGUUUGGGUGAGAAGAAUUGAAAUUGUUGUUUGUAUGAAAAGAAGAAAUUAUCGAGUUUCAAUUCGAGUUGGGAAGGAGAAGAAAGACCGAGGCAGGAGAUGAGUUUUAAAGAGAAAGAGAUUGAGUUUAACUCGAUCUUAAGUUCCUAAUUGUUUCUAAUUUGCAACGCUGCACGUGCUAAACCGUGCCGCGUUACAUUUUCUGUUUCGGUUACCUAUAUAUUUUGCAACGACUACUGUGGGUUUCAAACAUAAUACCAACAUAUAAGAAAAUCAUAUUUCGAAAAAAUAUAUUUGCAACGGCAUUAAGGUGUUGCAAAUUUGCAAUGCUAAAUAACCAUUGCAAAUUGAAAAAAGCCUAGUUGCAAAUUUGUUGUUUUGGUGUAGUGAUUAAAAAGAUCUUAAAGAUCACGACCAACUACUUUGGAUGACCACGUGUUGUAUUUACAAGAAUUUGAAUUUAAUGAUCUAGUUACAUUUUCACAAGCCAUUACUUAUAGUUCUGAUAAAAAGAUUCAUGCCAUGAAUGAAGAGAUAAAUUAAGUGUGGAUUUUAACUAAGUCUGGGGUUAGUAGAAUUGACUCAAAAGGUUCUAUUGAAUGCCAUAAAACAAGACUUAUAUCAAAACAGUUUACUCAAUAUGGUGGCAUUACUUUCUCGUGCGUGAAACCUUCACUUAUGUGUUAAAGAAGAAUUAUCUUAGAAUCAUUAUGGCAUUGGUGACUCAUUUCGAUUUAGAGUUACACCAAAUAAAUGUGAAAAUGAUAUUUUGAAUGAAAAUUUGGAUAAAGUCUACAUGGUUUAAUUAGCCACACAACUUCAUAAAGGAAGAACAAGAACACAUAAUCUAUUUGUUAAAGAAGUCAAUAUACAGACUUAAAACAAGCUUCUCGAAAAUGGUACCUAAUGAUUAAUAGUAUCAAACGUUUGAGUUUAAUGUACAUACCCAAAGUUCAGUGGGAGUAAGUUUAUUAUUUUGAUUAUGUAUGUUGAUGAUUUAUUGUUUCACAGCAGUGAUUUUCGUUUAUGUAAACAUUUUUUUUCUGUCUAAACACUUUGCAAUGAAAGUUAUGGUGAUGUGUCAUAUGUGAUAGAAAUAAAAAUAUUUCGGGAUUUAUCACAAUAAUUGUUGGAACGUCUCAGAAAGAUUUCAUUAAUAAAGUUUUGGAUAGAUUUAAUGUGUUAAGGCAUAAUUGUAAUGAUGUUCCAAUUCAGAUGGGGGAAUAUUUGAAUUAAAUCAAGAUCCUAUGAAUGAAUUGGAACAAGAACGAAUGAAAGAGAAACCGUAUUCUCAUAUUUUAAGAGAUUUAAUCACCUUGAGGUGAUUGGUUUUACAAAUUCGAAAUUUAAUGGGUGUGUGGAUAGUCGAUAAAACAUUAUUGUUUCACCCACCAUAGAAGCCGAAUUUGUAGCAUGUUGUAAAAUAACUACAUGCAAUGUUGUAUAGUUGCAAAACUUUAUAUCAUGUCUUAGAGUUAUUAAUUUCUAAGUCGUUUGAAUUUUAUUGUAAUAAUGUUGCAACUAUAUGCCUUUGUAAGAAUGAUAGGUAUUCUAAUGUUUAGCACAUGAUAUAAAAUACCUAUCGAUUAUGGCUUAAGUUUAGAACAAGUGAGUGUCAAUGGAACACAUUAGUACACGUGUUAGUAAAUCCACUAACUUAAGAACUAGAAAUAAUGAUAUUUUAGAAUCAUGUUAACAAGUUGGGUUUUGAAUGUAACCCAUAACUUAAUGAUUUUGUGGAUUACUUAGUGCUUAUUAUUUGACAUUAUUUUGAGCUCAUUAUUAUUGAUUAAGUUCUGAAUUUUCUGUUUUCCAUUGUUUAUGUACAUGUAUGUGAAUGGAUAAUUGUUGACAGAAAUAGUCUUUUGCGAAGACAUUACUGGACCAUUAUUGUUACUUCCGCUUAUAGACCUAGUUAAUUAAAUUGUUGAUAUCGUAGUACAUGGAAGGAACCAUGUCAUUUAUGCGAUGUGGAACCGCCAUGACUCAUAUUAGUGGUUUAAUUAAUGACGGUAUUAUGAUAACCAUUUCGGAAACUAAUUUUGCUCUUAUUGCGCGCUUUAUGUAUUCUACAUUAAACCGCAUGUGAGAUUUUACUAUAGACCAAGUGGGAGACUGUUGGAAUUUCCACAUAUAAAGCCCAACCCAUAAUGUGGUCCAUGUACCUUUAACCUUGGUUUAAUAUAGAAAUAAGCUAAUUCGUAAUAGGUUAUGUGGAAGUCAUAUCUACCGUAGAUCUUAACUAUGAUGGACGGUCUAGAUCUAAUGGGCUUAGGUUUGUAGAUUUAGGUCCUCUCUCCACCUCUAUAAAUUGGUGUAUGAUCUCCAUCCUCAUACACUUACUAUUACAACACAUAUUAAGGUUUUAGAGGCAAGGAGAGAGAAACCUAGAUCUUGUGCAACUUCUCAAAUCAUCAAUAGCUAUGGACAAAAGUAUGCGUAGUGAUUAAUUAUAUGAUUCAUGAUCCUUAUUGUUUAUCAAUAAUAUUAUUAUGUUUAUAUGUGAGAGUUGGAUGAAACCAGAUCCUUUUGCUUUCUUAGAUAUGAGAGGGUUUGGUAUCCUUCAAUAUCUUACCUUCAAUGGUUUCAAUUCAAGGACACAAUGACUGGGCACUUCAUCAUUAAUUAAGCUAGAUAUGAAAGUGAGAAUUGGAUGAAACCAAACACUUUUGCCUCCUUGGUAUAAAUGGGCUUGGUUUCCUCCAAUAUCUCAACUUCAACAGUUUCUAGUUUCAACUACAAAAUUGGUGAACAUCACUUCCUCUGCUACUAAGCUUGAAGCCUUGAAGGUAAACACAAAAAAUCAAUUCACUCCUGAUUUCAAAGAAUCCUAGAAUUGGUUUGAAAUCAUUCUAAAAUGCUGAAGGACAUAAUGAUGAUAAUUGAUUUCAUUGAAACUGGUAAAGAAAGUUGAAUUUACAGUGAAAUUAAGAGUAAUGGUCACUCAUGUCCAAUUGUUCAUGGGAAAUGCAGGAAUAUAAAAUUCUAUGUACAUUAAUCUUACGAAUUAGCCAUUGAUAAUCCCACCGUUUUAAUCUCAAACAACAAUGGUGUGGAGGGUGUUGUAUACACAGAAUACCUGAAGGGGUCCGCACCACCCUUGGGUCUUCCUCUUCUGAGAAGUAAUCGUAACAUGCUUCUUCAAGCACUGCUGAUCUUUUUGCUUUCAGCCUUCUGAUGAGCCCAUCUAGGUUAAGCGUGAGUACGCUUCAAUGCUUUCACCCCUAGUGGAUUGUUCUUGCUCUGGUGCAUUGGAAUAAAUAU